This 140143-nucleotide long non-coding RNA is filed under the name Citrus sinensis (sweet orange). RNAcentral describes it as "long non-coding RNA (CSIN_LNC003633)". The record is from RNAcentral. Lineage: Eukaryota; Viridiplantae; Streptophyta; Magnoliopsida; Sapindales; Rutaceae.
UUUUUUUUUUGUUGCAAUUAAUCAUAAGGAGAGAACCAUUACCAAGAAUUUACAUUAAGCAAUGUGAUUAGUGAGAUGUUUCAUUUACUUUUGGUACCUUUUUAUUAAAUGUACAAAAAUGGUUUGGCAAGCUUAGAAAUUGAUGCAUAGUCAAACUCUAUCAAGCGCUUGGACCCAACCACCAUCAUAUAUCAUCAAAGCUUUGUUAUUAUUUGGGCUAUGCCAUAACGGAUUUUAAUCUAGAAUAUUUUAAAAGAUAUUAUGAUUGUAAUAUAUAUUCAAGGUUUAAAAAAAAUAUCUUUGUUACUAUAAAUUUAUUGAUGUUUACCACUACAAAAUAAUAUGCUUGAUAAGACAUGAUUUCUAGUAUCAUAAGGAUUUUCUCAUAAGAACGUCCACAAAUUUAAUUAAAUACCUUUUAAGUUUUGUAAGCAGGCAUAUAUAUUGACCUAAAGCAGAUAUUUGAUAGAACUUUUACAUAAAUUUGUGAUGCCACAAUUUGGAUAUUGUAGCAUAUUACGAACUCUAUCUGUUUCUAGAUAUUCGAACUGAAAUCAUCCCACAAAAAUACACGAAAGACCCACCCAAAGUUCCAACCUAGUGGUUGGUUCUCCAAGUGUUAGUUAUUGCUAUCUUUAUCUUUGUUUUCAUCUUGUAUACAUUAUCCCAUUAUCAUGCUUCGGCUCAUAAACUUCCAAUUCAUUGACAUAUGAAGCAGUUACUAGAUUAACUAAUAAAACCACGAUUUGUUCAACUGCCAGUGUAUGAAUAAUCUGCUUUCCGUACUUUUUUUUUUAACAGGACGCUGCUGGUAAUCCAUUCUACCUGAGCUGAGUCUAAUUAAGAGUCAAAGUUUUAGUUGAUUUUAUCAUCUCUGCGUAAAUUUUUAAACAACAGAUUGAAAUCUACCGACAACUAACAAAAUCUUAAGUUUGACUUAAGCGACUAAUGAGAUAAAAAUGACUAUUAAUUAAUAUCUUUAGUCAAUUAAUGGCAAUGGAGGCCAUUAAAAUGCAUAAAAACAGCAUCCACCAAUGGAUUCAAAGCUAUUGAUCACAGACGUUAAAUCUCAAAAAAAGGAUGACUUCGCUGCUUUGGUCGGAAAACCGCGGUUGCUUAGAAGCAUCACCAAAAUAUAACGAAAACAGACAAAGAGAAUCCUUGUUGGCGACUUCAUUAAUUACAUGAUUAUUGUUUAAUUGGUAAUUAUCAAAUGAAAAGAUCGAAAGAAUCAGCUUUAAGUCACUGCUUGAUUUGAUUAUUGUACAUGCGUGCUAAGUUAAUUAUUAAUGAUAAAGGACGAUGCUUAAUUGGGCAAGUCAUUGACAAUUUGGCUUCUGGGUGCUCUUCAAAUUGUCAACCAAAGUUAUUACAUAUCAUGCAAUUUCUAGAGUUUAAUACAUAUGCUGUAAAUUUGAUCCAUCUAAAUGUUGGAUUGCAUGUGAUAUUUCAAAAUGGCAUUGAUUUUUUUUUUUUUUUUUUUUCCCCCGUUCAGAUGCAUGUUUGCUAUAGCUAGCUAGCACGUGAUGUUGCUGGUUCUGGAUUUGGUAUGUUGUUUCAAAAAUUUUAAUGUAUCUAAUGCAAAAUUCAUUAAGAAUGGGGAAAACGUAGAAAACCUCUCUCUUACUAUUUCGCUCGUGUUUAAAGUCCAUCAUCAGAGUCCACUUAAUGUUAAUAAUAAUGUUCCAAUAAUAGUAAAUCAUUUUCAUUCGUUAGAUUUGUUUAUUCUGAGAAGACCAAAUCACCCUUUAUAAAAAAUAUCAAACUAUUUAACAACAUGAUUGUGAGAAAAAUUACCAAACAAGAAAGAGUUUUUGGUCAUUUCCCUGAAUUAAUUUUUUUUUUUUUAGUUUUAUAUAGUCAUGGAUGCUACUAGGGGUGGGCAAAAUCAGGUUCGGAUCAACCCGAUCGGGUUUCGGGUUGAUCGGGUUAUGAAAAUUCAUCCGAACUCAACCCGAACUUAAAACUCGAUCCGAUCCGAUCUGAAUUAUAUUCGGAUCGGAUCGGGUUAUAAAUUCGGGUUGAGUUUGGAUCGGAUCAGAUGCGGUUCGAGUUAGAUUUGAAUCAAUUUGAAUUAUUCAGGUCUAUUCGGGUCGGGUACAAUUCAACAAUACAUAAUUACCUAUUAUUAACAACCACCAAAUACCAAUUAAACAUUAAUUUUCACACAUACAUUAUAUAUAAUAUACAUCUAUAGCAUCACUGUCAAAGGCUCAAAUGGGUGUUACAGCAUCACUUCCAAAACCCAAAAUCAACAGCCAAAAUUCAGGUUGUAGCUUACUGGGUUCGAAUGGGUGUUGCCGGAUUCGAAUAGACAUUGAAUCGGAUUGGGUGAUGGUGGAGGAUUAGAGACAUGGAGGUGGCGCAACAGAUCCGGUACUUCGUAGCAAUAGAUCGGCUUCGGUUGGCGUCGAAUCUUGCGUUUGGCGUUGGAUCUCGGCUUCGGUUGGCGUCAGCUUCGGUUGGCGUCAGCUUCGGUUGUGUGUGUGUUUGUGUUUAUUUGGGGGAGGCUGGGGGUUGGCUGUCGGCAGUGGGUUGCGAGCGAGGGAGGCUGUGGGUGGUGGGUGAGUGGCCGUGUACGUGGGUUGGCUGUCGGCAGUGGGCUGUUGAUGUCGCCGUGCUGCGUGUGUUGUUGUUAAUGUGUUAUUUGUGUGUGUUUUUGUAAUCGUUUGUGUGUGUGUGUGCCCUUUGUGUGUAGUUCAGUAGUUACAAUCGUUUGUGUGUGUGUGCCCGAUUUGUGUUUGACUUGUGUUUGUGUGUAUUGUGAAAUGUGAAUAUAUUGUUUGUGUGUGGUGUGUGUGUUUAGAUUUAGGUUUUUUUUUUUAAAGCAACCCGAUCGGGUUUUCGGAUCGGAUCGGAUCGGAUUUGACCCGAUCCAAUCACAACCCGAUCGGGUUUCACCAUCUUCAUCCGAUCGGGUUUCCUUUAUAACCCGAUCCGAUCCGAACCCGAAAUUUUUCGGAUCAGAUCGGGUCGGGUCGGAUAUUUUGCCCACCCCUAGAUGCUAGGAGAUUUGUUGCUUCAUCAUGUUAUUAUAUAUUAAUGGUCUCCAAUGGCCAUAAAUUGAUUAAACGAUAUACUAAAUAUCAAUUCAAAAUUAGUAGGCGUUCGAUAGCUUUCAAAGUUUUAUAUUUCAUAUAUAUAUAUAUAUUUCAUGAUUGAUCAAUCGACUGCUUCUUUUGUAUGUAUGAUGUGGAGAUUAGACAAAAGUGUCUAUUGUACUUUUUAGCCGGCCAUGGCCUACGUGAUUGAAUUUGCAUGGGACCUUGCUGGCCGACACUUGAAUGAAAAGAACUAAACAAACAUAUUAAGCCAGUCUGCUAGUGUGUGUAUAUCCAUUUAUGUAUUGAGGCAAGCAAUCUGCAAUCACUUCGAUCGACUAGUCCUUCGCUAAUGAAAUUACAAAUCAAUUCAUAUAUUUUAGAAACCCUAUGUAGAUGUAAUAGCCACAUUUUGCAUGGCAACUUAAUUAUUAGCAGUUGAUCGAGUGUGUUACAAUUUUUCUUUUUUUCAAAGUUUUAAUUAUUGGCUUACAUAUAUUUCGUGUGAGGGAUCUCAUUAGUUUUCAUGUUUUCCUCAUUAAUAAAGAUAAUAUCAACUAAUAUAAGAAACCCUACCAUUAUCCUUUCUAUUUAAGGAUUUGCUCAAUAGUCAAUGCCAUAUUGCCAUAGCCAACCUACCCUACUUUUGUUUAAAAUACAUGUAUUAAUGAGAGCCUAUUGUCCGCUCUCACGCUAUAUGUAUAAAAAUAUGAAAAUUAUAUAAAGUAGUGGGUUAUUAUCAUCUACAACCUUUAUUACUAUUAUUUUCUUUUUCGAGUUUAUAUUUAUAGUCAGUAUAGAGAAAAUCUUAAGCUGACAAUGACGGGAUACGAGAGAGCCUAGAAAGUAUUUCUAUAAAUUAUUUGAAAUGAUAAGGUUAAGAAGAAAAAUAUUUACACAAUAUUGGAAAUUAAAUAUUCCCAUUAAAUGAUUCCUUGAUUUGAGCUGUUUAAGAAUAUUAUUUUGCAAAUUGUGUAUUAUAUAAGUUACCAAUACAAUAAAAUAAUUAAAAAAGAGAAAAAGAACAAUAGAAAAUUGUAUAUCACCCGAUGAUACAUGAUCCUUAUUAUUAAGCUCCUUGUGUCAAAUUUGCACUUGUGUUUUGGAUAACAAUGCCCUAAAUUUUCAAUCCUUAAAAGGCCUAAUACACAUGUUGUAUAUAAAAUGAAAUAUAUCCAAAUCUCAAUUAAUUGUACGGUUCUUAACACAUUAUCGGGGCUCCCAUCAUCAUAAUAAAACAAACCAUAUAGGUCAAGCAUAGAUUUUGCUCUUAAUUCACGCCAUGCUUACCAGAUAAAAUUAAUCAUCCCCACCACUAAAUAUGUGACGUAUCAUCUGAUGUUGAGCCCUAGCCAAGAUUAAUUAGGUAUUCGUUUCGUUCGACUUUGCCCACCUAAAAUGUAGCUUUCACGGUAUCCUUUAUCAAGAUUUUUUGAAAACUACUGCAAUUGUAAUAAUUAUAAAUUGUAAUGACCCAUCUGAAUCCAAUAAUAUAUAUCAACAUCAUGCAUCCUGAAAAUUACAUCCUCAUAAAAGCGUAUUUGACGUGCUUGAAGGUGAAAGAUUAAUUGGUGUUUUAAAAUCAAACUCAUGGUCAUAUGACACCAUUAUAAAGAGCUCGUCAACACCUGGAAGUUGUGGCCUCCGGGCAUUGGCUUGAAAGACAAACCAUCAGGAAUUUUGCCCUCAACACACUAACAAUGGAUCACCACUCCUGGCAUUGCUUAUCGGUUGAGACUAGAGCGUGCCUCUAACUUUGAAAAGAUAUGGUUCCAUUAUCAUUGACUAAUGGGGGUCGAUCGUUUGUGCCUCCUUAUCAAUUGUUACAAUUCCAUGUUAUAAAAGAUGGCAUGUUGUCAUAAAAUGAUGUGUGGACGUAUACUUUUUACUACAUGUCAUCUCUUAAAAAAAAAAAAAACGUGUUUUUGCUUUUUUUUAUAUUAAAGUUUAAAUUGAAUUUGUUGGAAAAUAAUCUAAUAAACUCAUAAGCCGAGUAAUUAUAUUAUUAUCGUAUGAAUUAUAUUAUAUUUUAUAUUUUCCUCAAAUGUUAAUGUUUCUUUCUCUACUGAUUAAUGUUUGUUUAAGAUGCAAAAUCCCAUCUGAUUUAGAGGUGCAGCUUAGGGCUCCAUUAGGUCGUUAAAAAAAUAAAUCAAAACAAAGUCCUAAAUUAUACCUUUAUUAAAAACAAUAUUGGCCCGGUCUAGAGAAAGAAAUAAUGUACCUCUCUGUUUUAAUUUUAAGAUAAGUGAUUUAUCUAAUUAACUUCAUUAAUUAUUUAUAAACAUUAAUAAUAUCUAACUCUUGGAUCCUUUCUAUAUUACAGCAACACAAAACUUAUUCACUUUAAGUAACCUAUAAAAGAGGUUUAUUUAAUUUAAUUUAAUUUAAUUUUUUUUAAUAAGUAAUGAUAGACAUCUGAAAUUUUUUACCUCAAAUUUCAUCCCAAAUGACUUGUUAUUCAUUAAGUAGUUAAUAAUUCUUUACAAAAUCUAAGUAAAUUAAUUGUAAUAUCUUACCAACCAAUUGAUAAUUGCUACAUUAUUUGAGAAAUUUUUUUGGGAUAAAAAAUUUCAUAUGUAUAGAGCUACUCUUUUUUGACAAGAUAGAAGGGUUAAUUAAUAACAAAAAGAUUGAAAAUUGUAGGAAAAACAAAUGACCAUUUUCAAAGAGCUUUAGUGUAAGAUAUGUACUUAAUAGAAUCGAAUAACAUUGAAUUGAAUAACUGACGCGUUUACAUUAAUUAACUCCUGAGAAAAAUUAAUGCGCACUUCUUUUUCUUUUUCCUUUUUUCCUCUUUUGACAGAAAGAAGAAAAAAAGAUUAUGCACAGCUGGCAUGCUUGCAUGUAUACAAAGAGAGCUGCAAAGAAUUACAUUUUAGCUCUUAACUUUUAACUUCUUAUUUCUUGGUUCUGCCUGAGAGAAAGAGAUGAAAUGGAGAAUAAUGAACUAAUUAGGGCUAAAAUUAUUGAUAUGGAAAAGCAAAAAAGGAUGAGUUUUGGCAAUGAUAAUUUACUAAUUUUGAAAAUAUUUAAUUCCAAUAUGAACAAUGUAAUUUAUUACUUAUGCAUAAAUAUAUUUCUUAGACAAAAAAAAAAAAUUCUUCAACAUAAUUGGGAAGGAUAAAAGUAUGCAUACAUCCUAAAAAUUUACAUGCUAAUUAAAGCAUAUUUGACGUGCUUAUUGGAGGUGAAAGAUUUAUGCAAUAAUAUAUUGCGUAAAAGAGUAAUGAUCUGUUUAUACAUUCAAUUUUUACAUAUAUAAAUGAUCAAAAUUUUGUACUAAUGGCAGGCCAUCAUAUGUAUUUGCGAUAAGUUAUAAGAAGAAUUAAAGAAAUUAAAAAAAGAAACUUGGGAAAAUUGAUUGCUCAUGACUGGUCGUGCAUGCAUGUGCUUCUGUCUAAUAAUCAUGCGCUUGUUCUCUAAAGUUCUCAUUCAAAUUAAUGCCCUAACUAGGGUGGUGCAGAGGAGAGAAAGAGAGAGUCAAGUGAGGAUAUUAGUGAGUUGAGAAGGAUAUUGAAGAAGAAAGAGAAGGCAUGCCGUACAUAUAUAAUUAUAAUAACUGUAUAUUAUUUGCUUUUAUAAUUUCUUUAGCUUAAUGUCUUGCUCGCAAAUUCGCAAUUGACAAUCAUUUGGUUGUCGGCCUUUGAAGUCCAAAGGAGGAGAGGAGUGCCCUACCGACAAUUCGGAACUGCCUCUGACAUUAAGGCCAAGUUGAAUUGAGAUCGAAAAUAGGAUUAUAUAUGAUUAUCCCUUCAUUUUUUUUUUUUAAUUUAAAGUCCCUUUCUGCCGCUUUAGGGUUUGGAAUUCAUGAUUCACGAUAUAAUUUAUGAACAAAGAAACUAAAACAUUCAUUCUACUAAAGGAAAGCGUCAUUGAUCUAAUCUCCUGCCUUUGAAAGGAAUAAUUAUUGCCCAAAUAAUACAAAUGCUAGCUGAAAAUGAGCUCGGACCUGCUGUACGGCCAAGGCGGAUGUACGGUACAGCAGACAAAACACACCUUUGAUUUUCAAUUGUAUGCAUAUAAAAAUAACACACACUCACACAUGAUCAAAGAAGCAAAGCAAACACGAACCCUUAACCCUAAUUAUGUCAGUUUGUACAAGAGUUUGUGGCUGUAUCAUUACUCUAACAGUUAAUUCUAAUAAAUCUCCUUGAGCUUUCCUUUUUUUUCUCUAUCCAUGUGAAAUAUGAGUGAUGGACAUAUAAACUUUGUAUAUUAAAUGAUGUCAUACAAAAUCAAUACUACCAUAUGUUAGAUAAUUAUUAUUUUAAAUAUUAUUGUUAACGAUAAUAAUACUUCGAGUCCCACAUCAGUGGUGAAGUUAGCAUCAUUAAUUUUUUGGGGUGUGCUGAUUUUUUUUUUUUUUUUGAUAAAAAACUAAUGCUUUUGUAUUGUAUGAAAAAAACUUUAUUAAUAAGAAAUUAAAUACUCACCUAAUAGGGAAUAUAAUGAGUUUUGCCCCCCUCAAGACAUUUAUUCUUAUAGAUAAAAUUAUUGAAAUAUGACACCUAAAUAAAAAAAAAAGUGCAAUAUAAACAAAAAGAAACAUUAUCGAAAUUUUAUCCCGUGAAUCUUUACAAAACAAAAAUCGUCUAUUAUCGAAUUUAUGUCGAUACUAUUAGUAAUUUCUCUUUCAAUAUAAAUAAUCAUGAAUUCUGACAAGGAUUUGACGACAAUUGAAAAGGUGAUAUAAUUAACUAAUAUAAGAUUCUAUAGAAAAAAAAAAACUAAAAUUAAUUUUUCAACCCCUACCUCCGUGACCAGAAUUUGAGCUAGGGUGAUUAAAAAAAAAAAAAAAUUGAAUACCACCAAGUCAAACCCCUAGGACCUAAAGGAAUCGUAGUUCCUGUAUUGCUGCAUAAUCUUUGCACUAAAAUAUCUCUAUUAAUAGAAUAUUUUUAGGAGAUGCUUGUCAUAAUUUCUCUUAUAUAUUAUCUAUAUUGUUGCUGAUUGAAAACUUCUUUUUUAAAGGACGAUCAAAAUCUCUCUCUCUCUCUCUCUCUCAUAGUUUGCCUGAUGGAACUUUGAGUGACACUGUCGCAUAAUUAAAAUGGCCGUGGCCUACUUUUUUUCAAUUGUGUCGCUUAAGUUUCAGUAUUUUCAAAGAUUAUGACUUUUGCCGAGCAUUUUCUCACAUAUAAAUUGACGAAGCAAAAGCAAAUUAAUGGGAAAUACAUCAUCAAAAUUGACUGCCACCAACUCGUUAACACUGAAAUGAAUGUGGAUUCCACGGUGAUAUGUCCUCGUGCUCUGCAAAAUAUAAAGACUUUGAGGAUUCGAACGCAUGGGUGAUUUUAUAUGAAAUCUUUAAAAGCUCAGGGCAGUUCUGAUAGAAAAAGAGAGAUACAAAGCCUAACUGGAAAUCUUAGUGGAAUGGGCCUAAGAUGGCCUUAUUUUUUGGUUCUUGAAAUUAGGCCUUUUGAUUUUAUUGGGCCUAGGAAGGCCCAGAAAAGAAUAAAAAAUAGGAAGUAGGGAAAGAAAAUGAUUCGACCAGGCGUCCAGCGAUCGACUGUUGCUGGACCUCAGAAAAAUAAAAAUUCAGAAAAAAAAAGAUACGAAUUUGGAUUGCGUUUGAUGUUCAAUUGAUCGGUUGCUGGAAAAAGAGAAGACUUCGAAGAUCAGACGAGAAAAAUUAGAAAAAAAUAAUAGAGAUAAAAAAAGCUAAGGAAAUGGAAAAAGUUAUGAACAUGAUAAAGCCAAAGCCUAAUCCGCAACAGCUGUUGAGGGAUUGGCAACGUAAGCUUCGCCAAGAGUGCCGGAACAUUGAGCGCCAAAUUCGAGGUAAUUAUUCUCUACAUUUGACCCUUGUUUCAUUUUUUUUUUUUUUUGGUGGAAGAAAAGGAAUCAAAUUUAAUAUUUUUAUAUUUUAUUUUUUUAAGGUGAUUGCUUUCAUUGAUCGAGAAUUUGGCUUAGUGGGUUUGAUUAACGUAGUGUUAUGAUUAAUGGGUAUUUUUUUUUUUUAAUUCUGUGUGUUUGUUCUGUUUAGAUAUACAGAGAGAAGAGAAAAAUGUGCAGAAAGCAAUUAAAGAUGCUGCCAAGAGAAACGACAUGAGCUCUGCCAAGGUAUUAUCCUUUUUUUUUUCGAAUUUUAAUUUGUUAUGCUUUGCCAUUGUAUUCUUACGGAAAAUUGAUUAAUAAGCAUCAAACAGGAAAUGCUGAAGUGUUAGAAAAAGUUCAAGUUAAUUGCCAAAGUAAUGUGACCUUUGGAUUGAAGUGGAGUUAUUAUUAUUAUUAUUAUUAUUUUUUAUAUAUCUAUAUAUAUAUAUGUAUGUAUAAUAGCUUUUUUUUUCCUAUGUAGGAAACUUAAUAUUUAAGAGUUUACAACUUUGCAAAUUAAGUUUCACAGUAUAGGCUACUGUGAGCUUGGACAUUACAUUUCACUUUCACUUUCAAGAUGAACUUUGCUGCUGCAUUAUGGUGUAAAUCUUUCAUUGCUUACACACACACACACAUGUAAUUUUUGUUUUUUGUAGAAAAUACUUCAGUUUUGUGAAACUAGGUUUGUUUGGUUUCAUGGAAGUUGAAAAUCAUUAACUGCCAUACUUAUUCAAUCGAGAGUAGCUGGACCAAAUCAUAUACUUUACACUAUAAUUUGUCACCUAUAAGAUUUGUUAUGAUAAAUCUCAUGAUCUGGAAAGAAAUGGGUGUAUUUCUUGUAUAUUUGCAAUCUUGUAAGUGUUAUGAGCUUAACGGGUACUGACUGACGGUCAACUCUAGUGUAGGUUGGACAUAAGAUCUUUCUUGUUACUGUUUAUUAGAAAAAUGUUCCUAUCAAAAGUAUUAUAUUGUCACUUAUAAUUAGAAAAAAAUUAUGAUUAAGAUUUCUUGUUUCUAAUAAUUUCAGUUUCUUCCUCAUAUUCUCUGUUUCAGUCUCUGGCUCAGGAACUCGUCAGAUCUAGAAAGACAGUUAACCGUCUCUAUGAAAAUAAGGCACAAAUGAACUCAAUAUCGAUGCACCUAGGAGAAAGUGUAGGUAUGGUACUUCACUUGUUGGAAUGCUUUACCCAUGAAAUAGGGAAGGUGGUUUCUUCUGUCUAAUAUCUUCUUUAUAAAUAUAUGAGAGUGUAGUAGCCUAUAUUUCUUUGCUAGAAGGGACUCUAUAGAUAGAAUUUUAGUCCGAUUUUUAUUUUGAUGGUGAAUUUGUUUGUCUUAGCCAUUUUCAAAAGUUGCUACGCGUGGAAUGAAUGAUGUAGGGAGGUGCUCUAGAGGGAUGUAUUAGUUUUAUCACAUGUUGUCUGUACUUAAAAGCAAGUGUGAGGUCCUUGUUUAAUUUUGGAAUAUGUGCAUGGUAUAGUUCUAGGUUAGUUAUGGUUUCUGCACUUCUCAUCUGCAACUUUCAUUGGCCACAAUAGCUUAGACUGAACAAUUGCAUUGUCAAAGUGAGUCAUAAGCUCUGCAAUUUAUUGAUUUUGCCUCGGUCUGUUGUCAUGAUGCAUAUUGAGUAAAUAAUGGAUUUACUUUCUGUGCAAUCUAUUAUACUGAUUUCCUGUGUGUUGUUUAAUUUAUUGAUCAAUGAUUUGUUCCCUGACCCUCGUCUCCUUCCCUCGGAGUGAUUUUUGUUGGUUUCUAGGUUCUUACUUUGGCUACUAUUGCAGCGAUUGCUCGUACUGUGGGGCAUUUGAACAAGAGUGCUGAGGUUAUGAAACUUGUCAACAAUCUCAUGAAGGCACCAGAAGUAGCUGCUACAAUGCAAGAGUUCAGCAAAGAAAUGACCAAGGUAUUUUUCUGAUUUAUGUUUAAUAUUAGCAGACAAGGGAAAAAAAAAGUUACUGAUUAACUGUUGCUUGAGUAGAAAAUAUGAAACUCUUGUGUUGCGCUACUUUGGAGUGAUGUACUUGCAUUACAUAUCAUUUAUUCUCUAUUUUUUCCUUUUUUUUUUUUUUUUGGCUUUUAAUUUAUCAAAGCUACAAAUGUGAAUAACUCGUUACUUGUCAUAUAUAGUUACAGCAGCCCUUACUUUAGCCCUUCUGUAAUUGUAUUUACAGAGCUUAUGUUCCUAUUAGCGACACUAGAAUCAAAGUAAUAGUGCUUAGUCUAUCAUUCUCUUAUUUUCUCACUAGAACGGAAAUUAAUUCUUUCCAACCUGUAGACCACUGUACAACAAUAGUGCCAGGUCCCAGGGUCCUCUUCUGGAAUAAUCAAAAUGGGCCACUGUCAUUUGAACACCAUCUAACUGGAAACCAAAAUAUUGAUGAAAAUAUUAUCCAGGGCUUAAUAUAAUUAUGUGAAUGUAUAUACUAAGGAUGGUCAACAUCUCCCUCAUAUAAUUAUACUUUUGUCUGUAAUUUGCAGGCUGGAGUAAUUGAGGAGUUUGUGAAUGAUGCUGUUGAUACAGCACUGGACUCGGAGGAUAUUGAAGAGGAGAUAGAAGAAGAAGUUGAUAAGGUCUUGACUGCAAUUGCUGGUGAGACUGCAGCACAGCUGCCUGAAGCAGUUAGAAAGGAAAGGGUGAAGCAAUCUGCUCAGACAUCUAGAGCAGCACAGGAGGUAACGUGACACAACAGCCACAUUAUGAGCUGCUAAUUUGUUUUUCUUUCCGGUUGAAUGAACCUCAUGUCUGUUGAGUUUUUGUUUUACCAUAGGAGGAUGCUAUUGCUGAGGGUAUCGAUGAUGAGAAAGAACUUGAAGAAAUAAGAGCCCGGCUUGCCAAAGUUAGGUCAUAACUUAAGCCUUUUAUCUUCGCCUCCCACUCUCAUCAUAUUAAAGGAAAGGUGCGUAUAUUAGUGUGCAUAUGGGUUCUUGAUGGAAGUGACAGAAAGUUCCAGUUUAACAAUAAGAAUAGAGCAUGAGAGGAAAAAUCUGUAUAUUCGAAGCAGCAAUUUUAUAGACUACCUUGCCGCAAGCUGCUAGUUGUACAAUAGUAAUGUGCCGCAACAAUGUCAUUGGCGCCCCAGUAUAAUCUAAUUGUUCCUCUGGACUGCUUGUGUUUGUGUUUAUCUCUAUGUCAGUGUGUAGUGGCCAAGACCAGAUGUAGAUUAAACUUUUACUGGUUACAUGAUUUCAUGACCAAUGGCCAUGUCCUGUUAUCAUGUGGAGUUGUCAAGCAAGUUUGUUCAGGUAGGCCCAAUGGGUAACCCAUUAUGGGUUUGAUUAGUGGCUCAUGCCCUUUAGCCAAGGGCUAGUUGAGUAUGGGCAAUGUGCUGAUCCUUGCUAAUGCAAUAGCUAAGAUUCUGUGUUUUAUAUAAAUAUCUCAUAUCUUACUUGAUUUUGAUUGAGCUUGAACAUAUUAAAGUUAGGACAAAGUUUUUGUCGGAAAUCUUAAUUGGAAUGCUAUUCUAUAAUGCUUUGUCAUCAGUUUGUAUAAGAAAUUUGCUAUGCUCAUAAGUUGCUUUGAACUGUGAAACCUUGUCGUCAUCAUUGACUACAAAGAGAAAUGAAUGAGCAGAAAUUGUGCAUAAAGUAACAGCUUUCUUGCAAAAAUAGAUUAAAAAAACCCCACUACUUUCUUCACGUCUUGUGCUCACCAAGAAACAUUUUCAUAUUGCAGUUUGCUUCUGUGUUAUCUCUUUCACCUUAUGAUUAUGUCGACCUUUUUUUCCCCCCUCUUUUUCCUCUUUAUCCAUGCAAAUUAAAGCCAUAAAAAUUUCUCCCUGAUUAAAAAGAUUUGAUUGCAAGUUAAAUUAUCAAACUAGUCCCUAUAGCUUCUAGAAGUAACAAAGGAGUUCACAGGCCUACCAGUGAACCAAAAUUACUGAAUAGCAUAAUACAUUUACAGAAUUUAUCCUUGAACACUGUUUAUUUUUUGCUGACGAACUUGGACGACAGUCGGUGGGUGACAAGUGAAGUUGUAAAACGUAUGGACCUAUUUGCAACUUUCACAAAACCACAUGGAACAUUCGUAAUAAUUAACAAUCUCACACACAACCUUUUGACUUCAAUUUAUGUCGAGAUAAUUACAGGUGCAGAGUACAAAAGACAUGAAGCACCGGCUCAUGAAUGAGGUGAUUACAAGUCUCACGUUGUUGCAGCCGGCGCACGAGUCCGAGUCCGAGUCCGAGUCCAUGUUCUCGAAAACUGAAAGUGCUUAUUCGGUUUUGUAGGGUCCACUUGCAUUUCCUCAAUCUCGGUUGCUUUUUAGCUUUAUUUAUUUUAUGCUUUUAAGCUAUUCAUAUCUUGCACGCCAAACAGUCUCUCCAAAAUCAUGAGGUAGGCGUCGUCGAGUGCUCAUAUGAUAAGACAAGAGCAUUCAUAUUUUCUAAAUAUGCUAUAAUUACAUACAAAUCUUGAUUGUAACAUAUUUAUUUUAUUUCUUUUGAAAUUGAAAAGUAGAGGGAAAAAUUAUAUUUAAUAGUAAGAAACAUUUGACCAAUUGGGUGACAUUUGUCUUUGUUAUUAUUUUUUUUAAAAAAAAAAGUGGGAUGAAAUGAUGGUUUCUUAUACUCAAAAGUUCAUGCAAACUGAGGAAUGAAAUGGCUUCAAAGUAAAUCUAAUUUAAAUUUAAUUUCAUUAAAGACAAUCGUUAACUUUCUUUUAUAAAAUCAAUACGUAAGAAUAUAAUUAAUUAGUGUUCCAUUGGAGCCUUCCCUUUAAAGGCAAGUUACGUCUACGUACACUUAAAUUGUAUGAACUGUUGUCCGUUUGGUACAAAACUCUCACCNNNNNNNNNNNNNNNNNNNNNNNNNNNNNNNNNNNNNNNNNNNNNNNNNNNNNNNNNNNNNNNNNNNNNNNNNNNNNNNNNNNNNNNNNNNNNNNNNNNNNNNNNNNNNNNNNNNNNNNNNNNNNNNNNNNNNNNNNNNNNNNNNNNNNNNNNNNNNNNNNNNNNNNNNNNNNNNNNNNNNNNNNNNNNNNNNNNNNNNNNNNNNNNNNNNNNNNNNNNNNNNNNNNNNNNNNNNNNNNNNNNNNNNNNNNNNNNNNNNNNNNNNNNNNNNNNNNNNNNNNNNNNNNNNNNNNNNNNNNNNNNNNNNNNNNNNNNNNNNNNNNNNNNNNNNNNNNNNNNNNNNNNNNNNNNNNNNNNNNNNNNNNNNNNNNNNNNNNNNNNNNNNNNNNNNNNNNNNNNNNNNNNNNNNNNNNNNNNNNNNNNNNNNNNNNNNNNNNNNNNNNNNNNNNNNNNNNNNNNNNNNNNNNNACAGCAGGCCCCACCCAAAUAAUAAUAAUAAUAAUAAUAAUAAUAUAAAGCCAUUACGUUAAGUAAUAAUUAAAAAAAGAAUAGGCCAAUUGCGUGAAAUUUUUCUACAGAUAGAGUUCAAGAUGGAAACUGACAUUACAAUUCACAAGUUGGUGUAUGGGAAAUCAGCACAAAUGAAAGUGAAAUUAAAACAGAAAAAUUGAAAUGAAAAAUACUUUUACUCCUUGCUAAUUGUUUUAAAUUUUUAACAAGUUGUCUAAACAAAGUCAGAUUUUGGCCGAUCUUCAUAACCAAUGCAAUAUUUGGUAAAUCUUUCAAAUCUUAUCUUACGAGUUAGUGGGAAGAGGUGGUUACAAUCAUGGUAGAAAAUAUCUUAAUUAGUUUUCUUUUUAUUUAAAAAAAAAAAAGAUGGCUAAUAAUUAAUUCCUAGCAACAGGUUUUAUGAAGAUUUUCUUGAUAAAUCCAUGAUUAAAAAUUAUUAUGAAACAUAUGCUUUGUUAGUUGUUGGGGGUAAAAGCAUUCUUGCACAUAACAUCAUGACUUAAAAAGACUAAUUAAAGGCUGCAAUGAGCCCAUGAGAAAUGAGAAAAGUUGAAAAGGAAAGAAAACUAACCAUAUAAUGCACAAUAAAAAUUAUUCAUAAGGAGAUAAUUAACGAAAAAAACAAAAUCAGAGGAUGACAGUUAACUCUUUGCUUUUAUCAACUAUAAAUUCUUGUUGAACCUACACUUAUUUUCACUCACAAAGAAACCUGCAACAAAUGGCUUCAUCAACUUUGCUUCAUAUUCUUUCAUCUCUUUUCAUCUUUUGCCUUGCUUCAUCAUUUUCAUAUGCAGCAUAUCCAAAUAACAACCAAGUGAGCCUGACUUCAACUGCAUAUUUGCCAAAGCGGCAAGCAGAAAAGCUCAUAAGAGGGCUCAACUUGUUUCCAAAAAGUUCCGUCAACACAGCUGCUGCUGGUGAUCAUGCUUCAGUUUCGGCUCCGAAACUUGUUGAGAAGCAAUUGAGUUUAAAUCCUCUUGGUGAUCCAGGGCCUUCUGUUCAAGAAUUUGGUCACCAUGCUGGUUACUACACGCUUCCUCAUUCUCAAUCUGCAAGGUACCAUUUGUAACUUCACAUUAAAAUUUUGCUUUAUUUCCAUGUUUUUGACAUAAAGGACUAAUAAUCAUGAUUGAAGGAACGAGAUGCUUUAGAUAUUUUUCUUGUGGGUUGUUUUGUUUUGUCUAAAGUGAAGUAAAGAACAAACAAAACCAGGCUGCAAAAGGUUAAACAAUGUUACAAAACUUCUUGGCUUUAUGUGUCAAUGAAUCUGGAUUACCUCAAAUUGGUUGAAUAAUUUGAUGGAAUGAGCACAAUUCUGAUGCUUCCACACUGUAAAUUCUUUGAAGCAAUGAAUAUGCACCAUUAUGAUUGCAUAUCUGUUUGUGAAGUCAAGUAUGAUUUGGAUUGUCAUGCAAUUUUUGCUUUCAUAUAAUCAAUGCUGCUUCAACUUGAAAUCAUGUGUUGUUCGUUUAUAUGCUGUCUAUACACGAGCAUAAUUGACACAUUUGUUAUUUUUAUUUUAUAAAUAAUUUGCAGGAUGUUCUACUUUUUCUUUGAAUCAAGAAACAACAAGAGUGAUCCAGUUGUUAUAUGGCUGACUGGAGGGCCAGGAUGCAGCAGUGAACUGGCAUUGUUCUAUGAAAAUGGCCCUUUCCACAUUGCUAACAACUUGUCUCUUGUCUGGAAUGACUAUGGCUGGGACAAGGUAUCUGGUCUUUCUGUUGUCUAUCAGCCUUAUUGAUAUGUGUAUGCUUUAAUCUCUUGAUUAUAGCUAACUCCCGUUUUUUGCCAGGCAUCGAACCUUCUAUUUGUCGAUCAGCCAACUGGAACCGGUUUCAGCUAUACCUCAGACAAGGACGACAUUAGACAUGAUGAAGAAGGCGUUAGCAAUGACCUUUAUGACUUCUUGCAGGUUCAUUUGUUCUCCCACUUGCUAAUUCAAUGAGAGUCAGGAUUUGCGAAUACGUAAAUAUAAACUUAGUACCAACCUUGAACUUAUUCUUUGAUCUUAGGCUUUUUUUGCAGAGCAUCCUCAAUAUGCUAAAAAUGACUUUUACAUCACUGGAGAAUCGUACGCUGGGCAUUACAUUCCUGCUUUUGCUUCCCGGGUUCACAAAGGAAACAAAGCAAAACAAGGAAUUCAUAUCAACCUUAAGGUAUCUACCAAACUUAACAUGAUUUUGCUUCAUCUUCAUGUUUGGAAGUGGGAUCUGAUUCUAAUUGGUUGAACAGGGUUUUGCUAUUGGUAAUGGCUUAACUGAUCCAGCAAUACAGUACAAAGAAUACACCGAAUAUGCUUUGAACAUGAGAUUAAUCAAACAAUCUGACUAUGAGAGUAUCAACAAGUUGAUACCAACGUGCGAACAUGCAAUAAAAACUUGUGGUAAUAAUUCUUGCAUCUAAAAGUUCCAGCUCCGUUUUCCUUUCCAUACUCGUAAUAUUUUCUCUCAUUAGUAAAUCAUUUGAACUGCUGUGCCAGAGUCUGAUGGUGGAGAUGCUUGUUCAUCUUCAUAUGCUGUUUGCAACAGCAUAUUUAACAAGAUCUUGGGGAUUGCUGGUGAUGUAAAUGUAAGCAAAGAACAAAAUCUAAAAGCCAAGUUUUUUACUUAGAGCCCUACCUUAUGGAAAAAGCACAAACAUUUCAAACUUUAAUGAGAUCUUUAAUAUCAUUGACGCAGUAUUACGAUAUCAGAAAGAAAUGUGAGGGGGACUUGUGCUACGACUUCUCAAACAUGGAGAGAUUCUUGAAUGAGAAAUCAGUACGGGAAGCUCUAGGGGUUGGAGACAUCGACUUUGUAUCAUGCAGUAGUACAGUAUAUGAGGCAAUGCUGAUGGACUGGAUGAGGAAUUUUGAAGUUGGAAUCCCAACUCUUCUUGAGGAUGGAAUCAGGGUGCUCAUAUACGCUGGGGAGUAUGACCUCAUAUGCAACUGGCUUGGUGAGCCUAGAUCUCUAGAUCUAGUGAAACCCCUAGGUUCACUAAUAUUUAUUUUUUGCCUCAAUAAUCGUAGUGUACUUUAAUAUUGCAGGAAAUUCUAAGUGGGUUCAUGCUAUGGAAUGGUCUGGCCAAAAAGAUUUUGGAGCAGCUGCCACUGUUCCCUUUAAAGUUGAUGGUGCUGAAACAGGGCAAAUAAAAAGCCAUGGACCUCUCACUUUCCUCAAGGUCUCUUUCUGUCUCUUCCUUGAGUAUGUGUGUUUGUCUGUACAUGCUAUGCUUUCCAACUUUGAGAUAUUUUCUGCAUUUUUCAAAACUAACUUUGAGAUAUUUUUUGCAUUUUUCAAAACAAGCAGGUUCAUGAUGCUGGUCAUAUGGUUCCCAUGGAUCAGCCUAAAGCUUCGCUACAAAUGCUCCAGAGCUGGAUGCAAGGGAAACUUGCCAUGACAUGGACAGAUGAAAAGAUUUAUCCCAAGUGAUGAUAUAUACUACUCAACUCAGCAGAUCCUUCUGCAUCCAAGCUAUUACCAACAUGGUUUCAGAUGCCCAAAUUUGGUCAAGAAUUCUUCGGUAGCCAUCUACUGAUGUAAUCAUGUUUGCUUUCAAACAUUCUAAAAUUCAUGGCUGGAAUGGAUUUCUGAAGAGUUAUUUAUCCUGAUCAUUCAUACAUGUCAAUGCUUCAUGUGCCUUUCGUGAGUUCAAUUUAAAGUAAAUUUCCAGACUUAUAAAGUACAUAGGCCCACAGACUGCAAAAUUGACCCGUAAUAAUGUUGUUUGGAUAAUAUAUCAACUAUUACCAUUAAUAAACGAACAGAAUAUUUUACUGAGUACUUCUAUAGUCCAGGGAUGUUAUUCAUAUCUGAAGGCAACAGUCAAGAACCAACUCUUACCCCAUACUUCUCUCUCAAGGUCUCAAUCACUGGCCUGAAGACUGAACUCAAAGGAAAAACUGUCGCUACACGCAAAUGUUGUGCAUUACCAUUCUUUGGUUUGUUAAGUGUCAUUUUGAACAUCUCCCCCUGCAGUACUUUACUGGCUGUCAUGGCUGCAUAAGAAAUUUCCGGUUCAAAGAAAAAAGAGGGGUCAAAACUGGAGAAGCCCAACUGGGCAAAUUCAAAUUCUCUCAUAUGGCAACACUCAAAAUUGUAGAGAUCAGAUAGCAAGCAUUACAUUGGAAAAUAACAGCAAUGUAGCACUCCCGAUAAAAAAAAAAAAAAUGAUGGAAAUUGAGAAAAAAAAAAAGAAAGAAAGAAAGAAAAGAAACUACCAGCAAAAGGGUGAACCUUGGCAAAGUCAAAGAACUCAUCAGCAGAGCAACCAAACAAAACCCUAGCAGCCCUAUCAAAACAUAUCACAACCUUCACUUUUGUAUCUGUUGCAAUGGAAAUCUGCAAAUAUAAUCAAAACCCAAUAUUAGUUCAUCUCCACAUCCUUGGAAGGGCACCAAAAAGGAGGGAGAGUGUUUACGAGGAGGCGAAAGAGGCGUUUGGAAGAAGAGGAAACAGAAACAGAAGCGUUGUCGCUGUUGGAGUUAAAGUUGCAGAAUUUGCAAAGAGAAGAUGGGUCGUCAGGGAGAGUCCUUUCACAGAUUGAGCACACUCUGUAACAGAAAUUGGAAUGGUCCAUGCCCACAAUUGUGCACAUUACUGUCGUUGGCUUGUCAACUUCCAUCUAUGCUGUACCGAGAGUAACGUUCUCUCUGUCUGUUGAGAUUUUGCUUUCUACGUUUAAGUUUCGUCUGUUUCAUUCUUUUACCUAUAACCUUCUAGUUUUUACUGGUGGUUAUUUUGUUUUCAUUUACUUUAACCCUUUUCUUAGCAACUUUCACAAACACACACACAGAGCAAAUUUUUUUACGGUAUUUGUAAAUUUCAUGCGGACAUCCGCACAUAUAUAUAAAAGACUAUCUUAAUAAAACCUCCGUAAAACAUCAUACCAAAGGGAGGACAAUUCCUGAUGGUGAUUAUGUUUUUAUCAGUCACCGCUCUCAGACAAAUCUUAUAAACGUUUCCUUCUCUACUAAAAGGAUGAUAGCAAUGAAGUAAAGAGAUAAAGCAAACAAAACAAAAUUGGCGAAAGAAAAGCAUCAAGCAUAAGGGGAAUUAAGUCUCUAAGCUUCGGUGGGUUUGAGAAGCUUGACAGUUUCCCAUGUGAAAUCCGGGUCAUCACGACCAAAAUGCCCACAUGCAGCUGUCUUCUGAUACCGGAAGUUGCCACCUCUCUUAAGAUCAAGAUUGAUUGCUAUCAUCCCAGGCCUGAAGUCAAAGUUCUCCUUAAUUAGAGCCAGUAUAUCCUUAUCUGAAAUCUUUCCUGUACCAUAAGUGUCCACAAACACAGACAGCGGUUCUGGCACACCAAUGGCAUAAGAGACCUGGACAAGACAGCGACGGGCAAGCCCAGAAGCCACCACACUCUUUGCAGCCUGCCUGACAAUAUAUGCAGCACUUCGAUCGACCUUUGUAGAAUCCUUGCCAGAGAAGGCACCGCCACCAUGAGCACCCCAACCACCAUAAGUAUCAAUGAUGAUCUUCCUACCGGUAAGCCCUGCAUCCCCAUGUGGCCCGCCAAUGACAAAACGACCAGAGGGGUUGAGGUGGAAGAUUGUCUUUUCAUCAAGGAAAUGUGCUGGAAUGACUGGUUUAAUCACAUGCUCCUUCAGGUCCUCAGAAAUCUGCUCCUUGGUGACAGUUUCAUCGUGCUGGGUUGAAAUGAGAACAGUGUGGACCCUCUGUGGGACCAUGGCUCCACCUUCGUUCCGGUACUCAACAGUCACCUGGGUUUUUCCAUCCGGCCUCAGCCAGGGGCAUGUCUUAUUCUUUCUCACCUCGGUAAGUCUGGCUCCAAGCUUGGUGGCAAGAACGAGAGUCAGCGGCAUUAGCUCAGGUGUUUCAUCAGUUGCAUAUCCGAACAUGUGACCUUGGUCACCAGCACCAAUUUCCUCAGGCCUCUUGCUCAAGUUGCCAUGAACACUUUGAGCAAUUUCAGGGCUCUGCUCUUCAAUAUUGACGAGGACCUUGCACUUAUCGGCAUCAAGUCCAACAUCAGCUGAGACAAAUCCAAUGCCUCUGCAAGUGUCACGAACAACCUUUUCAUAAUCCACUUUGGCCUUGGUUGUUAUCUCACCAAAGACCAUAACCAUAUUUGUCUUAGCACAGGUCUCACAAGCAACUUUACUCUCCGGGUCUUGUUCCAGACAAGCAUCCAAAAUGGCAUCAGAAAUUUGAUCACAGAGCUUGUCAGGAUGGCCUUCAUUGACAGAUUCAGAGGUGAAGAGAAAAGUAUCCAUCAUUGGCUAGAAAUAGAAAAUUUUAGACAUGUCAGUUAUUUUCACCACCGUACACAAAACUAAAAUUUGAAGGAACAAAGAACAGCAAAACUUGGUACUAAAGCACUACUCUACAGUUCUGAUACAUCUGAACUCCGUGAAACUUGAGCGAAGCAAAAAAAUCUAUCAAGUAGUUCACAUAGAACUAAAACAAAUCCAUGCUCUGCACGUCACAACUUUCUUUUAAAUUUCUUACGAAACUUUUGAUCAUAAGAACAAUCCCCAACUGCCUCCCCUGCCCCUAUUUAGCAAUCUAAACUGUUUUUGAUGAAGAAAGAGAUCAUCAUAUCAUAUGUGUCGCUGAUAUUACAUUAUCCACUCAUCAUUCCGAAUAUUACUGAGACUCACUCACAAGCUUAUGAAUAAACAGAUUCUGCUUGUGUCAGAAACCGUUAACAAAGGUGAAGAAAAAUAACUUAAAAGAUCACGGAGAAUCUAUUUACUAGUUCAUUUUUUUCUUUGAUCCGUUAAACUCGAAAAGCAAACUUGUAUUCGAAUACAUUGCCCACGGCGCUCCAAGCCAAGUAACAAUAAGUGUUCGGGACCCAUAAACAUGCAGAGAACCUAAUACGACUGGAUUUUCUUCAGAAGAAUGAAUUUCCAGGCUAACAGAUUCUAAUAGGGUUAGUAUUGCCAAAUACUUUUCUUUUUUGUGAUCAUAUACAAUAUUCUCAAUAAUUUCUCCCUGACAUAGAAACCACAAAUUAAUUUUUAUUUUUUCCGGUAUUAGAACACAAUUUUAGAUGAAGAAAAGCCAAGAAAAUUAGAAUCCACAAGUAUCAAAGAUGAUUGAGCAACGUAAACAUGCGUGUCAUGUGAUUUUCUAGAUGAAUAAGUUUAAAAAGAAAUUUGAGUAUCGCUAGUGCUUACCAGUUUUGAAAGAGUGUGACCAGAGAAACUGAGAGAGUUAUUGGAAGAUAUGAAGAAGAAGAAAAAUUUUAAAGAAAAAAUGAAGGGAAAAAUAAUUUAUAGGAUCUGAAAAUGAUGGUGGGUUAGCUGCGGUUCGGUGAAUGUUAGCGCGAAAUUGGCAACUCAUUAACUGCGCGAUCCGAUUUCGUCGCAUAUAGUUUCGGGUCGGGUUGAAAGACCGGAAUCCUGACUUUUCCCAGCAUAAUUUAAAGAAUACAUAAAAAAGCUAGGGGUAAAAUGGGCAUUUGGCACAUUGUAUUAUAAUAUUAAAAUAUACAGGGUAAAAAUGCGAUGAUACUGGUUUGUACGUAGCCGGUUGCAAUUUUGGUUGCAGCCCUCGACUCUAAACAGCUGAAAUUCUUCAAGAUCAGCAGUGGCCUUUCUUUCACUGUCAAAUGGAAGCCGAUAGGUAUUAUUAUUUUUAUUAUUAUUAUUAUUAUUAUUAUUAUUAUUAUUAUUAUUAUUAUUAUGACUCUUGAGCUUCUAAGGAUAACAAUAAUUUAUUUAUUCAGUGUGUCAUGUGUGUGUGUGUGAGCAAUCACUCAUUCUUUGUGUUUGUAAAUUUUUGUCUGAUAGGUUAAACUCUCCAAGCACUUCUGUAAUUAAUCUUGAAGUUCUGGGCCAUCAACUUCAGUUCUCUCAGGUUUACUGCUUUUUCUUCUUCUUCUUGGAAUGUUAAUAAAAAUCUUGAAAGCUAAGUACUUUUUUUAAUAAAGUGCUUUUGGAUUGCAAUCGAUGCUAUGAAGGGAUGUUGUUGCAUGACUUUGUCAGAUAGGAACUGAGACAGUUUCGUAAUCUGCCUACUUUUCAUUUUUUUUUUCCACCAAGCCUCAGCCUCGUGAUGCAGUAUUUUUUUAUUGGUUUGUGUUAAUGAUCUUGCAUAUCUCUUAAUUUCUUCGCUGACAGUGGCCAUUUUGUCGUCAAUGUGUUAGGAUCCCAAUUCAAAGCAUUUAGGAACUACUGUUUGGGAUGCAUCAGUGGUGCUUGUCAAAUAUCUGGUAAUAAUUGUAUUUUCUCUUCUUUUUUUUUAUACCGUAUGUUGUUUAUUAAUGGUGUUUGCAUGGUUUUCCUUUCACAUCUUGACAACCCUAACUCAUAAAUAGGGCAUUGUCAAGUUGAGUGUUAUGUGGGUAAUUUUAUUUACCUAGGAUGUGGUAAGUGGAGUUUCCCAAGGAGUGCUAAAUAGUGAGAGUGGAAAGGCAUGAUCACAUCCACCAUUCCUUCUUAACAUCCACCAUUAUUUUUGUGUGUGUCUUGUCUAGAGCAUUAAGCUCUUGGAAUUUUUUUCCUAUACUAUGAUCUGUAUAUUUCCUUUUUGUUAUUUUUAUUGGCCCCUUCUUUUGGUUCCUUCAGAACUUAGACUUUUUUUCUAUGGAAUCUUUGAGAACUUCUGUGUUUUUCCCUUUUCUCAUUUAAGAGAAUAAAACUUCUUUCUUCUUUUAAGUGUUAAAUAAUUAGUCAUGCAUUCCAAAAAAAAAAAAAAAUUACAUAUCUGUUUGUUCCAAGUUUGUGAGGCUCUCUUUAUUUGGCCAUUCAGGAAAAAAAUUGCCGAAAGGGAAGGUUUUGCCCAUCUAAACUUAAAGGAAAACGUGUCAUUGAACUUGGUGCAGGUUGUGGAGUAGCUGGGUUUGGUGAGUUUCUAUUUUGCUAGAUAGGGUGCUUCCUACAUUCCUUGUAUGUAUCUGUUCAUAAAUACCCUUAAAUUACACAAUCAGGUAUGGUUCUUUUAGCUGACGUGAACUACUCCUUUCAGGGAUGGCAUUGCUUGGAUGUAAUGUAAUUACAACAGACCAAAUAGAGGUUUUACCAUUACUAAAGAGAAAUGUUGAAUGGAAUACAUCAAGAAUCAGCCAGAUGAACCCUGGUUCAGGUAGUGCUAGAAAAAUUCUGUGUUGCAUGGCCCAUUUCUAUGGCUUAACUUUUAAUCUAUUUUUGAAUUACACAUUUUCUCUUCUCUUCCUCUUUACAUUUUCCUCUUGUUCUGGGCUAGUAAUGCUGCUAUACUUCAUAGACAGUGAGUAUGGAUACUAGUUAUAAAUGGUAGUGGAAUCGUUAGCUGCCUGAUAGUCAGCUACGCCUGGAUCUACUGGUUCAUUGUUUUACUAUUAUCUCAAUCGGAAGUUUUGUGCUUUGUAGAUUUGCUUGGCUCAAUCCAGGCUGUGGAGUUGGACUGGGGAAACGAGGAUCAUAUAAAAGCUGUCGCCCCGCCUUUUGACUAUAUCAUUGGCACUGAUGUUGUAAGUUCUCCUGGAUGUUUACAUUUCUCCCAAUCACCUUAGUUUUUUCAUGAUGUGCAUCUGUCUUCAUGUUAAUCUCUUGAAAGAAUUCUAGAUGACCAAUUGUCAUUGUUUGGUUGUGGCAUGUCCAUGUAAGGAUGAUGUGGAAUUUAUGUUAGUAUUGUUAGGUACCAAUUAUUUCUUAAGAAUGCUUCUAUCUGUUUGCUUUAGAUCCUUAUAAUCUGUAAAAGGGAAUUGGUGCAUGCUUUUUCUUGAAAAAGGUUUGGUGGUGUGUGCUGUACUGUUUCGUGGACUAUAUUGUUAAUGUAACCAUGCCAUUUGGUUUAAUCAUGCAUGAGUUCUAUUUAGGAAAUAUAUGCUUUAUAACUUAAAAUUUCAGCAUUUUGCUUCCUCACACAUCCCCUGAAAGCUUCAGAGGUCUCUAUCGAGGAAUUCUGAAAAUUAAUUUAUUCACAAUGGUAUGCAUUCAAAGCAUGCAAUGUGAGAUCCCCAAAUGAUAUACAGAUUCUGUGGUUUGUAUGCCUGAUUUCUGGAAUUAGAUAUUUGAUUUUAAAAUUAACUUUGUGCUUUUAGGCCACUUUUCUGGAAUCAUUUCUCUAUGUGACCUUGAUAAGCAAACCUAUCUGCUAAUUUGAAAUUUUACCCUCUAUGGAUGGCAAGGCCAAGAAUUGUUGGCCUCACUUAUUAAUUGUUUCCAUUAUCAGCUGUAUAAUAAUUCGGCAGUAAAUGAAUUUUGUGUGAUUCAAGCCUCUGGCUAUAAACUAUUAUUAGAUGUAACACUGAACUUAACACAAUUUCAAUCAAGCUAGUAAUUUCCAGUUUCUUUGAUUAAGGUUUAUGCAGAGCAUCUCUUGGAACCACUUUUACAAACAAUAUUUGCAUUAUCAGGGCCCAAAACUACAAUUCUGGUAAUGUUUUCAUUGUCUAUGUUUUCUUUAACGUUUUUUUGUUGGACUAGAAUUACUGCUGAUAAUACAAUAAUUCUCUUGUAGUUGGGCUAUGAGAUCCGCUCUACAAGUGUCCAUGAGCAAAUGCUUCAAAUGUGGAAAAGCAAUUUCAAUGUGAAACUUGUUCCAAAGGCCAAGGUACUUACCCUUUUUUAACUUCUCUCUGGUACUCUUCUCUCUCACUAUAGGCCUCUGUAUUAUAUAUCUUGUGCAUUUAGUUUUCAAGUAAUGCUGAGAGCCAACAGAUAUUGGAUAUUCUAGUACUUUUCAGAAGAGUAUGUCAGAUGGAUAUAAUCUGUUUCUGCAUUAAUUUGUGAAAUAUAUUUAUUGUCAAUGUUAGGAAUCAACUAUGUGGGGCAACCCUCUAGGCCUCUAUUGAUGCAAUGAAGCAUGUUUCUAGUUUUUGUGGUUCGAAACCAAGAUUUGAGCCAAGAUAAGAACUAUCUAUGAAUGUUUUCAUUUAAAAUGAUACUUAUCAUUCUUUGGCUUUGGGCUAAUCACUUAUCACCAUGCAGAUGGACAGCAAGUACCAACAUCCAAGUAUUCAGCUUUUCAUUAUGGGAGUGAAUUCUUCAGUUGGGAACACCGAAAGAGCAGCUGAGAGAAUUGAUCAGCAAAAUGAAGAUGGAACAAAAGAAACAAAGCAGGAGAAGGACGAGAAUGAUGACAAUAGUUAUCCGGCGGAUAAGGUUGGUGAUUUUAGUGGUCAAAUCAUGGAUGAGGAUUCUUUGCUAGCAACAAGACUCCCAAAUGGGAAGCUUAGUGAGUGGGAAACAAGAAGAUAUGGUUCAAUGGCUGCUCGGCUUCUUCGAGAUGUCAAGAUAACUUAAUUUUCUGGCUGGUAUUUUUUUUAUUUAUCUUUCUUCUACUAUAUGUAUCUUUUAUACAUCAAUCAGGGAAGAAUAAAUGGUGCAAUUCAUCUAGCAUUAAGUUAGGCACCAAAUGAAAGCUUAAUUCUUUAAUCUGCGGUAGAGGACACAAUUCUGCUAGCCAAUGCAUACCUUUUUGGUCUCUCAUCAUUCCUUUUCUCUUCUGCUUGUCUGCUCAGAAUUAAAAAAUAUGCUGCUUGCAUAUAUAGAGCAAGUUGAAUCUGAUGAACAAGGAGGGACACUUGUUGCCGGAUAUUUGAUUGCAUAAAUUUUUAAAUUCUUCUACCUGUGUGUUAAUUCGUCAGCUGUCAUGCUUCAGUUUUUAUAUUAUGGACAUUUAGGCCUUCUUUUUACCUAAAUGUCAAAUUGGUUUCUCUUUUUUGGUUUUUACUUUUACUUGAUGUUUGGAAGUCUGUGAAGCACUCAUAGCUUGUUACACAACAGUAGUCAACUUCCAUAAGAAGAGAUUCUGGUUCUGUAGAUAUUGCUUCUGUCAUACAUUGUUGGUUUGCUGAUGGACUUGGAGGAAAGUAGUAUUUAGGGAUUAGACCUGUGAAAGAGUUGACAUUGUCCUCUGCACUUAUUUUCUGAAAAAAGAAAAAGGGUCUGCAUCUCUAAAAUGCUCAGCUGUGGCUUGCUUAUGCAAACAAAGCUUGGUGUUUCUUUUCAGGGCUGCCAUAUUCUGAGAGCUGACUGUAUAUGCAACUCACCAUGUGUCUCAUAAUGUAAAUGCAUCGAAGAUAUGGCAAACCGCUGUACUGGCAUUACACCACCAAGUGGGAGUGACCCUAUCGUUGAUUGGGUUCACCUAGAAUGAUGCUCAAGGAGGAUGGGAAAAAAUAUACUACAUUGAUGUAGUGAUUGCACAACAAGGGCUGAAAGAAAUGAGAUCAGCAAGGUAUUAUCAUAAGAAAUCACUUGGCAGAAGUAAAAUCAAAGCUGCUUUAUCCACCACACAAUUGCCUUAGGAUUAGGAUUCUUUUAGCCUCUAUUGUCCAUUUGUAGAGAAAGGCAAGUAACCUUGCCUUGAAUUUCAUUAGAUGAUAGUUACUGAAAUUCUUGAAAUAUUUGGUUCACCUUGGAUGCCUGGAGUGAACAUUGUGUUCUACAUGUGAGUACUUAGAAGAGUACUUGUAUUUUGAUUUUGAAGUUUGUAGUUUCGUGAAACUCAGACAUCAUACAUGGCCAUCGAUCAAAUUUCAAAUUUGUAUUUUUCCCCCCUUUUUCAGCUAAUCAGGUUUCUUACCAGUUUCUUCUUCGAAAUAACUCAUUCUUUGCCUUAUGUGAAAAUUAUCUAUAAUUCUUCCCCGCCUAGAAGUAUAAAAGUGUAUUUUGAAAGAGCCAAAUCUGCUAAGGCUUACAAUUUUCAAAGGUUUCCCCAUAUGAUCAGCACGAGGUUGGAGAAGUUUAAAAAAUGAAAUUGAAAACUUUUAUUAUUUACACAAGUAAUGCACACAGAAUUUCUGAAGAUCUUAACAAUUUUGUGGGCAACAAUGUAAUCUGAAAUUAACUGAUGCUAUAUUGCGGCUAUUUCAGAAUGAUUGGACAUGCUUUUCUGAAGAAUAUGGCUACCAUUUAAGGAUGUUUGUGAGGUUGAAUCAGACAUGCUGCUCACCGUAGAAAAUUUAUCCAUGUAAAUUCCCAAAUGAGAAAUAAGUGGUUCUGCCCGAGACUUAUCAAUGACAAACCUUAACUGCUGUGAUUUAACAGUAGGAAAUUGCAAGAGUCUCUGAUAUCCCACUGUCGUGCCAUUAAUCACCUUUUUCCAUUUCCUCUCUUCAUUCAAGAUAUCAAGAUGAAACCUGCUAAUACGCUGUCCCAUAUGAAUCGGCUCCUGAACUUGCAAAACAUUAAAAGAAACUGGUUCCUGAAGGUUUAUCAACAAUGUCCAGUCCGAAUGAUUCUCUUCAGGUGCCCAAUAGGUGUAAAUAUCUUCUUUCAUGACAUUAUGAGGGUCAAACUGAGAGUUGCUAAUGCCUCCUCUUGUACUGCUGGCACUAACAAGUGCAUUCUCUGCCAGAUUGUAAGAGAAUAUGGACUUUCGGAGCUCACUGAACUCUUGAAGUACUUGUAUAUCUUCAGCUGAUAUGAGACCCAAAGAAUUUGGGGGCACAUUUAGUAAUAAAAGACAGUUUCUGCCAACUGAUUUGUAGUAUAAAUCAAGAAGCUCCACCGCAGACUUUGGAGCUUCUGAUGCAUGCCAAAACCAACCAGGUCUGAUGGAGACAUCACAUUCGGCAGGUACCCAGUCAUGACCAUGAGGGUCGCCUCCCUGAGAGUAUCUGUUAGUUAUGUCGAACAAAAAUUCAGUGAGCCUCUUACACUUUGUACAAUUCCAGAAGAAAUCCAAAUAAAGUUUCAAACUCUCAUUCUACAACAGAAUCUGUGGAUGAUUUUUACGUUCGAAUGAGCAAACUGAACUCACCGAGGGUCAGUACCACCAAUUUUUGCAUCACUUCGAUUGAAAAGAGACCAGCAAGUAGAGUCAGCAACACCAGCCUCAUCUCCAAUCCACCUGGUGUCAGGACCAACAUCGGAAAAGAUGACAGCCCGAGGCUGGAGCUGAUGAAUGAGACUAAACCAAGAAUCAAAAAAAUACUCCAUGUCCUUUUCCCCUUCACCUUUUGCACCAUCCAACCAUACCUCCUUGAUCUCUCCAUACCUGUUAAAUUUCAAGAAAGGAACAACCAGAAAACAAUCACUUAUUAUCACUCAAUUCAUCAAUUUGAUGAAUUCUUCGCAUAUUACACAACCUAAUGAAUCAAGGUAGCAAAUGAUUGAUACAAACAGCAUGUUACCGAAGCACAAUCUCAAAAAUGCAGUAACUAGAGAAUUUCUUUAUAGAAGCAAAGCUUUCAAACUGCUCAAACACCUAACACUCGAAUCAAUUCUAAAUCUUCAAUGGAGAACAUGAAUUGAAUUCCCCGGAGGCACAGUCAUUCACUGCUAGCAAUCAAUCUUAAAACUCAAUCAAACACAUACCAAUGAACAACAAAACAAACAAAACAUCAAAAGCAAAGAAAACACCUCCACAUAAUGAAAGAGUCACCUAGUUAACAACUCAGCCAUUUGGGCCAUAUAGAACUCAUUAUACUCCAAGGUCUUGCCAUAAGAGGGCUCAUGCCGAUCCCAUGGCGAAAGGUACAGCCCGAGGUCAACACCGGCCUCUUUGGCAGCCAAUGCCAGCUCAGCAACAACAUCACCAGUCCCAUUUUUCCACUCACUGGACUUCACUGAGUAAUCCGUAUACUCGCUCGGCCACAAACAGAACCCAUCAUGGUGUUUAGCAGUGAGUAUCACGCGGUUAAAGCCGGCGCUUUUAGCAGCGUGGACCCACUGAGAGGCGUUUAAUCGGGUCGGGUUGAAGACUCUCGGAUCGGCCCUCCCCGUGCCCCACUCGGAAUCCGUGAAGGUGUUAGGUCCGAAAUGGAGGAAGAGUGCCAUUGAAGAGAGCUGCCAUUCGAGCUGGGGUGACGAGGGCAGGGGCAAAAUAGGAAGAGGGGGUGGCUUUUUGAGGGGAGAAUUGGAAAUGGGGAUGAAAUAUAGUGCGAGCAGAGUUAGGAUGAGGUUUUGUGAGAUGGGUUUUGUGCAGUUGUUCUUGUUCUUCUUCAUAGUAUGCGGGCGUGGACCUUCUUGUUGAUUCUGCUCAAGAGAAGAGGCUUUAAAGUUCAGUUUUGACCCGUAAGUGAAGAAAGAAAAAGGUUGUUACGUCGUUGUUUUACGAGUGGGGUGAUUACAUGAGGUCCAGUGCAGGGAGGUUCAUUGCUUUGACCGACUUUGAGGAAUUAUCAAUGGAAGUUUGAAGAGAAGGAAAUAGCGAAUUGGGCUUGUUUGGUUUCAAGCUUUUCAACUUAGAUGGGCGUAAGCAUGUGUCUGAUUGAUUUACUCAUUUUCAUCGGUCGCUGAUAAUUUCAUGCCUUCCUGAGGAGAAGCACUUUCUUUCAAGCAUUGUUUUCUUAGAGGGAGUUGUACAGCAUCCGCAAGUUAUUCGAUUAUGAAGUAAAUUUUACUUUCCUUCUGAAUGUGCUUCAACACAAGAACUACCCUCGUGUGGAUUUUUUAGUUUCUUGCAUCAUCUUUGAAGUGGGGGUUCAAUCUUCGCAAUUUGUUUGUGAGAAUUUAUUUCUUCAAGUACUUCACCUCUCAUUAUUUGAGGGUGGCUGUCCAUAUUGGACUUUUUAAUUGGGCUUUGGUUUAGAGAGCAGAGGCUGCAUAUGAGGUAAGGCAAGAAACGAAAUAUUGGCUAGGGAUUUACUGUCUAUCUACAAAUAUUAUCUUCUGUUUAUGCGGUUAUUUUCAUGAUUUGUCUCGACUAGUUGGUGUUUGCCAGGUUGCAUUUAGAUUUUGUGGUUUUCAUUUCCUGUUGUGUGCAUGUGCCUUCGCCUUUGCAAAUAGUUGGGCUUAAUUUCUGUGGCUUCUGUUUUAGGCCUGAGCAACACCGACCAGCUGGAAGCUUUGACUUUACCCAGUCCUUGUAGUAGAUUUUUCAAGGGAGACAUUUUGUCAUAAUCUGGAACAGCCUUUGGGCCUGCCCACUGCCUUUGUGAUAUGACCCUUUUUUUCCCUAGAAGGUAGACAGUGGACAAAUCGAAAUAAAUUUUUUAACUUCUAUAUUUUUCUCAUAUUUAAAUUCAAAUAGUUAAUAAAAUAAAAUUGCUUGAACUCUAACUUGGAACGGGCUCCUAAGAGUCAUUUUAAUUAUAUCUUACGAGUCAAAUUUUCUUUCUUGCAAUUAGGGAUGGGCAAAUUCAGGUUCGAAUCAACCUGGUUGGAUUUUGGUUAAUCAGAUAGGGAAGAAAAAUAAACGAAUUCAACAUGAACUUGUAACCCAAUUCGGUCCGGUCGAAUAUGAUUCGGAUCAGAUUGAAUAUUUGUAUUUUUAUGUGCAUUGUGAUCCGGAUUGAAUCGAAUUUGACUUGAACCGAUAUGAUCGAUUGGUCAAAUCCAACCCGAUCAGAUUGAAUUUUUAUUCACAUCUGAUCUAAGCCUAAUUUUUUUGGAUCUAAUUGAGUCGAGUCAGGUUAUUUGCUCACCCCUACUUACAAUUGAACCCAAUUACCAAAGAGAUUGACUUAAGAAGCAUGUGCUUGGUUACAUGGGUGAACUCUCAUAGAAAGAUGCAUUGCUGACGUACUAAAUAUGACUUCUACUAACUACUAACACAGCACGUUCAUAAAUCACAAACAACUAUGAAGUAGCUUAGUAGAAUGUGCUAGCCGGAAGCAAUGUAUUGAAUCGCUUGAUUUAUCAUAAUAUAUAGUUCAACUCCUAGGUCUCAAAUCCAUCAACUUAAUUUAUUGAACUAUCUCAAGCUGUUAGACUACUUCUCCUUCAUCUAUGUAACUCCUUCAGUGUUGAUUGCUUAUCUAUAAGUAUGAAUAUUAAAAAUAAAAUUUUAUUUUUGAAGGAAAAUUAAAGCAUAAUUAUUGAUAAAAAUUUUCCUGAUUAAGAUUUAAGUGAUAGUGAUACCUCAAAAAUACAAUUUAGUCAAUCCCACACUAGAGACUUGCUUAAUUUAAUAAUGUUUUGUAGGUUUGAACCAAUACUUACCAACCAGAUCAAGUAGCUAUACAGAUAGCUUGCUUAUAUAGUACACCAGAUAUAUAUAAAAACCAAAAGGCUUGCAAUUGCAUGAGAUGAGUGAUUGAUUGGCUCUCGUCUGAUCUCACCCAACAAACCCCAUCUCAUCAUCCUGCCUGGUUGUACACACACACUCAACCAAAAUGUAGCACUUGUGAUACCAUCACCACUCGCACAAGCAAAUACCAAAAACUUACUCCUUUAAUGCCAAGUUGAUUUGUAUAAAUAAACUAUAGAUUGUAAAUUUAUUAACAAUUUUGUCAAAUUUGUGAAAAGCAUCUCAAAUCACAUCAAAUUCAUCAAUUUUUUUUUUGGUUUAAAGGAAUGCAUUUGUUUAAAGACUAAUAAUGGUCAAUAAUAAAAUUUUAUGAAGGCAUAAAUACAAGAUCAUAUUCAACUUAAGUAUAAUAUAUAGAAUAAAACCUAAGAUUCAAUCCUAAAAUAAUACAACUUCUAUUAACUAAACACAAAUAUAUCUAUAAACACUACAAAUUUUUAAUAAUUGAUAGGAAAUAAAAAUUUCACUCAUUGGAACUACUUAAGCACUAGAGAAAUUUUAUAGGACAUGUCUAGCCCACCUUAACUCGCCUCAACUAAUGCAAGUGAGACUCUUUCCCAUUGAUAAAAGAAAAUCGAUAUAAUCGAUAAUCCAAGACAAACAACACAACACAAUUUUAAAAACCAAAUACAAAACUGCCAACAAAACUACAAGAACUUGAUAACAAAACUGUCUAUCUUAUAAUAAUCUAGCCUCUAGAUGAACUCUCACCCAAGCCAAUAUUUACUCGCCCUACCCCAUCAAAAUCUCAAUGCACUAACUCUUAGAGUUCUUCAAUAACUCCAAUACAACUAUGUCAUCCUUAUACGAAUAUUAACACGAUCCUAACAAAUAAACUGAAACAACACUAUAUUCAGCACGGAAAAAAUUUCAAGAGAGGUAGAUAUGCAAUAUUCAAACACAAAAAUACAAACAAAUCCAAUAAAUGAAAAAUCUAAUAAAUUUAUAAAGAAAAUAGAAAAUAAAGGGCAAAACAUAAAAUAGAAGAAAAAAUGAAAAGACAUAAAUUCAUGAAAAUGUUUAAAACCUUGACGAAAGCUUCUUUAUUAUUAUUAUUUUUUUUUCAAGAAGAGAAUGAGAGCACGCGCGAGUGAAGCCAAUCAAGCUUGGGGACGAGGACAAAUUGGUGGAAGAAUCAAAAUCAGUCGUGAAAAUCGAGGAUCGGGUGCCACGUAUGGGUUUCGUAGAGUUAGAGACAAGUCUUUUGAAAAUGAUUUUUUUGGCGCUCUUUUAAUCUUUAAUUUUUCAUUUUUUUAACUCCCAUCACAAGUCGCAACAUCGAACACGAGUGUUCGAGUGUUACGCAACAUAUGACGUCAUUUAAGACAGCGAGGCACUUUGUCUUUUGUCCGAGCGAAUCCCAGUUCGGACUUGUUUGACUUUUGUGUUUUCAAUAUUUGCAUCAAUAAGUCCCUGCUUGUUUCACUAAUUGUGUCUUAUUCCGAAACUCAUAACGGUUCAAACUUGACAAAAUUUGACUUUCGGGUAGUGUGAAUAUCACUCCACUUUAGUCCAUCUCAAUUGAAUUGAUAUUUAUUUAUUAGGUGAUGUGAAAAAAAAGAUUUAUUUAAUCCUUAUAAUUUAAAUUACUUAUUUAAUUAGUUCAUAUAUUUAUAUAAAAAAAUUAAAAGGCCUCUGUUAUAUUCGUUUAAGUUAAAAUCUACUUUAUUAUUCUUUAUUUUUAACUGUUGAGUGUACGACUUAUUAGAAUUUUUAGUUAUAUAAGAUAAAAAUAUAUAUUCUUUCUUUGAAAGUUAAACCCAAAAGUAAUAAAAGUAACGAUAAAGUCUUUUAUAGAUAAUUUUGAUAUUUUAUUUAGUCGGAAGAGUUUAGGUAAGACUUUCAAAGUCACUCUCGACGAGAGAAUCCAGGCUAUUCAAGAAUAAUUGCAGCAAUUCCCCAAUCUUAACGAAGUAGUUCUUUUGGAAUCCAAUGAAUAACAACGAUUACUUAAAAACUUACAUUUAGAGAACAAUCAAUACAAGGUUACUUUACCUUUUUUUACUUUUCAUGAUAGAUUGGCUAAACUAACGAAAAAGAAAAAGAAAUCGCAUUGAAAUCGAUUUUUAUUGACCAAUUAGAAAUGUCUCCCAGGAUCUAUAAUUGUUUCAAAAUGUCCAAUAUACAUACAUUAUUCGACCUUUUGAAUACGCGUCAAGAAAACCUUAUGAAAAUUGAACACUUUCGCAUAGAAGAUGUAAAGUAGAUAAUGAGUAUUCUAGAAAAGAAAUAGAAAAGCAUUUCACAAUUGAUUUACCAAAAAAAAGUUUUAAAUCAAUUGAAUUUAGUGCAAUUUUUCUAUUCUUUAGAAAAAAAAAGAGAAAAUUGAAAUGGCUUUGCACCUUUAAAUCCGUCUAUAUAUUCAGACUUGAAUUAAAUUGAAUAGAAGUAUUUAGGGAGAAUUCACUUUGAUAAGAAACAUGACAAACAAAACAAUAUUCCGCAUGAAAUUAUAUUAAGGAUAAAAAUAUAAAAUUAGAAGUAAAAUUUUUUCAGAAAUCACCAACUAACUAGGGAAUUAAUAAGAGUAUAAGACAACUGAUCAUCUUAGUAAGGAUCAGGAAGCCGAAUUUCUCAAGUAGGGAUCACGAACAAUCUUUUAUUAAAAUGCAAAUGCGUUUACAAAUUAGUGAUCCAAUCACGCUAAGGCAAGUGCUAGGUGUAGGGUAUAUAUCCAUCUGUUUGUGUCCGUUUUCAAAGUAUUUAGGUUAUGACUUUUUUUGUAUUUUAUUUUAAGAGGGGAAAAUACUUUCAUUCAGAAAGAAAAGGGUAGGCUUAAGACCUUUUUUUUUUUUUUUUUUAACUCCCAUACACUUAAUCGUAUGGUUUUCAUUUAGCAUUAUUCAUUUAGUCACCCAUGUUUGAAUCCAAGAGAGGUAGUAGUAGUUAAAAGACUGGUUUGGAUUUUGCCUACCCUUCUAACCCUUUUUCUUUUUUUAAAUAAAAAAGAUAACUUUCAAUUAUUCCUUGUAAAAUGAAAAUCUUCAAAAUAUCGUAAAUUAUUGUACAUCUCAACACACUUUUUUUUUCAAAGGUUAAGGAAAAAACGGGACAGUUAAUGAAAAUUUUUUACCUUCUUAACAAAAAUGGCCGGAGAUAAGUUGAAGUUUUCAAUAAUUUAAAAGAUAUUUUAAAAAUUGUUAUUUCAUGAAGGGUGUUCUCAAAUCUGAUAAAAAAAUGUCAAUUGCCAUUUUCCUAAUUUAGAUAAAUACUUCUAAUUUUUUUUGAAACUCACUGGAUCUGGACUUCUAAACAUUCAAUAUAUAUUUGAGGCUAGUUAGCAUGAUUUAUCAAUGAUAAAUUGUUAAAUUUUUAGAACUGUGUAGCACCGAUUAGCCUCAAAUUUAUACUUUCAAAUAUGCAGAUGCUCCCACUGGAGAAAGAACCUAAAUCUUUAUAAAUUAUACCUAGACAUAAUAAAUUUUACACAUAUACAUGUACGACCCGUCAAAGGUUAUGGAAUUAAUGUAGGGAAAAAAAUAUGUAGAAAAAUGUAGUUGACGAUACAAGUGUGGUAACAAGAAGAACAGCCUGAUAUUUUUCAGUUCUUUUGGUUUCACACCACAUGAAAGUUAAUAUGUUUAUUUUGGUAAAUAAAAUUAUGGAAAACAAUUCAAAGAAAUAGGCCAAAAAGGGGGGCCAAAGUGCAAAAGUUUGCAAAUAACAAGUCUUGCUUUGCUUUUCCCAAAAAUAAUUGAAUAUUGUUUAUGAAGAAAUAAUGGGUACAGCCUGCAUCAAAAUUUUUCUAGCUUAGUUUGCCAACCGUUGAGAAAGUGAGAAAAAACGUACAUGAGUAUGCAUCUUUCCUGUCUAGGGGAGUCAAUGCAUAUGACGACAUUUGUCUCUUCUGCAUGUUCCUGUAUUUAAUUUGAUCCAAUGAUACAUUAACUUCGAUUAAUUAUUUCGUUGUUUGUUGUCUUGAUAGAGAAUUCAAGACACCAUUUUGUUUAUUUUCAAAUUAAAGAUUCCUCUCAGCCGAAGAAACGACACAGAAACUUGAAUUUUUAAACUCGUUAUUGCUUUCUUUAAUUUGCUGUGUGAAUUAACAAAUGCCUCUAUCUCUGUCCCUUUCGAUUCCAUAUCUAUUUACAAGUAAGAUUUAGGUGUAGGUUGCAAUGCAUAUCCUUGCUUUUCUCUGUUAAUUAUUUGUAACGUAUAGUAUCCAUAUGCUUGUAUAAACGAACAAGCAUAAGGAACAAUUAUUUAUACAUUCAGGGCUGGCUUUACAGUAUUAGGGGCCUUAGGCGAACUUUUUUUUUUUUAUGAGGCCUCUUUUUAUUUAGUAAUUUCAAUACUCAAUAAAACAAUAAAGAACUGAAAAUCCAUUUCAGUUUUAAUUCUUGAAUUUCAACAAAUAAUCAAGAAGAUUCUAAAAAUGUUCAAAAACAAAAUCUAAAAUUUACCAUUAGAAAUUAUACAGAAAGAAGCAAACGAAUAAAUGAGAACAAUACUAUUUUCAAAUAGAAUAUUUAGAAUGGUAGCACAUAAAAAGUUGAGAUCAUGAAUAGAUGGUUAGAUAACGGAUAUGGACUUUGUAUUUCAUGUAACUAAUUUUUUCUUUUCUUUUUUGAAUGAACUAAUGCAUGUAAUAAUCUUCAUUGUAGAGAAGAGAACAAGAAAUUUUUCAUCUAUAAUUUUCUAGAUUAUAAGAUUUUUAGUAGAAAUUAAAAGGAAUACUCAAAGUCAAAGAUUCUAAUGUUGAAUAAUUGAGUUUUUUUAAGAAGUUGAAAAGAUAAAAAAUUUACUUAUUUUUAUUAGAAAAACUAAUAAUGAAGAAAUUAAUGGUUAGACAAUAUUAUUAAUUAUAUCUCUUUAACAAUAAGAUAACCAAUUAUAGGUUUUUAUAUAAAUAAUAAUAAUAAUUAAUUAUAGGAUAAUUAUUAAUUAGAGAUAUGUCUAAUAGGCUUUUCUACCACACAUAUAAUUUUUUAAAAAUAUUUUAUUAACUAGAGAAUUAUUACUAAUACUAAAAAACUGAGGCCUUUUUAAAAUUUGGACCUUUAGGCGACCGCCUUGUUCGCCUAUACUUAAAGCCACCCAUGUAUAUAUGCAUAAAGUUUUAGCAUGUUGCUGUGUCAAAUGUACGAAAUGAAAAAAAUAAUGGCAAGAAAGCAACUUUUGAAUUUGAAUAAUGAGGAUAAUGAAACUUAUUAUUAAUUAUUAUUUAAAGGGUUUGCUUUCGUUAUGAGUUUAAAGUUAUUUAAAGCAUUGGCUCUAGAAUUUCUUGCUGAUUAGCAUUCGAUAUUUGAAAUUAGGGUCUAGUUUAGCAGCCUAAAUUGUCACCGUCAAGGGCAGUAGAAAAAAGACAAGGAACUUGUGCAAGCUCUGUGCUUGGCUGUUUUACCUUAAAAAACUUCAAUAAUUAACCACCAAUAUUUGUUGAUAAAUUAUGCUAACUGUCAAUUAUUUUUGGGUUUUACCAUCAACUAAGUCAACUGGGUUAAUUUUUUAUUGUCAUUACUUUAUUAACCUCUAAUAUUUACUAUUCUCUUAAGUAACUAUUUGUGUACAUAAUUGAAUUUACAAAUAUUCUCUGAUGCCUGAUAUGUUUGCUAGCUAGUCUGUAAGAAAGAAAUCAAAAUGAUCUUUAAAAAAUUAAGAUAAGGUAUAUCUAAAUAUAUUUGAGUUAUCAUCCUUUCCUAAUUGAGAAAGUUAGGACAAGUCUCAUGAUUUGAUUGCUCGGCAUCAUUGGGAUAGUAUUGUAUAAGAUUUUCUCCUAUUAGUAUAAGUUCUUUUAAACUUUUAAAUAUCUUGAAUCAUGCAUAUAUUUAUGCCAGUGUAUGGUCAAUAUUUAAUAACAUUUAUUUUUACAUUCUUAUAUAAUAAUCGCUAUCAUUAGAAACAAAGAUAAUAAGAGAACCUCAUCUAUUUGUCACCAUUACUUAUCAAUUUGCACGUAGAAAAGGUAGCUUUAUUAAUUGGACAUGGGCACCCUUUCUCAAGCGAAAAGGUUUGAUUAAUACGAAUUGAAAUGAUGAUGGCCUUUACAAAUUGACAGGUCAACGAACAGGGAUAUGAAUGCAUAUAUGUUGUUGGUAACAGAGGGGUAUAAUAAGAAUACAAGAUAGGUAAACAUGUCUUUGUUUACAUAUCAUUUGCUUUCAGUAUCACUCAUUUGAUUUAGUGACCUUAAUUUUAAGCGCCGACUACUAUAAUUUAUCUUUCAUUCAGCAUAUAUAUAAUACGCAAUUGGAUUGUGUAAGUUUCCAAAUGGAGUAAGAACUAUACAAUUAUCAAUCUUUUUUUUUUCAGAUUUUAUUAUUAUUUUAUCUUUCUCGAGGGAAAGUGAAUUAUAAGAUGAUGGAGAAUUUGAUAUUUCCAUAUUAUACGUGAUUUAUUAAAAUUUCCAAAGAACUGGUUGUUAUGAAUCAAUGAAUUGAACAACUAGGUAUCAAUACACGUUUGCAAUGACUCAAUCAAGCUCAUUAAUUAGCAUGGAUAAUGAAAUUAAUACAUGGGACCACGAUUAUUUAUAUUCUAGUUAACAUGCAAAUUUUAAAUGCAUUGAUGUAAGCACUUUAAAUUUCAACGGAUCUGAUUGUCAUAGUCUCUAUCUCAAUAUGAAAUCAUAAUAAAUUUUUUCGUUUUCUUGUGAAUCACAUGUUUUCUUGCUUUAAAGUAGCCAAAGAUAUGACCAAAAAAAUUAAGCAUUAAUAUGAACUGACAACUGAGUCAAAGCAUGUACAUUGUACAAGUUCUAUUUUUCCCCACCUCAGAUUAAAUAUUGAGAGCAGUAAUUAAUAAAAAGAAGAAAAAUAAGCUAAAAGACAUGAAAAUGUUCCAACUUUGCCCCAAUAUUCAUCAUUUACAUAGUUUUUUUCUUUGUUUUUUCUUUUUCCUUUAAGCUAAGAUCUAAAGCAUCAUGAAAGCUCACCAAAAUUGACUCGAAAUUAGAUAUUAUAUGUCAUAGGAAUUCUCUAUUAUAUAUUUAUAUGUCAUAUACAGCUGAUUGCUACGUCACUUUCUUUUAUAUAAUCUCGAACUGAUAUCCUCUACAUUGUUGAGAGCAAUAGCUAGUUAAAAACUUCAAUUCAUAUUUUCAAAUAGUCAUUUGACCACAUUAGCGUCUAAGAUUUUUAUUUGCGUCGUGUUGCUCACUUAUGAUGCAUGCAUGCCUUUUAUUUGGGGAAAGUUAAUGUAUAUAGAUCUUUCUAUGGUCUCUCAUAAAAAUUCUGAUUCUGAGGUUCAUAUGGUAUUGUGGUUUUUACACUUAAAAGUCGCAGUUAGGGUAAAAUGGAAUUUCUAUUUAUAAAAAUAAAAGCUAAUAUGUCGCUUAAUUAAGUCAUUUCAUAAGGUUCAACAAAUAACCAAAGGAUGAAUUGAUCAUCGCCUCCUUGAGGCUCGCAAGGCUGAGAGGUUGCAAAAUAAUGGCCAAUCAAAAAGUUAUACACCAUAAUAUGUAGUACAUGUUCAACUUAAGCGAUCGAGGAACGUUUCUAUUUUUAGAAUGCAUACUGCAAGUAUAGUUACAGUUUAGACCAUGGAAAAUGGAAGUGCUGAUUUUUAUGGCCUACAAAAUCCGGUAGAGUCCCUUGCAUUUCGUCCUGAGGCCUCGAUUUCUAUGUGUCGCUUAGCAAAACACGAAAGGAAAUGCUAAAAUGUACCAUGAUCGUCUGUAAAGAUUGUUUGCCUUUUUUCGCAUAAUAAACUUGUAGCAAUAGCAAUGAUUCGUCAACAAUGCAAAAAAAGGCAUUGAUGAGUCUGUCCCAAACACCUGAUUAAAUACGAAGAAUCUAUCUGCCUGAUGGGUCCAUCAAUAUGUAUGUGUUCAUUUCAUUGUUACUAUUUUGGGUAAUCAUAUACACAAAACACAAUUGAUGGACCCUGAGUUCUAGAGAAAGGAUCUUAAAAAACAAAGGGUACAGUCUGAUUUAAUCUAUACGUAUAAUUUUGCAACAUUUUUUUCAUAAAUUGGAUCACAUAAUACCCACAAAACAAAAUUAAAAUAGUUGAAAAAAAUCAAUUCAGUGAAAAAUCUUACCAUAUCUCAAUUACAUUUAUGAAAAAUGGAUUGUAUUUGGUUAAAAUAUCAAAUGCGGAAAGCUCUCUUGAUCCGAAUUAUUCUUGACUUUGAAAUAUUUUGCAAAAAGUGUAUGAAUAACGAUCAAUUAUCACUUUAUAUUUUUUCUUAAUAGAAGUAUAGGUCAAGAGAGAUACUUAUAAUAUGAAAGUAUUAAGCACAUUAUUGGUGUCAUAUAUAUAUAAAUUUUUUGGUUUGACAAUCUUUUUAACGAAGUUGAAUCCAGUUAGUUAUAUGUUUAUCUACCAAUGGCAAAGGUCUUCGGUUCGGAAAAUGUCACAAUUCAAAGAGAGGUGUAGCUAUCAGUUCAUUGAUCAAUUAAGUGACCAAUACCAUUUCUAGUUCUUAUCAAGACUUUGGAUGCUUUCAACAAAAGCAAUAAUAGAUUGACUUAGCAAGGGUUUAAACUAUGAGAAGAGAUGGAAAGUUCUUUUAGCUAAGCUAAUUAGCAUAAAAACAGCUUAUUGAACUUGUCCACCAUUUUGACUUCAUGAAUCUUUAUGAAUAAAAUAUUUGUAUGCUAGUUUCUUACUAGACACAAACCGAUGAAUAAGUUAAAUUUCCUAUUAAUUGGCUCUAUAUAGGUCACACAGCCCCCAGCUAAACAGAGGUAAUAAUAAUUUUCAUUCAUUUAUAAAGUGAGAGCUAGACCCUUUGGUUACUUAAAGAGGUCAGCAUAUAUCCAAAGAUCAAAACACUUCGUCUUUCGGAAAGAGAGAGAGAGAGAGAGAGAGAGAGAGAGAGAGGGAGAGAGAGAAAAAAAGAGAGAAAUGGGUAGGGCUCCUUGCUGUGACAAGGCAAAUGUGAAGAAGGGGCCAUGGUCACCUGAAGAAGACUCAAAGCUUAAGGAGUACAUAGAGAAAUAUGGCACUGGUGGCAACUGGAUUGCUCUUCCUCAGAAAGCUGGUAAGAGCAUACAUGAUUCACUCUCUUUUUCACUCUGAGACACAUAGAAGUGUAUUUAUUUAUUUAUUGGUUGGUUUAAUUUGGAUUAGGUCUAAAGAGAUGUGGGAAAAGUUGCAGACUGAGAUGGCUCAACUAUUUGAGGCCAAAUAUUAAACAUGGGGAAUUUACUGAUGAGGAAGAUAGGCUGAUCUGUAGCCUCUUUGCUAGCAUUGGAAGCAGGUACCAUAUUUGUUCUACCUUUUUUCCCCUUUUUUUUUCAACUGCUUUGAUAAAAGUAAUAAUAACUAUCAAAUCUAUCAAAAAAGAGUGCUAUUAUAGUUGAUCAUUCGCAUGCAUGCCAAGUUUAGAUCCAACAUCAACAGUCAUCCUCACAGUUUCUUUGAAAAAAAGGCUCUGGAGUUUUUAACUUCUUUUCUUAUUUAAGGACUUUUGCUAACACAUACAUAUAACAUGCAAUGGCACAUGUGUUUGUAGAUGGUCAAUUAUAGCUGCUCAGCUACCGGGUAGGACUGAUAAUGAUAUCAAAAACUACUGGAACACAAAGCUCAAGAAGAAACUCAUGGCCAUGGCUCCUCCAUUAUCAUCACAAAAGAAGAGCACUGCUCCACCACUGAUCCCAUCAUCUCAUCAUCAUCACCAAGCUUUAGUGUCACUACUACCAUCUCAACCCUAUUACACCCCUUCUAAUAAAUCUCUUAUCAGUAACUCUUUUGAUUCUUUUGAACCCAUUUCAUCAAACACCCCAUUACAUCUUUUCGACAACAACAACUUGAUCCAAAUCCAAGAAAACCAGCUGUUUAGUAAUAAUAAUUCCAUGCAGGGUUACUAUCCAAUGAAAGACAAUUUCUUGACUUUUGGUAGCGAGCAAAGUUGCAGUUCUUCUGAUGGUAGCUGCAGCCAGAUCAAACAAGAAGAUAUUGGGUUUCAUCAGGGCUUUAAUUACUCGAAUGGGUUUGAAGAGAAUAACCAGAAGUUCAUGCUCAACUAUGGCAGCAGCGAUAGAGGUGGUCAUGAGAGUCUCAACCAGUGGAGUGAGAAGCCAAAUGGGUAUUUUGGGGAAAUUGCAUCAGACUAUUCACUUGAAGAUGUUAAGCAAUUGAUUAGCUGUAGUAACAUAAAUGGCUGUAACAAUGAAAACAACAUCAACUUCUUCAGUAGCACUGAUCAAGAAACCAAGUUGCAGGACAGUAAGGUCAUGUACCACUACUUCAACUACUGAAUCAUGAAUCAUGAAUCAUGAUGAUUUGAAACUGACUUGUGUUCUUGUAUUCUCCUGUAAGUAUUAAAAAAAAAAAAUCUGAAUGAUUUGACGGGGUAAGUAAGGGGGUGAUCAGACGGAGAUUCAAAGAUGAUAUGACUUUGAGUUUCUGGGGCUUUGUGUUUUGAUGAAAUGAAUUGAAUUGAUAAAACAUUUUUAUUUUCUUUUCUUUUGUUAAUUUCCUUUUUCUUGUGCUUUGACGGUACAUGGUAAAUGCUUCCUUUUAUUUUGUGCAUAUAUUUCUUUUUGGGACUCUGUGUCACUGCAAACCCCCAAUCAGAAGUAAAUGUUUUGUGAAAACUAGAUAAGAACUUAUCCUCAUUCAAGAAACAAAACUUUGAUGUCAAACUUAACCAAACAACAAGCAAUCUGCAAUAUACUACUAUUUUUAUUAUGUCUCUUCUUUGGUACACUCCACUCUAUAUCUUGAAAAAAUUUUGACUCUUCGAUCCACUCUUUAAGUUUUCGUUCUUGUUAUUCCAAAUUUUACAGCAAUUUGCACAAUAAUACCCCAUAAGUUGAAAGACAAAAUCGAUGAUUUGGAGGAUUCAGCAACGGAACAUUGAGGCUGAAAGUGUUAUACCAAACUGCAUCGCCCUGAAGUUUUCAUUAAUAUUACAUUUAAAAUAAUAGCAGAGAGUUAUAAGGGGGCGCCCUCCUUGUUUGAUCAAUUGGGUGUUAAUAAUAUGUUACACUAGGUGAAAAGGCUAUUCUAGCCCCCAUAAAAUAAUGUUCUAUUUGAUGCAAUGAGUGCAUCGCUAGCCAGGAAUACAGUACACACUAGACUUUUAUAUGAAUAAAUUGGUCAGAGAUUCAAGGUGGGAACUUGAUCUCCAUUAAUUUUAAAACAAAAGGAUGAUGGUGCAUGUUUUGGAAUUUUGUGGAGGCAAACGCUUUAACAAUGACCAAUAUUUAUUAAUCAUAAUCUCAGUCUUCUUACACAGUCAGUUUUUUAAUAGUGUAUGUAUGUCUAUGUGAACAUUCAUGGAUUCCUCAUAUAUAAUUGGAUAUUCUCAUAUUGAUUUGAAAUUUUAAAGAUCUGGCCUCAUAUUUGUGUAUAUAUAUUUCAGUGUUUUUGCUCGGUAAAAUUAUCAAAUCAACUUGAAUUACAAACUCAAUCACAAUAAACUUCUUGUAGAGUACGUAGUACAUGUAUUCUAAAACUUGCUCUUCUUUUAGAAGUUGCUUUUUUAUUUAAUUGGACAUUUAUCCCUAAUGUCUACUUACCAAAAUUAAAUUGGAAACGUGUAACUAUUUGAUUUCCAGUGGACUAUUUUCGAGGGCAGUUAAUGUUAUUUUUGAAGAACGUGUUGUGGAAAAAGUAUUUUUCUCUCUGAUAAUUGUAUUUUCUCGAUGUGACUUAAUACGACGAUAGUUGAUAAUAACGUUCUCUCAAAAAUAAAUUUUCCAAGAAUAUAUGAAUAUUUUCGAGGACAUUUACCCGCGAAAAUGACCUUUUUAUUGUAGUGUAAUUACCAUAAAAUGCAAUAGACUGAAGAUUUAAAAUACAUGACUGAACACUUUAAAUCAUUUCGUGCUAAGGUAAUAGUAGGUAUACAAAGCCAAGUGGCUUGUGCUUGUUCACAAAUCAAGAAGCCAGCAGCAAAUAAUGGCAUUAACAGUUUGUUUUCCGUUUCAACUCAUGGAUUCCUUGCAUUAUUAACCAUUCUAUUCAUUACAGGCAGUCACUUAAUGUCAUUUGAAGAUGCUCUCUUACGACUUGGCUCAUAUAUCAUUAAAAUUAUGUUAACGUAUACGUGUAAAAUUCAAGAAAACCAAUCGACAUGAGUCUUAAAAAAGUAUAAGAAUUUGAUUAAGAGAUUUGUAAUUUGCUAAACCCCAUAGGCUGAUGCAGAUCAUAAUCUCUCUUGUUCAACCCUUCCAAUAAUUAAUUUGUGAGGUUGCCGGUCAUAAUUAUUAAUAUUCCCGUGAUGCUUUCAUACCUUACAAUAAUUGGUCCACGUAUCUUUGAUUCUUUAUCCAAUAACCUAUGAUGUAUGCUCACCAAUAAUAUAUGCAUAUGCGUUAUAUCAUUUUCAUUAUUUAAUUUCCACAGACCAGAAAUUUUGAGUUGGGAAAUUUGUGUAAUUUUACCGGGGACUUAAAAAAAGAAAAUACAUAAUUAUUGAAGUUAUUAAAAUAUUAAAAGGGUCGGGGAAUCCCCAUUGGGAACCAGUCCAAUCCAAUCCAGUGGAGUCCAAAAUUUCUUUGUUCACAAGAUCUCUGUCAGUGUUGCACCACUGUUACUUGUCCAGCCUUUUCCUACAUAAUAAUAAUAAUUUAAUUCAAUUUUAAUAUCGAGGAAUUAUUAAUAAGGGCAUCAUCAUUAUUGAUUAAUUAAAUAAAUUUUGAUACACGUACUGUAGCAACCGCAAGCCAAAAGCAUUUAAGAUUAAAAUAAUUGGGCUGCCAACUAUAUUAUAUGUUUUAUUUUGUUUAAUCAAAUAAAAUUUCUUUUGGGUGGGGGGGGGGGGGUUNNNNNNNNNNNNNNNNNNNNNNNNNNNNNNNNNNNNNNNNNNNNNNNNNNNNNNNNNNNNNNNNNNNNNNNNNNNNGGGGGGGGGGGGGGAUUUUUUAGUUUUGAAUAAUUAGUAGGGGAAAAGCUUUCUAGGAAUGUCUUUUCUAGUGAAGCGUAGAAGGUCAAAAGGCCUGGAACCUACUGACAACAUGACACUUGAAAUAAUUUAUUCAUUUUUUUAAAUGAACGUUUUUUCAUUAAUAAUAAUAUUAAAAAGAGGGUCUGUUGUCAAUAGGGAGGGUAGCACAAGCGAUAUAUAUUAUCAAGGUUUCGCAAUUUUAUAUGAAAGAUCUGUCUUCAUUAGGGAGGCUAACUAGCACGCUACUUACUAAAUUAUACUAAUAAUUUGAGUUUUAAUCAAAGACCUUUGUAUUUUGACUUGGUAGAAAUUUGGAGCAAAUUUUUGUAUUAAACUACAAGCACGCCACGCAAUUGAGUGUUUGAAAAAAUGAAUACACUUGAGUAGAGUAGUGGCGGUGCGGGGCUACAACACUUUCAGUGCCCUCUAUUUCAAGGCUAGAUUUUUUUAUUUUAUUUUAUUUUAUUUCCCUUGUGCCAAAAUGACUUUAAUGAGGAGAGAAAGUAUGAACCUUUGCUUCAAAUGUUGAAAUGCUUUCAUAUGAUGAACUCGAGUAUUUAGCAUCCAAUUAUUGAGCCCUUUACCUUGAUCCGGUUGACUAGUUACAUUACACCAAAAGUCAACAUUCUCAUUUGUACCGAACAACGUAACCCUAUUGACUUUUGAUAUGUAUUUAAGAAAAUAACUACAUAAAAUAACAUUAUCCAAUCUAUUUUCAAGACUUUCGCAAAUGUCCAAUCAUAGUAAAUUAAGGAUUUAAGGGCAAUAAAAAUAAAAAUUUCUCCGAUGCUAACAUCCAUACUUUACCAAAAUGUGAGUUGGAGCAAUGCAAUCAUUAAUUUGCAGUGUACAAUAACAGCACAUCAGACAAUAGAAAGUGAAGUGCGGACAAUAGUAGAAGAGAAGAAUUAGAUAGGCUGCUAACUUUUAUUUGAUCUGUGAUUUCCUAUCUCCUCAAAUCUUUUAAAUCCACAGAGUUAAAAACUAGCCUUAUACCCUAUGGCCAUGAUAACCUUUGGUUGGGUGAAGAAAAGAAAUCAGCAAAUGGAAGUUCCCAUACCAUACUUCUCUUCAAUAUCCUCAACUAACAAGCAGAAGAUCACACAUAUUGAAAAUAGAUGCUUUGAUCAUAACCUCAUUAUUGUAGUACAAGUCUUUCGGAGUUUGAAACAUAUUUGCGAUCGUAUUUCAGUCCAUAAUGCAUCUCAUGGAAGACGUUCUAUUCAACAGAGAAUUUAUCAAACACUACAAUGAAUGGAUCCCGCCUUCCCUGCGUGAAAAUCAAUUAUUUUAAGUUCAAGAGCUCAUUCAGAAAAAUAUGAUAAUAAUAACAUGACAACAUAAUUUUCUGCCGAGCUACAUGAAGUCCACAACAACAAAAAAAAUAAAUAAAUAAAACAAAAAAAAUUUAGUAAUUGUGCUGAGAAGCAAAAGAAUAUAAAGAAUUCACUUUGGCAAACAAAAAACAAGGACAAUCUCAAACAACCCCCCACCCCCAAAACAAAAAAAAAAAAACAUAUUUUAAACAUUAAAACAGAUCCUAAUUAUUUACCAAGAGAUCAAUUCCCCAUUCAUGGGGAAAAAAUGGGUACAAAAUACAAUCUUUUUCAAGGAAUUUUCCAAAGGUACAAUCUUAUUAAAUUUCCUCUAAGAAACUUUUCAUGAUAGUAAUGAUGUUCAAUACUUAAAAACAUAAAUCACUAACCAUCAAGCCCACGUCAGUUUAUCAUUUAGACUCAGUUUGGUAUUAUGGUGAUGUGGAUUUUAAGCCACAACUGAUGUGAAAUGGAAGCUCAGAUCAUGAAAUAAAAGUUAUUAUGUUUAGUAAAUAUACUAAACAUAAUAACAAUUUUGACAAAAUAGUAGUAUAUAUGUAUCAUCAAACAACUGUAGCAUAAAAUCACCUUAACUUUUAAAGUAAAGUUAGAAGCGCUCACCAAACACUUCACAACUGCUAACGACAAUAUCAAAUGCAGCCUUAUUAUCUUAGAGAUGGUUCCAAAUUUAUAAGCCAGCAAAUGUUUGAUAUAUGAUUUCCUAUCAACUCACGGGUCCCACAUGAGUUCCGUUGUGGCAAACACAAAUACUGUCUGAGCUUGAUCUUUGUUUUAGCAUUAUCAUAAAUUGUGUAUCUAUGACUCUAUUGAGGGUAUUCGCAAGAAGAUUGAGAAGCUUGUCAAAGCAUAUGGUUACAUAGAACAUACUAUUAGUUUAACAAAGGAAUGCAGAAUGUUGAGCAAAGGAGUGAAAAGAGAAAAAUUGAGGGAUGUACCUGAGUGAGCAAUGUCAUAUCAAGUGCUACCGCCAAUUUUUCCAAUUGUUUUGAGGUCAAAGAUUUCAAUCCAAUAGUCAUCAGGGUCUUUAAUGAAUGCUACGCCUUUCAUUUUUCCUGUAAAUCAUAGCAAGAUUGACAGAUUACUAUUAAUGAAUAUAAAAGCUUGAAAUUUAAUGUUUAUUUAAUGGGUCCGCCUACGUUACAUUACAUGUAACGUACACUCAGCCUGUGAAAUUUCAUCUAACCCCUUAUACUUUAUGUUAUUUAUAUUUUAUUUAUGAAUAUUAUAAAUUUUUUGAAAUGUAAAAUUUCAUUUAACCCCUUAUACUCAAUUUAUUUUAUUAAAACCCUAGAGUAUGAAUUCGCCCCUAUAAUAUUAAAUUCUCAAAAUAACCUCCAUUUAAUUAAAAAAUAUAAUAAUUAUUAAAUGAAUUAUAAUAAUUAUUUUAUUAUACUUAUAAUUAUAAAUGUUAUUAUAAUCAUAAAUAUUGUUUUUAAUAGAUUAUUGUUAUUAUUAAUAACAAGAAUAAAAAGCAUUAUAAUUAAUUAAUCUAUUAACAAUAAUUAAUAAUAUUUUUUUUAUUAAAUUGUUAAUAAUAAUAAUAAUAAUCAAUGAUAAUUAAUAUAUUUAUGAUUAUAAUAAAAUAUGAAAGGAGAGCGGAGACUUUUAUUUUGAAUAAACUAGUUCCGAUUAACAUAUUUAUGAUUAUAAUAAUAUUUUUUGAGUUGUUUGGGCAAGGGAGUCUCAUGCGUGUGUGGACUUUUAGGCUGCCAGGAGAGCGGAGGCUGAAAAAUACCUUGCAUUUAGAUAGUGACUUGUGUGUGAGUAAUAACAAUUUUUAUUAUAAAAAUAAGUUUUAUACCAAAUAUUAAAAAAAUCUAGAUAAUCAUUAAUUAUCAUUAUUAUUAUUAUUAACAAUUUAAUAAAAAAAAUAUUAUUAAUUAUUGUUAAUAGAUUAUUUAAUUAUAAUGCUUUUUAUUCUUGUUAUUAAUAAUAACAAUAAUCUAUUAAAAACAAUAUUUAUGAUUAUAAUAAAAUAAUAAUUAUAAUUAUUAUUUCAAAAUAUUUAUAAUAUUCGUGAAUAAAAUAUAAAUAACAUAAAGUAUAAGGGGCUAGAUGAAAUUUCACAGGCUGAGUGUACAUUACAUUACAUGUAACGUAGGCGGACCCUUAUUUAAUUAUUUAAUUUUUCCCUAUAGACAUAGAUAUAAUUGCCUGCAUUAAACCCCAUUCAAAUUCUGGAAACACAUCCUGAAACCUACAACACUUGCUUAUGUAUAAGUAUCCCAUCAGAAUAACCUUAAGGCAUUCAGUACUAAACUUUCAGCCAUACCAAGCUUUAAAGAAAGCAGGGAAAAAAGAAAAAAGAUAUUAUUAAUUCAAAAUCUGUGAUAUCCCUUAGUUUUGUUGGAUCUGUAGUAUCCUAAAACUCAUCUACCAAGUUAAACUAUAAAUGUAAACACUUCUUAACUCCGUGAAACCUAGAGAUCACAUCAAAUGUCAUUAAAUCCAGGAGAAUGAUGAAAACAGUCCCUCUGACCUAAGCUAAUUUUUAUCUAUACCUGAGACACUACAUAAACCACCGAAGUGUACAUAAUGUCAAAGAAACAUGUAAGCUAUGUGCAAGGGCAAGAUAGUGGGAGCACUCGAGAAUGACCAACAUAUUUGAAAUCUUUCAAGAGGCUAGGUAUAUCAAGUACAAGCAUGCACUCAUCUUAGAUGAAAAGCACAAAGGUAAUUUUAUAAUUUGGUUCAACAGCUUUAUUUAGAGGUUACAAAUUAAAAACAUGUAACCACCUUUCUAAAAGUUGUUCUCAAAUGGUUUUGACCUCCCAUAUUAACUUAAAACAGAAAACAUGCAACUUUAGCUACCUUUUCUAAUCAAAAGAAACCAUCCCUGUUUCUUUAGUGGUUGGAAGACAAUAGUAACAGACCUAGUAAUAAACAAACUGUGACAAGCAACAAUGAUGAAGCACUAACAUGAAUUUUGACAGUGAAGACUAGAACAUAUCACAUUCAUGAGAUUUUAUCCACAGGACUUCAUCUUAUACCUUGAAAUUAUUCUCUUUUCUUAUAUUGUUAUUUAUUUUGAAAGGCACAUGGAAGUGGUAUCACAGCCAAAGAAGAACAUGAGCAGACACAGAGGAGUGCUGUAGGAAUCAACCCCAAUGACCAAUAUAAAGAAUUUGACUAUAGAUCAAACAAUCAAUUCUUAAGAUAACAAGAAAUUAUCUUCAUCACAAAAUGGUUCUCCCCUGACAUGUAUAAAUAAGAAAAGUGGAAACAGGGAAAAAACCAUUGAGAAAAGAAGCUCCUCAGUGUUUUAUCGCCUAGAUUUUGCAAUCUAGUCCUCACUGGCACAUUCAAAUGACUAUUACAAAGCUAAUCUCUAGACUACAAUCCUUUUCUUCAUAUAUACAUAAUACCAAUAUGAGCACCCACCCACUGACCCACACAUUACCGGGAGCAGUCACUUCUGAUUUUAGAUUGCUACAGAAAUUUUCAAUUAAAAGAGCACGUGAAAGUACCAAUAGUGAAGACAAUCAAAUUGGAUAUUGGUGAUCAAUGAAAACAGCGAAAUGAAUCCACUAAAAAGUGAUGUCAAGAUUUAUCUUGCAAGAUACUAGAAGAUUUAAAAUUCAGAUAAUGAUAAUCAUCAAGUAAGCAUCAUAUUAAUUGAGAUACACUAUCCUAUCUAAAAGAGGUGUCUUACCACCAUCUGGUUUCUUUGCAAAUUCCACCCCUAGACGUUCAAACCUCUCACAUGCCUUAUAUACAUCAUCAACAGUGAUGCCGAUGUGCCCUGAAAACCAUAUAUGACAAGUUAAAACUUCAAAAUAAUUGGGAAUUUUGAAAAAAAAAAAAAAAGCAAUUGAAGCAAAAAAUUAUAAUAUGAUAAAUAGUGGCUGAAAAACUCAUCACCCUCGAGAAACAAAUAAAUAAAUAGGUCUAGGCAUGUUUUCCAUCUAUUGGUCCUUAGCUCCAGUCCCUAGUCCCUACCACAAGUAAAAUGAUAGAAAAAGCCUAAAAUAUAUAAAAAGACCCCUGCUUAAACCCAUAACUAAGCUAAUGGUAUAUGUCCUGUUUCUAGAAAUAUUGUCAUGCAUAAAUUUCUCAAGAACAAGGCAGUCAAUUGGAUAACCGUAGUGAUAGACAGCAGCUGAUAUCAUCAGCUCUGCCUAAGCCUUGCCUCAGGACAAACAAACGUACAUUCUUAAUAUGGUAAACAUAAAAACAUUCUCAAUAUGGUAAACAUAAAACCAUUACAAAAUAAAAUUUAGAAAUUGAUUAACUGAUCAAAUUAAUUAGGUUUAUACAAGUUUCAAUAAAUAAGCACAUGAAGUGAGUGUUCUGGACUGUUCUAACAUUCCUUCCAACCAUAGAGAGCACAAAAGAAACAUUGGCCUUUUUUUCUUCAAAUUGUCUUAUAACUCAACUUUUUAAAAUGGAAAAUACACAUAUAUCUCAUUCAAAGUCCGUUACAUACCAAAGCCACGGGGUUCUGAAUUCCCAUUGUGAUAACCUUUGAAGUCGGGAUCACUUUCUGUUCCCCAGUUACUGCAAGAUGUAAUGAAAAUGAGAAACAUUGGACAAGACAAGCAAAGAAAGAUAGUUUUGAAGAAAAAUAAAAUUAAACUCAUACUGAGUCAGCUCAAUUGUAGCCGGCUUCCCAAAAGUCCAAACAGUUCUAUCAACAGGGUCAGCUGGAGCUGAUGCAGUAUCCUACACAAACCAAUUAUUUGUAAAAAAAUGUUUUCAGAGUUAUCAAAUCAUCAUUAAUGUCACAAAAUUUAAGAACAUCCAGCUCUACCAGUGUGCAUGAGUUGUUAUACACUCAAAUAAGUAAGAAAUAAAAUCACUUAAUAAAAGGAUACAAUCAAGAUAGCAUAUUAAAUUUACAAUGAGUCGUAAGGUUCUUGUGGAUGCAACAUAAAUUGUCUCACCUCAUAGCCCAAAAAGUAUAGGCUAAAUUUCAUUUCUGGAAAAUCCAACCUCUUUAGUAGCCUGAAAUACCCCAGGAAAAAGCCAUUAGCUUUCACUUAAAAGAUAAAUAAGAUGGCUCUUAAGCAUUCACAAAACAAUCCUAAAUAAGACUUCUCAAGGCAAGGCAAAAAAAUAAAAAUAAAAACUUACGACAUGCCCAACACACGAGAAUAGAAAUCAAGACUAACUUUGGGGUCCUUAAUUCGAAACAUCUGCAGGAAUCGAUACGUAUAUAUUAAAAAAAAAAAACACACAAACCCAGAACGGAUAAUAAGUAAAUAAAUAAACCCAUAUUAAUAAUUAAUUGAAAAAAAGUUCAAGAAGAAUUUAUGUAAAAACUGUAAAAUGAGGAAACCGUUUGUUGCAUGAAGUAUCCGUUGGUAGCUUCAUCACGGGCGGUGUGAAGACCCGGAUUGUUAGCGGGGGAUUCUUUGGGCUCCGAGGAAGCCAUUGAAAGCAACCGAAAUCGAUUCGAAGCCUGCACGUCAAAUUUUACAGACAAAAUGGGAAAUUAUUAUUAAGAUAAGUCGUAACAAAUAAAUUAAAUACUAAGAAAAUGAUUAGAAUGCUUAAUAAACCUUGAACCAACUAGUUGUAGUUUUAGUGGAGCUAAAGAAUGGAAGUGAAGAGGGAGAUAGAAAUAGAGGUCGAGUUGACGAUGUCAAUCUACUAAAGAUUGAAAGUCGUGAUAAGGAAGUGCUGCAGCUGAUUGAAGCAACCGACGCCAUUUUCCCAAAUUUUUUAAUUACAAAAUACAAAACAGCUUACAUAAUAAUUAGUUAAUUACGUACCUUUGACCGUUGUGAGUAGCGAGUAAAGUCAAAUCCGAGGGGGUGACCAAGUUUUUAUGGUGGCUCUCUCUUUGGAUUUAUUUUUAUGGCCAUGUCAUAUCUGUGCACACACACUCGAGGAAGGGAGUGAUGUCUGCCGCCCGUCCGCCAUUUGUAAACAUUACGGGCCGGGUUUGGAAGCACAAAAUAAAAAAUUUUGUUGGGUUGGUUCGAGGGCCCAGAAUUAAAACCGCAAUCCAUUUCGUGGGCUACAUUGGGCCCUGAAUUGAGAAAUAAAGUUAUGGGCAAUAAUUUAAAAAUCAAGUCUAAAAAAUUACAUAAAUCAAUCUUUGUUUUUUUUUUUUUUUUUAAAAAUAUAUAUAUAUGUAUGUAUAUUAUAUAUAUAUAUAUAUAUUUAUUUAUUUAUAUUAGGCUUAGCUAUGACCUAUGAGUCAACAUUAAUUAAUGGUUUCAAAAGUCAGCAUUGUUUUGUUCCAAACCAUUAAGCCGAUAUGAUACAGUGCGAGGAUAAGUUCUGAGCAAAGCUUUCUCAACCUCCCAAGUCCCAUCCCAAAGAACGCCAGUGGUCCGGAUGAAUACUUCUUUUUCUAGAGGUAAAAGAAAGAAGGGUGUGUCGUGCAAACGAAUUUUGUCAGUGUGUGUAGAUCUAAAUGGAGAGCAUCCAAACUAUUAAACAAAUAAUAUAAAUAAACAAAAGGCACUUACUGAAAAUAGACAGAAUAUACAAUACAAUUCUAUAAAUUAAAAGAGUUUGGAACAUAUAAAAUCUAUUAAUUAAAAUAGAAAUUAAGUAAUCAAUAAAUUAAUAAUUUAUUAAUUUACAAAGUUAACACUUUAUAAUUUCUCACACUUCAUAAUUUCUCAUUACAAUUUGAAUAAUCAACCCCAAAACUUCUAGAUGCGAUAAGAAAAAUAAGAGAAAAGAUUGGAGUAGGUUUAAAUUUUAAGAAAAAUAAGUAAUAAUAGUCAUGUUUUAUAUAAUUAAAAUAUCAUAGUCAACUAUAUUUCUCAUUUCAAUAAAUUAUUAAUUUAUAACUUAAAUGAGACCACAAAAUUAUAUAAAUUUUUUUAAAAAUAUUAUUUUAUCAUUUCAUAGAAAUUAUUAAUUUAAUUCAUAGGUCCAAGUUAAAACCGUAAAAAUUUAUUAUAUAAUAAAAAUUAUUAAUUUAUAAAGAUUUUACGAUGGAUGGAUAGAAAUACAAGACAUAAUACAAAGCUUUCUUCACGUGCUUCCAUUAAACAUUAUUUGUUGCAUAUUUCUUCCCGAUGGCGCUCCAAUUUAUAGUUUUGUUAAGAGAGAAUGAUGAAAAUGAGUGGGGAUUUAUAAUUUUAUUUGCAAAGUACAAAACAUUUUAUUUAUUCUUGUGAGGUUGGUUUAGACUUUUCACACGUACGUAAGAUGCACAAGUACUGUGAAAUUACCCGCCAAACCACAUGAUCUUCUACACAUCUUCAACUUCAAGACCACACGUAUUAUUACUAUAGUUUCGUUUCUGGUUGCACCAAUUGUUUUGACCCUUAAUUAAUAAUACAUCUUAUCAAACUUUGAAAAAAAAAAUCAUUAAUUCUCGUGUCUUUAUUGUUUAGUUUCUAUGGAGAAAUCUGGUUAUGGCCGUGAUGGUAUCUACAGAUCUUUAAGGCCACCUUUGGUUCUUCCCAGUGACCCCAGUUUUUCUAUGGUUCAUUUUCUCUUUAGAAACUCUGCUUCUUAUAGCUCCAAAUUAGCACUUAUUGAUGCUGAUUCGGAUGAAUCUUUGUCUUUUUCCCAGUUCAAAUCCAUUGUGAUCAAGGUUUCUCAUAGCUUUCGCCAUCUGGGCAUUACAAAAAAAGAUGUUGUUUUGAUUUUUGCUCCAAAUUCAAUUCAGUUCCCUAUUUGCUUUCUUGGUGUCAUUGCUAUAGGCGCUAUAGCAUCAACUGCCAAUACUGUUUACACGGUCUCUGAGCUUUCAAAGCAAGUCAAGGAUUCCAAUCCAAAACUUGUUAUUACAGUCCCUGAAUUAUGGGACAAAGUUAAAGGCUUAAACUUGCCAGCUGUCCUUUUAGGUUCAAAAGAUAAGGUUUCUUCUUCUGGUCUUAUUUCAAGAAGCUCUAAGAUUGUUUCUUUUCAUGACUUGAUUGAAUUAUCUGGGAGUGUAACAGAUAUUCCAGAUGUUUCUGUUAAGCAAACAGAUGCUGCUGCUCUGUUGUACUCUUCAGGGACAACUGGUGUCAGCAAAGGUGUCAUUUUGACGCACAAGAAUUUCGUUGCAGCAUCUUUGAUGAUAAGUGCGCACCAAGAAUUGGCUGGUGAGUUAGAUCAUGUGGUUCUUUGUGUGUUGCCUAUGUUUCAUGUAUUUGGGCUCUCAGUUAUUUUAUAUGACCAGUUGCAAAAGGGCAAUUGUGUUGUUUCAAUGGGGAAGUUUGAUAUUGAGAUGGCCCUGAGGGCUAUUGAGAAGUACAGGGUGACGGUUUGGUGGGUUGUGCCGCCAAUUAUUCUUGCAUUGGCUAAGAAUAGUUUGGUCAGGAAAUUUGACAUUUCUUCAUUGAAACUUGUUGGUUCUGGCGCUGCUCCUUUGGGGAAGGAAUUGAUGGAGGAUUGCCAGAAGAACAUACCAGGUGCAACGAUUUUUCAGGUAGUUCAAUUUGAGCAUCGGUGUAUGCCUUCUAUUUUCUGCUUUAAAAGCUCAUUCUAAGUUAAAUAUAUAUACAAUAGAUGUGAAUUCCUGAUGAUUGACUAAGUCUGAUUAUGUUUCUUGAUAUUUAAGAUUGAUGUUUAGAAUGUCCUUGAUCUUAUUGAUCUCUUGAUUGAUAUAUAAUCUGAUCUGGUGCAAAGUCUAUGAAUGGUGCAGUAUUUCGGAAACCUUAAAUCUAAUAGAAGUUUUGUAUUGAUUCUUGCCCUUAAACAGUAGUUCACUAACUUCUUUGCAUCUAAACAGUGCUGUCUCAAGAGUAGAAAAUUUUGUCGAAAUGCAGCAUAAAUUAUAGGUAGCAUAAAUUCUGCGACACUUUAAAUAGAUGGCUUAUUAGUUACAGUUUUUCAAGUUGUGUAUUUGGUUUUAGCUUGUGUUUGUUUGCUUUGACGGAAAAAUUGAAAGAUGUUUUUUAUUUGCACUUUUCAAGUUCUCGUUAUUAGAAGGGAGAAGUAAAAUUUUUGUCCGAUUCUGGAAAAAUUCCGUGGUUUCAGGGCUAUGGUAUGACAGAAACUUGUGCCCCUAUCUCACUGGAGAAUCCAUUGGUGGGAGUUCGACGUAGCGGUUCAGCUGGAACACUUGUGGCAGGAGUUGAAGCCCAAAUAGUCAGUGUAGAUACUCUAAAACCUCUUCCUCCAAAUCAGUUGGGGGAGAUAUGGGUUAGAGGACCUAAUGUGACGCCGGGUAUAGUUUAUAUUAAUUUCUUCGUGUUUACUCUAUUCUUGUGGGGUUGUGAACAUACUGACUCUUUUAUACGAGGGAAAGAUCAACAAACGGACUAAAUUUCAUUUAACCUGAAACUUAAAUUCUUGUUUUAUCAGUGGCUAGAAGAUCACUGAUAUCAGUCCGGAUGUACUCCAUGGGCUGUUAAAAAAAAAAAAUGCUCAUAAGAACUGCUGAAUUAUGUUGGGAGUAAAUAACCAUUUCUUGUGAGAACUAAAGAAGCAAGGCUUCAAAGUCUGUCUUGACCGUCAUACUGGUACUUGGUCCAUUAUUCAUGUGAUCGUCAUAUUGGUACUUGAUCCAGUAUUCAUGUGAUCAUAUUGGUACUGCUCUUGUUUUCAUUUGGUUUACAUAAGUAACUUGAUACUUACGUUUUAAAACUCAUUUCAGGUUAUUUCAAAAAUGAACAAGCCACAAAGCAAACAAUAGAUGAGAGGGGUUGGUUACAUACAGGAGAUCUUGGAUAUUUUGAUGGUGAUGGCCAGCUAUAUGUCGUUGACCGAAUUAAAGAGCUCAUCAAGUACAAAGGGUUUCAGGUAACUUCUUAUUGGUUAUGUAGGUCUGAUGCCAGUAAUAUUUUCUGAUCACUGAUGUGUUAGGAAAUUGGUGGGUGAAGCAGACACGCAGCUAAAGUGAAAUUGUAAGAAAAUAAAGAACAAGCACAAUAGAGGACACCAGAAAAUUACGUGGUUCGGCUUUUAGCCUACAUCCACGGGCGAAGACAGAAGGAAAUAUUUUACUAGUGAAAAGGAGUUAUAAGUAUUGUAGUAUUUUAGCUCACUUCCCAAAACCCCAAUACACCCAAACUCUCAAAUCACUAUAACUCUUAAAAACCCUCUCUAAAUAAAGAAAAGAACUGAAGAACUCGAUGAUUUACAAAUGAAGGGAGCCAGCGUUUUUAUAGCCAAAAAUUGGCUACUGUUCAUUUAAUAUUUAAUUAUUAUUUUUAUUUUAUUAAUUUUUCUUUUCUUUUCCUUCUUCGGCCCGGCAUCUCUUUUUCUAACUUCAUAUUUCUUCUUCAAACAUUUACAGCUUCUAGAUUACGACUCCUCAUCCUCCAUUCUUCUUUUGUUUUCUUUGUUUCAAAGAAUGCAGCAACAGCCGCAUUCAAAACAGGGAAAAGUGGUGCCACCUUCUAGAAAAGGUGGUGCUAUUUUCCACAUUCUCCCACUUGGAGAUUAGAGUGAAAAGCAAUCAAUCUCCACACUAUCCUUUCUGCUUCGCCAUAAUCAUGUUGCCUACGUUUCUGCUAGGCCACAAGAGGAUCUACUCCAGACAAACUUAUCAGUAUUUAUCGGUUUGGUCAAAACAUCUGCUAGGUUCUCUUUGGUAUGGAUUUUCUGCAAAUCCACACUUCCAUCUUCCACUACUUCACGAACGAAGUGAUACUGGACUCCUAUGUGCUUUGUCCUGGAAUGAAAGGCUGGAUUCCUUGCAAUGUGCAAGGCACUCUGACUGUCACAAAACACAGGAAUUUUCUGUUGUUUGUGCCCGAGCUCCUCAAAUAACCUUUGUAUCCAAAUAGUUUCCUUGCAAGCUUGUGUAGCUGCCAUGUACUCUGCUUCUGUUGUAGAUAAAGCCACAACGGUCUGCAGUUUAGAAACCCAGCUUACAGCUGCUCUCGCAAGUGUAAACACAUAACCAGUAGUGGAUUUUCUUUUAUCAAGAUCUCCUGCAAAAUCUGAAUCCACAUAGCCCCUGACAGUAAACUCUGACCCUCCAUAACAUAAUGCAACAUCUGAGGUUCCUCUGAUGUACUGCUGUACGGCCAAGGCGGAUGUACGGUACAGCAGCAUAGUAUNNNNNNNNNNNNNNNNNNNGCUGGUCCCAAGUCCUUCAUUUCAAACUCCUUAUGCAACUGUGCCUUCAAUUCUUGGAUUCGAUCUUUGUUGGGGCUUGUUACCAACAUGUCAUCCACAUACAAUAAAAUAAUGAAAUCACUAUCUUCAAACCUUUUGUAAUAUGCACAAUGGUCUGAAUUGAGUCUGUUGUAUCUAAGGUUCAUGAUGAAUGAAUCAAAUCUCUUAUACCAACACAUCGGCGCCUGUUUGAGACCAUAUAGAGAUUUGUUCAACCUGCAAACCAAGUUCUCUUUUCCUAUUUCAGCAAAACUUUCUGGUUGGAGCAUAUAAAUUUCUUUUUCGAGUUCUCCAUGAAGAAAUGCAGUUUUCACAUCCAACUGCUCAAGAUGUAAGUCAAAUGUAGCACAUAUCGCCAAGACUAUUCUGACCACUAAAGAAAAUAUCUCGUGAAGCCAAUACCUUCCUUCUGAGCAUAUCCUUUCACCACCAAUCUCGCACGAUACCGCUCCACUUGAUCAUUGCCAUCACGUUUGAUCUUGUAGACCCAUUUGUUUCCAAUGGCUUUUCUUCCGUGUGGUAGUGGUACAAGUUCNNNNNNNNNNNNNNNNNNNNNNNNNNNNNNNNNNNNNNNNNNNNNNNNNNNNNNNNNNNNNNNNNNNNNNNNNNNNNNNNNNNNNNNNNNNNNNNNNNNNNNNNNNNNNNNNNNNNNNNNNNNNNNNNNNNNNNNNNNNNNNNNNNNNNNNNNNNNNNNNNNNNNNNNNNNNNNNNNNNNNNNNNNNNNNNNNNNNNNNNNNNNNNNNNNNNNNNNNNNNNNNNNNNNNNNNNNNNNNNNNNNNNNNNNNNNNNNNNNNNNNNNNNNNNNNNNNNNNNNNNNNNNNNNNNNNNNNNNNNNNNNNNNNNNNNNNNNNNNNNNNNNNNNNNNNNNNNNNNNNNNNNNNNNNNNNNNNNNNNNNNNNNNNNNNNNNNNNNNNNNNNNNNNNNNNNNNNNNNNNNNNNNNNNNNNNNNNNNNNNNNNNNNNNNNNNNNNNNNNNNNNNNNNNNNNNNNNNNNNNNNNNNNNNNNNNNNNNNNNNNNNNNNNNNNNNNNNNNNNNNNNNNNNNNNNNNNNNNNNNNNNNNNNNNNNNNNNNNNNNNNNNNNNNNNNNNNNNNNNNNNNNNNNNNNNNNNNNNNNNNNNNNNNNNNNNNNNNNNNNNNNNNNNNNNNNNNNNNNNNNNNNNNNNNNNNNNNNNNNNNNNNNNNNNNNNNNNNNNNNNNNNNNNNNNNNNNNNNNNNNNNNNNNNNNNNNNNNNNNNNNNNNNNNNNNNNNNNNNNNNNNNNNNNNNNNNNNNNNNNNNNNNNNNNNNNNNNNNNNNNNNNNNNNNNNNNNNNNNNNNNNNNNNNNNNNNNNNNNNNNNNNNNNNNNNNNNNNNNNNNNNNNNNNNNNNNNNNNNNNNNNNNNNNNNNNNNNNNNNNNNNNNNNNNNNNNNNNNNNNNNNNNNNNNNNNNNNNNNNNNNNNNNNNNNNNNNNNNNNNNNNNNNNNNNNNNNNNNNNNNNNNNNNNNNNNNNNNNNNNNNNNNNNNNNNNNNNNNNNNNNNNNNNNNNNNNNNNNNNNNNNNNNNNNNNNNNNNNNNNNNNNNNNNNNNNNNNNNNNNNNNNNNNNNNNNNNNNNNNNNNNNNNNNNNNNNNNNNNNNNNNNNNNNNNNNNNNNNNNNNNNNNNNNNNNNNNNNNNNNNNNNNNNNNNNNNNNNNNNNNNNNNNNNNNNNNNNNNNNNNNNNNNNNNNNNNNNNNNNNNNNNNNNNNNNNNNNNNNNNNNNNNNNNNNNNNNNNNNNNNNNNNNNNNNNNNNNNNNNNNNNNNNNNNNNNNNNNNNNNNNNNNNNNNNNNNNNNNNNNNNNNNNNNNNNNNNNNNNNNNNNNNNNNNNNNNNNNNNNNNNNNNNNNNNNNNNNNNNNNNNNNNNNNNNNNNNNNNNNNNNNNNNNNNNNNNNNNNNNNNNNNNNNNNNNNNNNNNNNNNNNNNNNNNNNNNNNNNNNNNNNNNNNNNNNNNNNNNNNNNNNNNNNNNNNNNNNNNNNNNNNNNNNNNNNNNNNNNNNNNNNNNNNNNNNNNNNNNNNNNNNNNNNNNNNNNNNNNNNNNNNNNNNNNNNNNNNNNNNNNNNNNNNNNNNNNNNNNNNNNNNNNNNNNNNNNNNNNNNNNNNNNNNNNNNNNNNNNNNNNNNNNNNNNNNNNNNNNNNNNNNNNNNNNNNNNNNNNNNNNNNNNNNNNNNNNNNNNNNNNNNNNNNNNNNNNNNNNNNNNNNNNNNNNNNNNNNNNNNNNNNNNNNNNNNNNNNNNNNNNNNNNNNNNNNNNNNNNNNNNNNNNNNNNNNNNNNNNNNNNNNNNNNNNNNNNNNNNNNNNNNNNNNNNNNNNNNNNNNNNNNNNNNNNNNNNNNNNNNNNNNNNNNNNNNNNNNNNNNNNNNNNNNNNNNNNNNNNNNNNNNNNNNNNNNNNNNNNNNNNNNNNNNNNNNNNNNNNNNNNNNNNNNNNNNNNNNNNNNNNNNNNNNNNNNNNNNNNNNNNNNNNNNNNNNNNNNNNNNNNNNNNNNNNNNNNNNNNNNNNNNNNNNNNNNNNNNNNNNNNNNNNNNNNNNNNNNNNNNNNNNNNNNNNNNNNNNNNNNNNNNNNNNNNNNNNNNNNNNNNNNNNNNNNNNNNNNNNNNNNNNNNNNNNNNNNNNNNNNNNNNNNNNNNNNNNNNNNNNNNNNAUUUACUUCUAGCAAUAGAUCUACUGAAUUUUAAUCUAUGCUGCUUACUUGUAACACAAUGCUCGCAAAAUGGUAAACUUACCGAUUUGAGCCCUGGAAGCAAUUUUCGCUCAGAGAGAAUCUUCAAACCUUGUUCCGACAUGUGGCCAAGUUUGAGAUGCCAUAUCAUCGUUGACUCUUCUCCAUUUGAUGCGACACACGCAUCAGCCUCCUGUAGUGUUUCUCCUUUAAGCAUAAAUAGAUUAGCACUGAUCUUUUCUGCCUUCAUCAAUACAAGCGCGCAUUUAAUGAUCUUCAUUAUUCCAUUCUCCACAUGAGUUUUGUACCCAUGACUAUCCAUUUGUCCCAAAGACAAUAGAUUUUUCUUUAGGCUGUUGACAUGUCGUACCUCCCCAAUUGUGCGAAUUGUACCAUCAAAUAUUUUUAUUUUGAUAGUACCAAUACCAGCGAUCUCCAAGGCAUGAUCAUCUCCCAUAUAUACAGAUCCUCCUGAGAUAGGUUCAUAUGUGUGGAACCAUUCUCUCCUAGAGGUCAUGUGCCAGGUAGCUCCUGAGUCUAUAAGCCAGACAUCAGAAAGUCGUUUUCUGCCUUCUGAAACAGUUGUUGCCUCACUGUAGAGUAUUUCGCCAUCAUCCGAGGUACUUGCUACACACCCCUGAGCAUUUGAUGACUCAGGUUCUUUGCCCUCUUUUCUCUUCUGGUUACUCCAACACUCUUUCUUGACAUGCCCUUUCUUGCCACAGUUGUAGCAUUUAACAUUCUUCUUACUUCUAGAUUUUGAUCUACCAUGACUUUGACUCCCACUGGGGCCACGUUCUGUUGAUCUCCCUCUCGUCACCGAUAGCGCAUCCGCAUGCUGCGAACUUGCUUGUCUGUUUUCCUUAUUUUUCCGCCUGCUCUCCUCAUUUAAUACGGAGGCUGCAACAUCGUCGAAAACUAAACUGUCCACUAGAUUGUUGUUCGUCAGGUUGAUGAUGAGUUGAUCAUACGAAUCUGGUAGACUUUGAAGUAGAAGUUCUGCACGUUCAUUUUCCUUUAUAUUAUGACCCAACAUUGUGAGUUGUGAAAAUAGAGUCUUCAAUGUGUUGAUGUGGUCGGUCACCAUUGUAGAUUCCGCCAUUCGAAGAGUAUAGAGUUUUCUCUUCAAGAAGAUUUUGUUGUGUAGUGACUUGGCCUCAUACAAUUUUGUGAGAGUAUCUCAUAUUUCCUUCGCCAUAUUUUUCUCUGCCACACUGGAUAAUACUCCGUCUGCAAGUGCCAAGUGUAGAUCAGAAAUGGCGUUGCCGUCUACCUCGUUCCACUUGUCAUUAGUUAUCUCCAUGGGCCUUUCUCCAAUUGCUGCCAAGCAAUUAUUUUUCCUCAAUACAGCUUUCAUCUUCAUUUUCCACAACGAAAAAUUAUUUCCGUUAAAUUUCUCAAUUUCAUACUUUGCCGCCAUUUUGUUGAUAAAUACUGCACACAAGCUAGUAUACCACCUUGAAUAGUUGUGAGUAUGUGUGAGAAUGCACACCAGGAAAGUUCCUAGGAAAGACUGGAGGGGUCACAAUGAUCCCACUUAAAACCCAGACUCCUUAAGCUCUUAUCGCCUUUGUGACAGAACUUUCCUAGACAUGUACAAAACCGCACAGUUGCUUUACUCACACCACUAUUCCCUGCUUUGCACCGUAAAAUUCUUGGAUCGCUCCCACCGUUUCACGUGAAUAGUACAGUAUACGUGAAUAGUACCGUACACGUGGACAAUACCGUAUACGUGAAAAGUAUCGUAUAUGUAUAUAGUGCCGUAUACGUGAAUAGUACCCCUUACGUGAACAGUUCCUGACUCCAAAAAAUGCAACCAAUAUCUCUGAUACCACUGUUAGGAAAUUGGUGGGUGAAGCAGACACGCAGCUAAAGUGAAAUUGUAAGAAAAUAAAGAACAAAUAAAGAAAAGAACUGAAGAACUCGAAACUGAAGAACUCAAUGAUUUACAAAUGAAGGGAGCCAGCGUUUUUAUAGCCAAAAAUUGGCUACUGUUCAUUUAAUAUUGAAUUAUUAUUUUUAUUUUAUUAAUUUUUCUUUUCUUUUCCUUCUUCGGCCCGGCAUCUCUUUUUCUAACUUCAUAUUUCUUCUUCAAACAUUUACAGCUUCUAGAUUACGACUCCUCAUCCUCCAUUCUUCUUUUGUUUUCUGUUGUGCCCCGAAUGUGGUUGGCGUUUAAACAACUAAUAUUUCCAUGAAACGCAGGCCAAAUGAAAUUACAAUAAACAAAUACUCGUAGGAUGACCCAUGGAAAAUGUUUAUGUAGCCAACUCCUCUAUAGAAUAAGGCCCUUUAUAACUUCAUUUAUAAUAUGAGAAUAUCAAAUUGGUAUUUUUUCAGUAAUUGGAAAGGAAUAUGCCUGGAAAUUUUUCUGUCAGUAACUUUAUAUCCCUGCACAGCUGGCACAAGUCUUUCGUCAACAUACUGAUGCAAUGGCUUCUCUAUUUUCCUUUAUAUGCAGCUUUUCUAGUUAUUGCAGAUACGUGGAUUGUACUUGAUGCUUAAUUGCUUAUAUAGCUCGAAGUGAAUCACUUAACUGAGUUCUGUUGACUUCAAUUUUUGAUAAACAACACUAAUGUUGUAGUGUUUGAGUUGACAGUGAACUGCAACCUCUUUAGUUAUUUUAGGAGCAACGACCAUAAUGAUUUUUUCUGCUAAUUAUUCCAGGUUGCGCCAGCGGAGCUUGAAGGGCUGCUUGUUUCUCACCCUGAGAUAUUAGAUGCUGUUGUUAUUCCGUAAGUUGUAGUGCAAUUAAAUAUAAGUACAAACUCCAUCAUUCCACUCUUUUAAGGAAAUUUUAUGUGUGGAUCCUUACAUUUGGAAGGCGCCAUUGAUAUCUUGAAGAAUUUCCGCCUGUGUAGAUUUCCUGAUCCUGAAUCUGGUGAGGUUCCAAUUGCAUAUGUUGUUCGCUCCCCCAACAGUUCGCUGACCGCAGAAGAUGUUCAGAAGUUCGUUGCUGAACAGGUAAUGUGACACAAUAAAACAUGAAGCUUGAUUCUUUGUCAAUCAUAGGCCUUUCGGUCGGUUUCUCUUUGUGUUGAGACUUGUCUUUAUAACCAAUUGUUGUGCCCUUAAAUGAAAAAAAAUAUGACAUUGAGACAUUCCUAGAUCACUACAAAUGGCCUUUGAUGAUCCGAUUCCGACAUAUGUUGCUUUUCAAUUUACGUUUGUUCUGCUAGUCAUUUCUUUGCAAAUAAUAUUUCUUAUUCCCGUACCUUAUUCUGAAAGGUGUAAAUAUAAAUAACACAAUGUUUCUUGUUCAUUUUUCACCAAAACACUCUCCUUUCCUCACUCUGUUACACAGGUCUCACCUUAUAAAAGAUUACGAAAGGUGACCUUCAUAAACAGUGUUCCGAAGUCGGCUUCUGGAAAAAUCCUCAGGAGAGAGCUCAUAGCGAAAGUACGAUCCAAAAUAUGAAUUCGUGCUACGUAUAAUUGAUAAGAGCAUUCUUUUCUUUUCUUUUCUUUUUUCUUCGAAUAACAUGCGCUUUUCUUUGGCUCCUUGUAAAAUUCAAGGAUGAUCAUUUUCCUGUAAUAUUAUAUAGAUAAGCCCUGCAAGUUGAAGCUGCUUUAGAAUGGAAAUUUUAAUUAAUUAUAUUUAUUGAUUUUAAUUAAUAAUGUUUUACGAUAAUUCUUUGUCAAUCAUAGGCUUGCUUUUAUUUGGUUUGACUACGACAUGCUUCAGAUUCGGAUGGUGACAGAAAAUUACAAGUUAGUCAUAUUUGGACGCUGGAGCAUUCCUCCAUAAUCCUUAAUUCAUUCGAUGCUUGUCAUAUGAGCAUGCAUAUGCGACAAUUGAUUUGAAAUAUUUGUGUGAUAAGAAAUGAAUGAAAAAUGAGCAAUACUUUAGAGUCUCUGAGGCUUUUCGUCACUAAGUUACAUUAUUGGUAACUUUUUUUUUUUUAAGAGAAUUGUUACUCAUGAUAUUUAUACUAUAUAAAUUAUUGAGACUCGUUUACAUCAAUUUUAAUAUAACAUUACUCAGAUUUUUAAUUUUCUCAAAUAUUCGAGGGAUGUUCAACUCUCAUUUUGAGAGAAAACUAUUUUUACUCAAGUUCUGAAACUUAAAAAAAAGACAUUUAAAUGAAAUUCCUACAAUAUAUAUGUGAGGUCUCAAAGCAUUGUGAUGGAGUGGUUUAACCCAAGUGGUUUACGUUAUCGGUAAUUUGAAUUCACAAGAUAGUAAACAAGAUUGAAUUUUACUGCCUUACGUUUAACGUAAGGUACAUUCACUCACACAAUUUAUCUGUGGACUCCAUUAAAACUCACUACUAGUGAGAGGGCUGUAACUACGUCCAACUUAAGGUAUCAGCUCCCAAGUCCCAACAAGAUUUUGUCACGUGUUAGGCAACUGUUGAAGAGUUUGCAAAGGCUGAUUUCACAGUCCGUAUAUUUGUCGCUUUACAGUGUUUGGUAUGUGUUGCAUUCCUCACUUUAAAUCCAACGGCAGAGAUUCAGUUGCCGUAUGCCCGUGAGUCCCAGCUGAUUUGAUUUAGCGUGGGACAGUGACUUGUCAGUAUUGAUGAUACGCACAAUGCCAUGAGAUGACAUUUGAACUCAAAAUUAUAUGAUACAUGAUGUAUCAUUUGUUUGUUGCUACUAUCAGAUAUUAUACUAUUAAUGAUUAUAUGAAAAAUUAACUAUUAUCAAACAAUAAUAAAUUAUUAAUUCAUGACACGUCAUUUAAGAUACAAAAUUAGGAUCUCAACUUUAUAAGCGUAGACCUUUUUUUUUUUUUUUUUUUCUCUCCCUCACAAGCACUCGUUCAAUUAGUCAAUUCGUACUACUAAUAAGCUUUUAUCACUAAGAUCAAGUAUUCAAAUAACAUAAAUUUCAAAUACCAUUAUUUCUUUUGAACUUCCCUCCACAACAUAGCCUCUUGGCCGAAUGUGCAACAAUUAAACAGCCUGAUCCUAGCCCGCUCACCUUGCUCCAAGAUUGAAUACUAGGAGUCCUAAAAUCUUAAUGAAAAGGAGCUUGGCUUCGUGAUUUUUGUUUAUAAGUGAUCAUUUCAAUUCAAGUUGCUGACCCAUAUAUUCUAUGCAAAAGAACAAAAUACAAUCACGGAAACCCAAAUGUUUCUUAACCCUUAAUCAAUUUUUAUCAAAAAAUAAGUUGCGGCUUAGUUAACAUCUUAACAACUGAACUGGAAAUACUAUUUUUGCUACUACUAGCCUCUGUUGUCUUACAAAACCACAAUAAUUUUCUUUCCAAUGUCCAGGAUUGAUGGUCCCAAUAUUUCAGCUAUCACCAUUCACUAUUAACUUUUUCAUCUCCAUUGAUACCUCUUAAAAAUAAAAACUAACUCUUUGCUAUGGAAAAAUCUGGUUAUGGCCGUGAUGGUAUCUACAGGUCUUUAAGGCCAGCUUUGGUUCUUCCCCAAGACCCCAAUCUUUCUAUGGUUCAUUUUCUCUUUAGAAACUCUGCUUCUUAUGGCUCCAAAUCAGCACUUAUUGAUGCUGAUUCUGGUGAAUCUUUGACUUUUUCCCAGUUCAAAUCCAUUGUGAUCAAGGUCUCUCAUGGAUUUCGCCAUCUGGGUGUUACAAAACAUGAUGUUGUUUUGAUUUUUGCUCCAAAUUCAAUUCAGUUUCCUAUUUGUUUACUUGGUGUUAUUGCUAUAGGUGGUAUAGCAACAACUGCUAAUCCUGUUUACACUGUAUCUGAACUUUCAAAGCAAGUUAAAGAUUCCAGUCCAAAACUUGUUGUCACUGUCCCUGAAUUAUGGGAGAGAGUUAAAGACUUCAACAUCCCAGCUGUCCUUUUGGGUUCAAAUCACAUUGUUUCUCCUCGUGGUCUUAGAUCUAGCUCAAAUAUUGUUUAUUUUGAUGAGUUGAUUGAAUUAUCCGGGAAUGCAUCAAACUUUCCUGAUGUUUCUGUUAAGCAAACAGAUACUGCAGCCUUGUUGUACUCCUCAGGUACAACUGGUGUCGGCAAAGGUGCCAUUUUGACACACAAGAACUUCAUUGCAUCAUCUUUGAUGACAGCCAUGGACCAAGAACUGGCUGGUGCGUUAGAUUAUGUGACUCUUUGUGUGCUGCCAAUGUUUCACGUAUUUGGGCUCUCAUUUGUUGUGUAUGCCCAGUUGCAAAAAGGCAAUUGUGUUGUUUCAAUGCGGAAGUUUGAUCUUGAGACGGCUCUGAGAGCUAUUGAAAAGUACAGAGUGACACAUUGGUGGGUCGUGCCACCAAUUAUUCUUGCAUUGGCCAAGAAUGUUAGUUUAGUGAAGAAAUUUGAUCUUUCUUCGUUGAAAGGGAUCGGUUCUGGUGCUGCUCCUUUGCGAAAGGAAUUGGUGGAGGAAUGCUCCAAGAAUUUACCUACUGUUACGGUUUUUCAGGUGCAGUUAAUUACUGUACAUCUAAUUUUCUUAAUAUGACAUGUUAAUAAUUUAACUUAGCUUUGGCUCUAAAGCAAAUCAAUAAUAAUUAAGAAUGAUAGAUUUGUUUGUUUACUAAGAAAAUGAAAAAGAAAAUCAGAGAAGCAGAGAUGAAAGAACUUGUAUAUUAUUCAUACUGUCAUUUGAUUAGUUACACAUGUUUAUAUACUACGAUCUGGAAUAUUCUACAUUCUGUUUACAUGCAAAACAGCUGAGCUAGUAACUGAACUAAUUUGCCACAUAAGCAGCCACGUCAACAUGUAUAACAGAUUCCGUUUAACUAACUAUUUAAACCAGCAUGUGACUAAUCUCAAUUUGACUAUCUUAACAGCCUCCCUCAAGCUCAAGGUCGUGUAAGCACAUUGAGCUUGGACCUGAGAUAGUUAAAUUGAUCAAAAGCUAAAGGUUUUGUAAAAAUGUCUGCCACUUGAUCAUAGCUGGGAACAUGACUGAUCUGCAGUUCUUUCUGAGCUAUAUGAUCCCGAAUGAAGUGUAAAUCUAACUCAAUAUGUUUGGUUCUGGAGUGAUACUUGGGGUUACUUGCUAAAGCUUCUGCACUCUUGUUAUCACAGUAGAUAACUGGAGUUUGUAAUAAAGGUACUUUCAACUCUUGCAGCAAGUAAGUGAUCCACAAAGUUUCAGAGACAGCCAAUGCUAAUGCUCUGUAUUCUGACUCAGCUGUGCUUCUUGAGACUAUAGGUUGUUUCUUAGAUGACCAUGAGAUCAGAUUAUUCCCCAGAUAAAUGCAAUAUCCCCCAACUGACUUUCUAUUAUCUAAAUCUGAGCCCCAAUCAGCAUCUGAGAAGGCUGAAAGUGUGAGUGAACCAGAGGCAUAAAACUGUAAACCAAGAUCAGCUGUACAUUGCAAAUAUCUCAGAACUCUUUUACAUGCUUGCCAAUGAAGCACUGAUGGAUUGGCAAGAAACUGACUUAGCUUAUUUAUAGUGAAGGCAAUCUCAGGUCUAGUAAGAGUAAGAUACUGUAAUGAGCCAACUAUACUUCUAUAGAGAGAGGGAUUUUCAAAAGAAGCACCCUUGUCUUUGACUAGCUUCUCUGUAGAACUCAUUGGAGUGGAACAGCCUUUGCUCUCAAUCAUCUGUGCUUUCUUAAGAAUAUCACCUACAUAUUUUGUUUGACAAAGAUGUAAACCUUCAACUGAAGGUGUAACCUCAAGACCAAGAAAGUAGUUGAAUUCCCCCAGAUCCUUCAAAGCAAACUCUGAGCUUAAAUGCUGAAUAACUUUUUCAACAAGCUGAACAUUAGAACCAGUCACCAAGAUGUCAUCCACAUAAACUAAAAUAACAACUAUAUCCCCUGCUUUGUGAAAAAUGAACAAUGAAGUGUCAGAUUUUGAAGCAAUGAAACCCCAAUUCAACAGAGAGAGUUUCAAUCGGUCAUACCAAGCUCUUGGAGCUUGCUUAAGACCAUAGAGAGCUUUGGUAAGCUUACAGACAUGAGAUGGAAAUUGAGGAUGAAUGAAACCUUCAGGCUGAUGCAUAAAGACCUCUUCAGUAAGAAUGCCAUUAAGGAAAGCAUUAUUAAUGUCCAGCUGUCGAAUUGGCCAGUGAUUCAUGACAGCAAGACUCAGAAUGAUUCUUAUUGUGCAAGGCUUUACAACUGGACUAAAUGUUUCAAAGAAGUCUACUCCUUGUGUUUGAUGGAAGCCUUUGGCCACCAACCUUGCUUUAUACUUGGAUAUACUACCAUCAGGGUUAUACUUCACCCUGAAAACCCAUUUGUUGCCAACAAUUUUUCCAGCUUUUUCUCUAGGAACUAAAAUCCAGGUGCUAUUUUUCUGCAAGGCAUCAAACUCAGCCUGCAUAGCUUGUUUCCACUUGAAAUCAGCCAAUGCUGCUUUAAUUGAAUGUGGUUCAAGGUGUUGAGUAACAGCCAAGUAAGUUUUGGGCUUAAAAACACCAGCUUUGGAUCUGGUGAGCAUGGGAUGGAUAUUUUGAGUUGGUUGAGGUGCAAGAGUAGAUACUGAUGGUAACUGAAUAGAAAGAGAUGGUUGAUGUGGUGUACUGCAUGAAGAGGUGUCUGAAGAAUGAGAUGAAGAGAGUGUCUGUAAGAUACCUGAAUCAGGGCCUGCAUCCUGAGCUGGAGGAUGUAGAGAAGGCUGUUCACAGUUACUGUCAUUGAGUAGGAUGUUGGAAGAAAUGAAUGGACUAGAAAAAUGACUUUGCUGAACUGAGGACACAUUUGAAUCUGAUGAAGGAAAAAGAUUGGAGUAUGGAAAUUCAUAUUCAUUAAACUUAACAUGUCUGGCAAUAUAAGUUUUGCCAGUAGAAUCAAGACACUUAUAGCCUUUGUGAAGAGGGCUAUAACCAAUCAUGAGACAUUUUCGUGUAUGAAAGUUAAACUUGUGCUGACUGUAAGGUCUGAGAAAAGGAAAGCAUGAACAGCCAAAGGUUUUGAGGAAAUGGUAAUCAGGCUUUCUGCCAUAGAGCUUGGUAUAAGGAGAAGUAUUAUUCAAAACAGGUGUUGGCAACCUAUUGAUAAGAAAAGAAGCUGUAUGAAAUGAUUCCCACCAAAAAGAUAAGGGCAUUUUUGCCUGAGCAAGUAAAGUCAGCCCUGUUUCUACAAUAUGGCGAUGCUUCCUCUCUACCACACCAUUUUGGUGAUGUGUAUGAGGGCAACUAUGUCUAAACUCUAUGCCUUCUUCUUGAAGGAAAUGUACAAAAUUUCUGUAUUCACCCCCCCAAUCAGAUUGUAGUGACUUUAAAGGAUGAUUAAAUUGUUUCUCAAUAAGGGUUUUGAAGUGUUUGAAAGUAGCUAAGGCUUCAGAUUUGAGAGUUAAAGGAAAAAUCCAACAAUACCUACUAUAAUCAUCUACAAAGCUUAUGUAGUAUCUAUAACCCUGUAGUGAAAGCAUGGGUGCUGGACCCCAGAGAUCAGUAUGGACUAGCUCUAAAGGAGCUUUUGUUUUUAUUCCUGUUGAGUAAAAAGGGAACUGAUGGAUUUUACCAUAUUGACAAGCAUCACAAAAAUCAGGUAUUGAUGUUGGACAAGGAAGGGAAAGAGAAGAUAGAAUACAUUUUAACACAUGUUUGCUUGGAUGACCAAACCUUUGGUGCAACAAAUUUGCAGACAAAAUAUUGUUUGUACAGGUUUUAUUUGUAGUUUCAUCUAAGAGAUUACAAGCUGAAUUAUUCAAAACAGAAAGCAUGGAACUAGGAAUCUGAGAAGGACUGUGAGAACUGGAAAUGAAAUCCUUUUUUGACAGUAACUGAUAUAGCCCUCCUCUAGCAAUCCCUUGAGCAAGAUGCACUCCCUUCUUCUGGUCCUUAAUGAAACACAUAUUGGCAACAAAUUCAAUAGUUAAGUUGUUGUUUUCAAGUAGCUUUGAGAUGCUUAUAAGAUUUUUGGUAAGGUGAGGAACAAACAAAAUAUCUUUUAAGUGUAAGAUGGAGUCUAAUGAUGUAUGAAGAUCAGUGUAACCAACAUGUGAUAUAUGCAGCCCUUGACCAUUGCCAACAUGCAACAAGUGAUUACCUGAGUAUUCCUUUGCAAGACUCAGAUUCUGUAGAUUGUUGGUGAGGUGAUGAGUUGCACCACUGUCUAUGUACCACCCUUGAUCAGCAAAAUCACCUUCAGAGGCAGCCACAAAAGCAGCUCUAGGUGCUGAGUUAGCAUAUGCAGGUCUUGGUACUUGAUACUGAUAUGAGUUAUAUCCAAAUGAAGAGUUGAAAGGUAUGAACUCUCUAUUAAACCUAUUUCUACACUCAGCUGCAGUGUGCUUAGGUUUGAAACAGAUUUGACAGAUUACUCCAGCAGAGUUAGGAUCAGAACUACCUCUCCCAUUACUAUUAGGAAAACCACCAGGUUUUGCAAAAUUUCCAUUUCCAGAACCAAAACCACCUCUGCCUUGAUAGUUACCAGGUGAUGCUCCAUUCCAGCCAUUAUUCCAAUUACCAUUCCAAUUUCCUCUUACUUGACCCUGUGAAAAACCUCUACCAAAACCUCCUCUGCCUCCAUUACCAUUACCAUUUUGAUUUUUGUUCCAAUUAGCAUUAUACUGUCCAGAUUUAGUGUUCUGUCCAGUUUGAGCAACAUUAGCUGCAAAAUUCAUUUUAGCUUCUUUACUAGAGUUCAACUGAUUAGCCUCUAAUCUAGCCUCAUGAGUCAGGAGCAUAGAAUAGGCUUCAUUUAUAGACAUCUUAGCAAGAUUUGCCUCAAUGUAUACUACCACUGGAUAAUAAGGCUGGCCUAAUCCACUGAUCAAAUGAGUAAGAAAAUCUAGUGAACUAACAGGACUACCAGCCACAGCAAGUUCAUCAGUAACUGUCUUUAGUUUUCCAAAAAAUUCAGUCAUGGACAUAGCUCCUUUUCUAAGAUUGUUAAGCAUAAUUUUCAGAUGCACCUUUUUAGCAAAAGUUUCAGAUCCAAACUGUUGUUCAAGACUAAUCCAGAUUUCAAGUGAGGUUUUAGAAUUUACCACCAGACUGAGAAUCUCUAGACUAAUAGCAGACAUCAGCCAACUCAGCAGCAUCUGAUCUUUUCGUUUCCAGAUAGCAAAGGCUGGAUUCUCUCGUACUCCUUCAGUAGCAGUGAUCUCAGUUGCAUCAGAAUCAGAAUUUAUAACUCCAUCAGAUGAGAAUUGUUCUGGACAAGGUUUUGAGUUGUCGAGAAAAUCUUCAAGGCCAUUAGCACGAACUGAAGUGAGAAUUUGAGACUUCCAGAUUGUGUAAUUUGUUCUAUCAAGUUUAACUGGCGAGGUAAAUGUAAAUGAGGAUGUUGUAUUUUGAUUUGAGUUAAAAGCAGCCAUUAGAUCUGGCUCUGAUACCAAAUUAAGAAUGAUAGAUUUGUUUGUUUACUAAGAAAAUGAAAAAGAAAAUCAGAGAAGCAGAGAUGAAAGAACUUGUAUAUUAUUCAUACUGUCAUUUGAUUAGUUACACAUGUUUAUAUACUACGAUCUGGAAUAUUCUACAUUCUGUUUACAUGCAAAACAGCUGAGCUAGUAACUGAACUAAUUUGCCACAUAAGCAGCCACGUCAACAUGUAUAACAGAUUCCGUUUAACUAACUAUUUAAACCAGCAUGUGACUAAUCUCAAUUUGACUAUCUUAACAAUAAUCUUUCUCAAAAUAUCAUUCUGGGUUAAACAUAUUUACUUUCUGUGAAAAAAAACUCCGAGAUUUCAGGGCUACGGUAUGACGGAAACGUGUGGCGUUGUAACAGUGGAGAAUCCAUUGUUAGGGGUUCAAAAUAGUGGUUCAGCUGGAAGACUUGUUGCAGGAGUUGAAGCUCAAAUAGUCUGUGUAGAUACUCUUAAGCCUCUUCCUCCGAAUCAAGUGGGGGAGUUAUGGGUUCGAGGACCUAUUUUGAUGCCAGGUAUAAUUUAUAUUAACCAAAUUCUUCCGUACUUUUAGAGCAUAAUCUGAGAAUCCUAAAUUCUACAACUACAAGGUUAAAUAGAAUAAUCUAAAUGAAAAAAUAAGUUGGAAGUCAGUCAACUAAACAUGAUGGGCUACGGGCCAUCGUGGAUGUCAGUUGCAAAGCUUGAUUUGAAACGUUAGGAUCCUAAAUCUCACGUAGACUGAAUAACAAAGUCGAUCAAAUAGAUAUAAUUGAUCGUCGUGGAUGCCAAUUGCAUAUUAGGAGUCUAAAUCUCACACGGGCGAAGUGUAAAAUCUAAAUGCUAAUAUAGAAGUUCAUGGGUUGUUAUUGAAUCGUAUAGUCAUGCAUUGUUUCACGCAAGGAAUAGGGUGUUGUUUUCACUUUUCAGGAUCGGAUUAUACAAAGAAAUUGACGCUUUCACUUCAAUACUCAUUUCAGGCUAUUUCAACAAUGAACAAGCCACAAAACUGAUUAUAGACAAAGAGGGUUGGCUACAUACAGGAGACCUUGGAUAUUUUGAUGAGCAUGGCCAGCUAUUCAUUGUUGACCGAAUUAAAGAGCUCAUCAAGUGCAACGGUUUUCAGGUAUUUUCUUUACUGGUAAUUAUGAUGGAGGUUUUAAUGCAAAUUAAUGCAUUUUCAUUUUCCCUGCAAAAUUUUGACCUGUUGCUCUAAGGGAAAUACUAAUGACCCGCAUGAUUUCUACUACUAACAGAAUUAAUAUUGCAGGUAGCGCCAGCAGAGCUCGAGGGGGUGCUUGUCUCUCACCCUGAGAUAUUAGAUGCUGUUGUUAUUCCGUAAGUUGAGAUACAUUCAAAUAUACAUUUAAUUAUAAAUUUUUGUCUCGUAAAUGCACCAUUGAUAUGUAUAUGUAUAUCCUGAUGCAUUUUCACAACUUCAGGUUUCCUGAUCCUGAAGCUGGUGAGGUCCCAAUUGCCUAUGUUGUUCGCUCACCCAACAGUUCACUUACUAAAGAAGAUGUUCAAAAGUUUGUUGUUAAACAGGUACACAAUAAGUGAAAAAUAUUAUUGUUCGUCAAUCAUAGGUCAUUUUAUUUAUUUCUUUUUGUGCCUAAACCUAUCUUUAAUAUUAUUUAUUAAUCGUGACUCGUCAAAACCCAUCAGUUUAAAUUUUUAGGUUAAACUGCUUCAAUUAACAAAUAACAAUGCUUUAACUCGGCUAUAUCUAAAGGUUUCCCACAUUUUGUUAUUUGCUUAAUUACCCUUGUGAUUCACAUUAUACAUCAACCCAAUUCUCCUCUUUCUUCCCUUUCUUGCAGGUUGCGCGUUAUAAAAGGUUAAGGAACGUGACAUUUACAAACAGCAUUCCGAAGACAACUUCAGGGAAAAUUCUCAGGAGGGAACUCAUUGCGAAACUGCGAUCCAAAAUUUGAACAUUAUUGAGUGAGAGUUUUGGAUAAUUGCAGCUUCUUAUAAAAUAAUUAGUAUUCUUUUUCACAUUGCAAGAGUUUUUAAAAUAAAAAUAUGUUUUGAUAAAUUUUAUUAUUUUAAGGACUGUAAUAAUAACGCACACCAUAGUGGACGGUUGCAGACACAAAAAUUGUCCCGUUCUCCAUUUUUCUUAUCCUAUUUACUGAUUGAUGUGGAAACUACACAUUUUUAUGUCGCCUGCAGGAAGGCAAAAUUACCAGAAAGUAUGUGAAAUAAAAUAUUUUUACAAUCAUUCUUUUAUUCUCUCCGCACAGUGGUUCACUCGUGGCACACAUUAAAGCCGUACUGACUAAUUGUUAAUUUUCAACGGCCCAUUAUUGACUGGAAUCUCAUUGACUAGAUUAUGUUAAUAUUUAGCAAGGUGUGACUAUCUUGAAACUGAUUGUCUUUGUAACUACAUGAUCAAAAUUAUAACGUAUUUUUUAUUUUUUAUUGUUUUUAUUUAGCAUUCUGAUUUCUUCCCUGCAGGUGCAGCCAUGAAAAUCAAAUUGAUCAGAGUUCCUACAUAAAUGGCAUAGAUGUAUUUAUAUAUUGUAAUACAAGCUACAAUAUUACUUGAUGAAACGGUUAUAAGCUGAUGGAGCUCUUUGUCUCUUCUCAGGAGCUGUUAGCAAAAUCAGAACAUAAUUAAAUAUCAGUUAAAUAAUAAGAAUAUAUAAGCUUUAUACAUCAAAUAAUUUCAUCCAUAGCUUAAUUAGUUACAAGAUUGGCACGCAUAUAUACGUUUGCUAACGACGUGAUUGAUCACACUGCCAGUGUCUUCUUCUUCAUUGUCAGAAGAGGUCAAAAUUGAAGGGCUAAAUCUCUUGAAGGCCUUCUGAUCAGCUUGCACCUCUUCCUUACGAAAUUCUUCUUUAGGCUAUAAGUAGAGAAGAAAGGACCUCAAAGACAUUGAAAAGUAACUUUGAAUUUUGGGUUACAAUUAAUUUUAGUGGAGAAUAUUAUGAACCAUAUCAAAGACAGCAAACAUACACACACACUCACUUAUGUACAUAUAUAAUCUUGGUCUUUGAUUUGAUUCUCAAGUAAAUAUAAUUAAAAGACAAUUUAAACACACGCAUAAAUACCUCAUCAUCAUGGCUAAAAGAAGCUAGAAGAUGAAGAGGAACAAAUGAAGCUUUCAUCAUGUUAACAGAGAGGAGGCUUGUGCAGUGGCCACAUCUCACUGUCACCACCAUUGACAUGCUGCCACAUGGGACAUCACCUGCAUAUUUCGAAAAUCCAACAACAAAUAAUUUUACAAAACCAACAAGUUGGUACAUAAAUGAAAUAAUGCAAUAUUAAUUAGUCACCAGCAAAAUGGUAGUGCAGAAACCACAUUGCACAUAGCAUAUUUGUUCAGGGAGAUCAAACAGAUGGUUGAGUGCAGACAUGCUGUGUUUUGCUUGAUGAUGACGAUCAGUUAUUUACUUGUCUGAAAGAUCAAAAGGGAGACAGAGAGAGACAGAGAGACAGACAGAGAGACAGAGAGACAGAGAGAGAGAGGGCCACUAACAAAAGACAAUGAGAGAAAAAGGACGCGGGUCUUGUCAUUGAAGAGAGAUUUAUAGAUGUUAGAGUAGAGUAUGUACAUGACUUAAUAAUAAUGGAUCAUUUAGAUCUUUUUACAAAUCUCCUUCUAAUUAUACCAAAAUGGACUGCACUUAUUGUUGUCAAUACUUGUCAUUUACCCAAAAAACAACUACUUCUAUUGAUUUGACAAAGUUUUAGGCUCUGCUAACUCCAACGAGUGAACAAAGUUAAUUAUUUACCCUUCGUACUCUAAAAUGAUGAAAAUUAUUUACCCUUCGUACUCAAAAAAUUCAAUGCUGAAAGACAGCAAGUGAAGAAAAGGACUAGUGCUUGUUUGUUUCAUGUGUUGUUUUCUAACUCAUUUACUCCACCUAUCUCUUUGAGCCCUCUAUUUCUAACACGAAAGCGAAAGCGAAAGCGAAAGUGCGGUAAGUUUUUACCAUUUUGGAGGAAUGGGGAAACGUCUAGAAAGGUGUAUAGAGAAGGUAAAGUGGCAUCUUAGGAUUUGUCUUUCCUGAAACAGAGUAAAAUUAAUUGACCAUAUGAGAUCUCCGUUCAUGUUUAUUUUUCACUUCGGAGCUCACUGCUCUUAAUGCAAGCAUUUACUUUUUCCAAUUUUCAUUGCCUCUGAUUGUUGACUCUUUUAUUAAGUCUUAGCCUUUACCCAUGUGCAUGCAUGUGAAAAAAAGCUAAAUUUUCCAGGCUCCCCACGGUUGAAAAGCUCAGAAAUGACACUUAGAUGAAGAUGUACUAUGAUGCAAAAAUGACUAAAUUGCACAUAGUCUACAUGUUGAAGAGACUGACAGUAAUGAUUGUGUUGAUUCCAAAUUAGUGAACAUAGUAGCACAAAAAGUACAUCAACGUAAUCUCAAUUUCCCAUGCCAUAAUCAGCUUGAUUAAGUGUUAUUGCUUAUAUCCAAGUCCAACGGGGCCGAUCCUAGCUAGUGCCACUGUCGUCCUAUAUGCGUAGAAGGGACCAGCUGGUGGCCUGGAACCAAGAAAGACCACUUGUACUGAAUUUGAAUUUUGAUGGGAAAAAUACUUGUGACCGGUCCGGUUGGGAGGUAUCAGAAUACGCUGACAAAUUUUAUCAUAUAUUUUUAGCAAGUUUUCACAUUAUAUACUCAUCUUUCACCUCGAACUUGAACCAGUUGUCAGUUGUAAUUUCAUCAUCUAAGGCUUGUGGUUCAAUGUCUGUUCUGGUCCUAAUGAAGUUGCGGUAUGAUUAUGAAGAACACCAAUAAUAAGAUAUAAUCUAUGUUUGAGGAAAGAGGGAGAUUUAAUUUUCCAUAAUAUUGAGUAAUUUUCACAAUGCAUAUAAUACUAAGUGAGUAUACAUGUGACUAUUAUGAGUGGUAUUCAGCCCAAAGGCUGAUAGAGAGGCGACCAUAACGGCACCAUAAGGGUGUCGUUUCAGUACCCAUGUUUCAACAUUUGGGUUUAAAUACUGAUAGAGGAUGUCAGAGCAACACCAUAGAGGCGCCAUUUUUAAUGCCCCCCUCUGUCAGCAUUUGGGCUGGAUAUCAUUUGCAAACGAUUAUAAUGUUCUUUUCUAGUGUAAUUAAGGGACCAUCUGGUUCUAGAUUUUUGAGAAACAAUUGUAGUGAAAUAGAAGCUCUACUUGUUAAGAGGAAGUUUAUGAGGCUCUCGGAUAAAACUUAUUUCUCAUUUUAUGGGUAUCUAACAAACACGUCUGAUUGUUAAACAACAUCAUUAACUAUUGCAUAACAAUAAUUUCUGAUCACUUGUAGUUGUGGAGCUCAUUUUUGUUUCAGUAUACAGCUUAGAGAUUUAGCAACUAAGCUGCCAAAUGUAAAGAACAAACCAUGCCUCAGUUGUCAUAAGGAAAGCAAGACAACCUAUGUAGUAAAAGAGUGAUGCCACUCUUGUAAAUUUGGGUACAUAAAAUUUGUGUUAAAACUGUGUGGCAUAUUUCUCGUGCAAUAUUAUCGAAGCGCUGCAUUACUAGCGGUAUAAUUUCUUUCGUCUUUUGUUUCAUUCGUUGCUUCACACGCCAACUGGUUUAACGGUAGUGGAAGAUCCUUGCCCACCUUUUUGCCAAUGGCCACACAGUCACCCUUAAAUAUAUCAUGAUCUCUAGUCCAUGUUUUUUAUAUGUAAUAAUUUUUUUUUCUUGAUGUCUAUUAAUUUUUGUGUUUAGUAAAAAUUAAUUUCAUGAUAUUUAUUAACUUUCAUAACUAAUAAAAAUUUGUUGAUAUUCAUUUUUAAAUGGUUAGUUUUUGUUCUUUUCAAUUAGUAAUAUCAAUUAUUUGCAAGUAAAGAAAAUAUACUUGAAUGAAUUGAUGAGAAUUUGAGGAAUUGAGAAGAGAAAGCAAAGUUAAUUAAGUAAUUUUUCCAAGAUUAUUUAAAUAAUAAAAUUCUUAAUUAAAAAGGUAUAGAGAGAAAAUUGGUGGAUCCAGAACCUCAAAUAGCCUCAUAUUUAUGAUUUUUAUCUAAAUAGAAAAAAAUCUGGAUAAUAAAUAAAUAUUAUAUAAAAAAACAUCUCUAUAAAAUAUAUUUAUUUCUUAAACUAUAAUUUUUUUUUUUACUUGUAAGGACAUAAAUGUUAAAUGACUACGUUUAAAAUGUUUUUUAUUUAUAAAAACAAAUCUAUUAUAUUUAAAUAUUUAAAAAAAAGAAACACGUUAGUUAAAUAUUCGUAUUCUGUCCUAUUCAAACUUUACAAAAAUUCAAACCAUUUUAGAUUUUAAAAACAUUUAAAUCUAUUCAGACUUGUAAUCCAAAAAAACAUGUUACCUAAAUGUUUGUAAGAACUUGAGCCAAGAGCACUCAAUUUGGGACAACUGGACAAGGAGAAAACAACUCUGAAAGUUUUCAAAUAGAAAAUCGCAAUUAUCCUCUAUCAUUCAUAAAUGUCUCUGCAAAUUUUACUCCAGCUAUUGAGAUUGAGACCUCACCUUUAAUCCAUUGAAAUUAAGAAGAAUUCUAGAGAGUGACUAAUUAAUGUGCAACCCGCCACCCGUUAUCUGUUGUACAGAUGGAGUUGGAUGGUAGCAAACUAGUAAUCCUAGUACCUCGAGUCUAUUGCUUAAAAACAAACAGAAAACCCUGGUCAUAUCUCACUUAUCAAAACUUUUAAAGAGGGUGACCUAUGGAAGGUUUAAUGAAAAAGAAGAUGAUAGAGUCCAUGGUCAAGUUUCCUUAGGUGAUGUAAGCUCCAGUAGAGUCGUCCAGGUCCAGCAGUUAUGCCGCCACUGCCAAACCCAAUUACUCACUAUUGCCUGCUUGCAGUUGCUGGUCAGGCAGGCUAGAGAGGCCAUUGAUUCCCACAGAUGUCGGUUGUUUUAUAUUUUUUUUCUGAUGGGUGUUCUAUAAAAUUUUCCUGAUUAGCAAAGAUAGGGUGGUUUGUAAAUACAUUCUCAAUCAACUGAUUAAGAAGCAUGUAACAUCUGCCUUUACUUAAUUAUUAUGAUUCAGAAAGAAUUUCAGAUCCAACGAUAUUAUAAGAAGAUAUCCAUCCGUAUAUAUGAUGGAAAAAUGAACAUCCACCUUCCAGAGUUGAAAGCAACCAACAAAAUGGCUAUCAAAUCUAAUACAAACUGUGAAUCAACAAAACCACUUCCAACAGAAUUGAAGAUUAACAUGUGUAGGCACGGUAGGGGAUGAAGGACACAUGAUCCACGAUGGCACACCAAACGCCAACAGUUGAGAAUAAUACACUUAAGAGCAACUCAAAGAAUAACUAAAAUCCAUGUAGAUCUCAAACUAUGAACACUGCAACUAGGCCAAAUCCAACACUAGGAAAGCAAUCAUGCAUGAUCUUUCAUUGUCAUUAUCUCAACCCACUACUCAUACAUAUAUUGAGAAAUUGUAUAUCUCUGCAACAUACUAAUCAAAAUAUAUCAAAACACUUAAAAUUGAUAUAUGUCCAAAUUAUGCUUCCAAAAUUUGUCCGGGACUGAACAACUCAUCAGGAUAUUAAGCAACAUGGUAUAUCAAUACUCCUAAUUAAGCAUUCUAUUAUGAAUUCUCAAAUUACAAAUGACAGCCAGCUCUAACUCUAGUGAGGCAAGCAGAAGCCCCAUAAUAGAGAUCAGUUUGGGUCAUACAUUAAAAAACAUGAUUGGGAUAAGAAAUAAGAAUGAUUAUCAUUCAUCCAUUAAAUGCAAGAGAAUGUAAAAUUCUUUUAUAGGGGGAAAAAGCAAUAUCAUCAAUAAUUAACAUAAAUAAGAGCAUAAAACAUUUCCAGAAAAGAACAUAUAGCUGCAUCUAGCUAAACCAUCUCCGGAGAAAAAAGGGGAAAACUAAAGACAUUUCCAAUAACUCUUUCCUCAAACGGAGUCAUAAUUACCUUUCAACAUUUCUCUCAACCAGUUUUCAGAGAAAAAAAAUGUACAUAAUCAAUUAAAAUAAUUUACACAUCCAACUAAAUUCAAAACAGAUUCUAAGUACUCUUGUGUAAUGCUUCUGACCCACCCACAAAGUUCUUAAUAAUUUCCAGCGUUAGUCCUUUAAUUCCAACUUAAUUCGUAGGUAGAAUAUCACUCCUACUCGAAAAUCAAUUACCACUAAAUUAUUCCCCCACAAUACUCAAAUCCUAGACAGUAUUCCAUCAAAUUAACAGAAUAUAUCAAUGCAUCCAAUCAAGAAUCAAUAACAUCAAUUAUAUAACAAACAAGACAAGUAGAAAUCAUAAAAGAUUCAUCAAUUAAAAUUUAAAACAUAUAACCAUUUAAUAAAAACGCUCCAGCAAACAAGUAUAUAGUCAAACAAAAUUACGAAAGAGUCAUAAUUUUUGAACCACAAAAACCAUAGUAAUUAAUACUAAUUAAAAAUAGCAAAACAACCACUUAAUCUCAAUCAAUCACCGCCAGCCUUCUGGUAAACAUAGGUGAGUCCACACUUGCCGCAGUAGUGCCUGUCAAAGUGGUUAGCCAUGAAGGUGCCGGCUCCACACUCAGCAUUCGGACACUCCUUCCUCAGCCUCUGGACCUUUCCAGAAUCAUCAACCUUGUAAAACUGCAAGACGGCGAGCUUGACCUUCUUCUUCUUGUGCUUGAUCUUUUUCGGCUUGGUGUAGGUCUUCUUCUUGCGCUUCUUCGCGCCACCACGGAGGCGGAGGACGAGGUGGAGUGUUGACUCCUUUUGGAUGUUGUAGUCGGCUAGGGUUCUGCCGUCCUCGAGCUGCUUUCCGGCGAAGAUGAGACGCUGCUGGUCCGGUGGAAUCCCCUCCUUGUCCUGGAUCUUGGCCUUGACAUUGUCGAUGGUGUCCGAUGAUUCGACCUCUAGGGUUAUGGUCUUUCCCGUUAGGGUUUUCACGAAGAUCUGCAUGGCUGCAGAUGAGGAAAGAACCAUCAAAUUUCAGUGAAAUGAAAGGAUGAGAAGCUUUUGCUGCGUAGAGGGGCUUAUAUAGUGUUUCAUUAGGGUUUUAGUUUUCUGCUGUGAUUAGGGUUGACAAUGGGAUGUGAUGGGACUUAUCACAUUAAGAUAAAGUCACAAAAAUUUACUUCUUCUAUUCAAAUGUAAAUGUUCAAAAAUCAAACACAAGUUACAAAAAAAAAAACAAAUUUAAAAAAGAUUGAAAUUAAUAAGAAUUUCAGACUUUAAAUACUUAAAAAACAAGCUCUUAACCAUGUAUUUCAAAAAAAUUACUCAAAAUUAACUUUUCAAACAAUGUUUCAAUAGUUGUUCGAUCAGAAUUUUCGAAGAGAAAAUAAUACAUUUGUCUGAUAUAACCCAGAAUUCAGAUAAAUAUGACAUGGAACAAGGAAAAAACAGAAAAUAAUUGAAUAGAUUUUAACAGAAAUGUUUACACACCAAUGAUGUUUUAGAUAAUUGUUGAAAAUACAAAUACUUAACUGGGUAAUCUCAAAACCUAGGAUUAAUAAAAGAGCAUUUAUCUCAUAAAAUAUGUUCCAAUUGUUAGUGUGACUACGAAAAGAGUGCUAUUCCAUAAAUGAUCAUGCAUUUACCCUGGAGUUACAACUAAUUAAUUAAACAGACACACGAUAUCUGUUUAUCUCUUUGUUAAUUGUCAUCGUAUUCCGGAUGAACAACAAGAGACCGACAACAACAUGUAUUACUACGUUUGCAUGAAUCGAAAAUGCUGUCGAAAACAAAUGUAAAUAACCUAGCUUCAUUUUUCUUGCUUAAAUUACGUGAAAUAAUUAGCAACAUAGCAUGCAAUGUUAAUAUCAGAAUGCAUGCACUUAAAAUUAGUUUCAGCCACGUGGUACGUUUUUCCAACACACAGAGGCGAAACCAAGUUCAUGCGUAAUGUGCUGGCAUCUCAAGUCAAAAUCAUAAAUUUUUGUAUUUAUAUACGCAUCGUUUUAUUUAUUUAUUUAUUUUUUUUUUGGCAAAUUUCAUUGAAAUGAAAGGAUGAGAAGCUUUUGCUGUGUAGAGGGGCUUAUAUAGUGUUUCAUUAGGGUUUUAGAUUUUGGAGAAGUGGUCUGCUGUGAGGAUCCACGAACGUUAACAUUGUUCGUGCCGGCAUGAGGUGGAGAAGUGGUCUGCUGUGAGGAUCCAACGAACGUUAACAUUGUUCGUGCCGGCAUGAGGACCGUUGGAUGAUAGGUGAGGAAAGUGCUAAAUUGAUGGAGAUGCUGACACGUGGAUGAUCUAAAGAAACACUGCCGUGUUUUCGUGCUGAACUGAACCCAAGAUUUUUGCGGAUCAGUCCAAAACAUAACCCGGGCUCUUCAGGCCCGAUACUUGUGAUUUUCACUUCGAGAUUGUACUAAUAAUGUUGAAUUGGCAACGGUGUCGUUUACGCGAAACUCAAAAUAUUAACAGAAACAAAAAAAAUGAAUUGGCUAGCGCCGCUCUCAUCCUGAGCUGGACACUGAAACUGAACUUCAAAUGCGGAUUCUAGCUUCGCUACCAGACGGUAACCUCUUCUCAUCCCUUUCGUCAACUCCACCUCCAAGGCACCCCAGGUUGCCGCCACCCUCCACGUCACCACCCAUCCUCGUUCCUAAAUAUCCCCAAAAGAACAAAAACCCAAAUCUAAACCCAAUCCGGCCUUCAAGCUCCCUCACCUUCAUACACGCUACUACAAGCCCGUCAAUCCGGGAGUCAUCGCAUCAGAUGGCGACCGCGGUGUUACCAUCGGUGAUUCCGGCGUAUCCUAUCGGCUACCGGGGGCUCCAUUCGAGUUCCAAUACAGUUACACAGAGACUCCACAAGCAAAACCCUUGGCAAUCCGCAAACCGGCUUUCUUGCCUUUCGGUCCACCCACGAUGGCGCGGCCUUGGACUGGAAAACAACCGUUGAAUACUACACUUGCUGGCUUUUUUAAGCCACUAAAGGCAAGAAAGCCGUUGGAGUGGAGCAUUUUCGGUCAUUAUAUAUGUUUAAUGAGCAUAUAGAUAUUUUUGUUUCCUCCAAUAACUUAUUAAUAGGCAGUAGAAUAUAAUGUUUCUUAAUUUGCAACUCCAUCCAUCUCUCUUUCAACAAGUAAAUGAUAACCUAUCACUUAUUAUGACUAUGAUAUAUAAAAUUCAUUCGAAUGAUAUGGUUAACAUCAUACUAAUGUCGUGUUACAUGCUUCUCAUGAUGAAUAUGAUACAUCGUGUAUAGUGUAUUACUCAAUUGUAUAUGUUGUUGAAACAUUCUAUAUCUCCCAUUCUCCCUCCAGUCUGAGCAUUAAACACUUGAGUCAAAAGACAUUUUUCCUAACAAGUUUUGACUUGUAUCAUGUUUAAUGCUUUUUCAUAAAGAAUUCUAGAGGUAUAAUUGACUUGUAUCAUGUUCUGAAGGAUUAAACUAUAAUAUGUUUGUUAUCAUCAAAAUUUAGGCUUUGUAAUUUAAAACUACUGCAUCACAACAAUUUUGUUGUUCCAAACUAAAGCCUUUGUUAAAUUGGAUGAGUUUUUGAAAAUAUAAAAUAUUUACCAUUUUCUUUAGAAUGAAAUAUUUUACUCUUCUUACGGUUUUUUUUUCUCAUGUAAUUUUUAAUUUUUUCUCAUUUAUUCUUACACUUAAUUAUUGAAUAAAAUUUUUCUUAUCAAUUAUCUUAUUGUUAUUUUUAUCAUUUUUUUAAAAAAAAAGUAUUUAUAUGAUCAAACCUACCUCAUUAAUAAUCAUAGACACUAGACACAUUAACUAAUCUAUGAUAAAUAUAGUAUCACAAUAUCACUUCCCAAAGCGAAAGUGUCUACAUGGUUAAGUCUACAUCAUUUAUAACCACAUUAAACAAUAAUUAACUUCUUAUUAGUGAUGAGAAAAGUUUGGUUUGGUUUUUUGUUCAACUGACCUAAAUUAGUAAAUUGAACCAACAAAAUUAAAAUUAUGAACAAAACUAAAUUGACCUGAACAAAACUAAAAUUGGUUUGGCUCUAGUUCGAUUCAGUUUUCACCCUUUAAAAGCUUUUUUUUUUUGGUCUAAUUGUGAAGUUUUCAAUUUUAUUUUUUAUUCAGUUUACUUCUUCGUUAUAAUGGUUUUUCCCCCUUUUUUGCCCACCUUUAUUUUUGACAAAUAGGGUAUCAGAACUAAGAAGUAAUGAUCAGGACUAAAAAGUAAUGAUCAGGACUAAAAAGUAAUGACAAAUCCUAAAGUGAAAGUGGUUACGUGGCUGAGUUUACAUCAUUUAUAAACGUAUUUUGAUCGUUUACUACACGAUCAAAAUUAUAACGUAUUUUUUAUUAUUUAUUAUUUUGUGUGUGGUUAUAAUUUGUGCUUUUAUCUUAGAGCAAUUUCAAUGUAGUCAUGACCUAUUUAGUAUUCACACAGAAAGAGUGUUUCUUUUAAUAAGGGAUGAUCUCUAAGAAAUAAAAAUAUAAACUUUAAAAUACUAUAUCAAUAAAAUAUAUUGCAUUGAAAUAUAUAUUUAUUUAUCUUUUAAUUUUUCCCUUACUUUUCAGUUUAUUAAAGUAAAAGAUUCUUUUAUUAUAAAAUUAUUCCACACAAAACUAUUAUGUGCAUAGAAUAAUUUUCCAUUAAGACAUCCUUAUUUUUAACAAAAUGAUGAUUUCAUUAAAAUGUGAAAAAAAAAUAUAGAUUUCAAUAAACUAAUAAAGUGUAGAUACUCUCAUUUUUUUAAUGAAGACAAGCUAUUAAGUCAUGUGGUUUAAUAGAGUCAAUAGUCAAUUCACUAUAAAGCUAUGUAAUUUGAUAGCGAGUCUAUAUUAACUUUAUUAAAUCAUAUGACUUAAUAGUAUGUCCUCAUGAAAAGAAUGAGGACGUCCCCAUGAAAAGAAUGAGGACGUCCCCAUGUGAAAAGGAAUAUAUAUAUAUAUAUAUAUAUAUUUGAAAAGAAAGUAUUUCUUUCUAUUUUGCUAAUGAAUGAGCUGCAUUACAAUCUCUAGAGGUAUGUUGAGCUUUGAAAUUCUGAAAAUUCUGUAGAUUUUCCAGAAUUUCAGAGAUCAUCCAUCCAAUUUCAGUCAAGCUACUGGACUUGUUGAUUAAGUCAAUCACUUCCAAGGAAUCCGAUUCAAAAAUCCCAAAAGUAAUAGUAGCUUUCUCGGCAACUUGUGAACCCCACUCCAUAGCUGCUACUUCCGCCAUUGCCACAUUGCCAGGAAACUUCAGAAUUUUAAUCGCAGUUGCUCUGCAAUUUCCUUCUGAGUCUCUCACCACCACCUCUAGCCCUGCCAUUUGAUUCUCAACACCCAUAUCCACAGCCGCAUCCACAUUUACUUUUUGCCAUCCAUUUGGAGGAGGGCUCCACUGCUUUUGCUUUCCAACAUUCCUCCUUGUCUUAUAAACUAUCUCAGGUUGUCUAACCUUUUUAAACGACUCCACUAUCGCCUCUGCAUUUGCUACUGCUCUGAGUGGAUUUUCUUUUUUCCCCUCUAAAAGCCAUUUGUUUCUUGCAUUCCAGAUAGCCCAUAGUAAAGCUACUACUACAGCUCCCUCAACUCUAGCAUGCUGUUGUGGCAAGCCAAACUAUAUCACACAUGUGAUCUCCUCAAAUUUCCUCUGACAGAUUUCAAUACCUCCAUAUCUUCCUUGCCAUAUUGCACUCUAACAAAGCAUGGGACAUCGUUUCUACAUGACAGCAACAACUUUGGCACAAUGGUUCUCGCAAAACCUUUUUUUUCAUAAAUUUUCAACUGUGGGCAAUAAAUCAUGAGCUGCUCUCCAUAAAAAAAAAUUCACUUUUUCUGGGAUUGCAAGUUUCCAGAUAGUACUUAAUUGGUUUUGAACAUGAGUUUAGCAGCUUGGGUCCUAUAGGAACUUAAUUCGCAUAAUAACUUGGUAUCCACUCUUAACAGAGUAAUACCCUUUCCUAUCAUAGUGCCAUACCAACUGAUCCUCUUUUAGUCUUCUUGGAAGUGGAAUCUGCAUUAUGGCUUCUGCGUCUUCUGGUUUAAAGUGCUCAAGGAUCAAAUAUUCCCUCCAUUGUUGCUUCUCGUCUAUUAAUUAUGCUACUGUGGUCUCAGCUCAUCGAAGGGACUGAGAUUGGUUUAAAGGUUGAAGGUCUGGGGAUCCAAUUGUUCCCAUAUACUAGCACUUUUUGCCCAUUACCAAUUCGCCAUCUCGAUCAUUUUUUAAGCACCUGUCUUCCCCACACUAUGCUUCUCCAAACAAAUGAUGGUUUUGAUCAUAGUCCAGCAUUCAUAAAGCCCGUAUGUUUAAAAUAUCUAGCCUUUAAAACUCUUGCCACCAGCGAGCUUGGAAAUUACAUAAUUCUCCACCCUUGCUUUGCUACGAGUGCUUGGUUGAAGCUUGAGAGAUCACUGAAACCCAUUCCGCCUCUAGGUUUUGAAUGAUUAAUUCUUUCCUAUCGCGCCCAAUGAAUACCUUUUCUGUCCUACUUGGUUCUCUACUAAAACUAUGUUGUUCUUGUCUUUGUUGAAGUACAAAAGUCAGAAUAUUAAACAAUAGGCACAUGCAACAUAAAUCAGAGAUGUGACUAUCUGCUGGGAUGAUAGAAUUUCUAGUUAAGGAAAUAGAAAACAAUAUCGAGAGGUUAGGUUGAGAAGAUUUUUGGAGGGUUCUAAUUAAAUUUGCUGAAGUUGAGAAAAUUACAUAAUCAAGUAAUUUUUGGUAUGAUUUUAGUGUUUUUUUAAGUAUCGAUAUAGCAAUAAAUAGUCAAUUAUGUUAAGAAGAUAUAUAUAUAUACACACACACACACACACAUAAUAAGGAAUUUCUUAAGAUACUAAAACAAGAAAAAAAUUAAAAGACAAAUAAAGCACGUACUCUAAUACAAAAAAAUUAAUACAUCAUAAGUUUGUUAUCUUGAAAAUGUGAGUGUUUGGUAACUUAAGAAGAAAUUAAAUUAAAUUCGAGAUUUGAGUACUCAAUUAAUUUAACGCACGUUAUCUUGACUUCCCUGUGUGUUGAGUUCAUACUAACAUUGUCUUUGCUGGUUGUUCGAAAUAAAGGUUAAAAUUAUUUUGCUGGUUGUAUGUGUUAGGUUAACUGCGUAGCUUUGAAUCCCCACAACGAAUGGUUAUUGAUAAUUGGUUCUUCUAAUACAACGGUUGAGUUAUUUGAUCUGGGCAAGAUUGGCACUCUAAUCCACAUACCUUCAAUAUACAUAUGUGUGUGUGUGUGUAUAGUUGACUACUUAGUUUUAUAUAUAUUGAUACGUAGAAAAUACUCAAAUCAUAUGAAAAAAAUUACUUGACUACAUAAUCAACUUUCUCAUCUUCAACAAAUUUAAUUUGAACUCUCUUAAUAUCUUCUCAACCUAAACUCUCUAUACUGACUUUUUCAAUUCAUCAAAGACGAAAACAGCAUAAACAAAGGCAGAAGAUUAACAAAAGCAUCAAUUGCCAAAGAGUGAAGAGUAUUAUUAAAUUUUAGGAACAUAAGAGAAAGACUGUUUCACGUUAUCUCACAGAGGAUAGAUACUAUAAACACAUCCAACGUUAGUCAAAGCCACAACUACCAAAUGCAUCACGCUCACUCAUAGCCAUUUGGGUCAAACUUGUUUUCCUUUUAAAAAUGAACAACGACGAUCUAGGAUUUAUAAAAUCACUAAAUACUGCAAAUUUCGGGAAAUUAGAAGAAAAAAAUUGGAAAUGAACACUUAUGUGGGAGAAUCAUCAUAUUGGUAACAUGGCAGCACAAUUUCGUAGUAUUACUCUUUUAUUCAUAUUUAUUACAAAUUAUAUAAAUUGAAAUUAAAAUAAAAAAAUUUAAGUACUGAAAAUGAGAUACUUUUCUUUUACUUUUUGUUAUUUUUAAAUAUUUUUCUUAUAAUAAAUAUGUAUGUUAUAUUUCCAAAAUAAAUUAUCAAGCAAUGACUCAUUUAUCCCUCUUUUCCUUUAAAUUUUUUCCGCCAAGGGGAUUUUGAAUUUUAUGAAAACAGUAAGGGAUAAGUGUUAUAUAUUAAUUUUAAUAAUGAAAAACUGUUAAUCUCUCCAUUCGAAUAUAUUAAUUCUCAUAUUUUUAGGAUCCUCAUCUUAUAAAAAACAAUAGUAGCUUAUAUUUUAUAUUGGAUGUUGUUGGUGCUGCCAUUCACUAAUAAAAUGUAUUGUCGAGUUGAGGUCAAUUUUUUAUAGUAUUAACGUGGUAGUAGAACAAAGUAGGUGUGUCAAAUGAAAGGAUUAGAAUUUGCGGUGAUUUUGUUUGAGAGAGAAUUGAUGAGUUGUGUUUUAUACUAGCUAGUUAAAGGAAGUUAAUUAGUUAAGUUUAUUAGUAAGAUAGGUACCACUAGGCUAUUUAAAUUAUAUGCCUCGACAUUCUAAUCGUAGCCCCUAUCACAUUUUCUGAAAUCUAUAUGGUAUAAAGAGUACUAUAUAUUAUUAAAAUUCUCCCACCUUUGCUUAUAAAUCCACGCCCAUCCAGCCACUCCUCACAAACACAUCAACAAAUUAAAGAGAUCCACAGAGAGAGAAAAAGGGAAGAUAAAAAUUAAUUAGCCAAAAAAAAAAAUGGUUGCAGAAGGAGAUUUUAUUGUGGUUGCAGAAGGAGAUUUUAUUGUGACAGAAAAAAAAUGGUUGCAGAAGGAGAUUUUAUUGUGACAGUGAGCAAGAAAGAUGUAGUGGCAGCAGUGUUACCAUUGCAAGAACAUUGGCUGCCGCUCUCCAACCUUGACUUGCUUCUGCCAGCAAUUGAUUUUGGUGUCUUCUUUUGUUACAAGAAGCCAACUGCGGCUGAUUUUGGAAGCUUUGGGUCCACAGUGGAUGUUCUGAAGAAGGCCAUGGCUGAAGCUCUUGUCUCAUAUUACGCCCUGGCCGGUGAGGUUGUUUACAACUAUGACGGUGAGCCUGAGCUUCUUUGCAACAACCGUGGGGUUGAUUUUGUUGAAGCAUAUGCGGAAGUUGAGCUGAGAGACCUCAACUUGUAUAAUCCUGAUGAGAGCAUCGAAGGUAAGCUCUUGCCUAAGAAGAAGAAGAACGGCCUGCUCUCAGUUCAGGUCAGUUACACACUCUCUGAUCUAUGAUCUUCGCAAAUCAGAAACAUUUUGAUUUAUCAUCAUCAUCACACAAGUACUUUUUGUUGUGAUUUCAUCAACAUGACAUAUACAGAUAUUUUUAUAAUUAAAUAAGUGAGUGCAUACAUAUAUAUCAAAAUCAUACUUUGUGUGGAGUUUGCUUCAGGUCCAGAAUUAAGAUCGGAACGCGUUUAUAACGGAGUUUUGCUAAGUUACUUUUGAAGUAACUUAUAGUGCAUGCAAAAUGGUGCCAAAAGUAGUAACAUGACAGUGGAAUCUGCUUUUUACAUGGACUGUAACUUAACAAGAUUCAUUUACGACGUUAUAAACUUUUUUUUUUCCCUACAGUUUUGUAAUACUGUACAGCGUUGUAAAAAUUCAAUCACACCGUUGUGAACCACUCUCAUCUCAUAUUUUAAUUCCUGUUGGAGCCAGUAUCAAUUACUUUUUUUUGCUAACUCUAGCUCUUAUUAUUUAUAUACAAUUUUAAUUUACAGGCAACAGAACUGAAAUGUGGUGGUAUUGUAGUGGCGUGCACCUUGGAUCACCGCAUAGCCGACGCAUACUCAACCAACAUGUUCCUGGUAUCAUGGGCCGAAAUUGCUCAGUCAAAACCAAUGUCCGUACUGCCAUCUUUUAGGCGAUCUAUACUAAACCCUAGACGGCCAUUGUGCAUUGAUCAUGCCUUCGACGACAUGUACCUGCCCAUCUCCUCACUACCACCACCUCCUCCCCCGAAUAAUACUCCUGAAGAAGCCAAUGGUAAUAACCUCAUCAGUCGCAUAUAUUAUAUCAAAAGUGAGCAACUCAAUGAGCUUCAGUUACUUGCGAGCUCCGAUGAGUGCAAGAGGACUAAACUUGAGUCCUUCAGUGCAUAUUUAUGGAAAAUGGUAGCCCUUAGCGGAAAUGAUAAUGAUGGCAGUGGCACGAGGAUAUCAAAAAUGGGCGUUGUAGUUGAUGGAAGAACUAGAUUAAGCAGCAGCAAAGGAGAUCAUGUUAAUAAAUCAAUCUCCAUGGAUUCAUAUUUUGGGAACGUGCUUUCAGUUCCAUUUGGUGGCCAAAAAGUAAAUGAACUCAUUGAAAAACCAUUGUCAUGGGUGGCGAAACGGGUGCAUGAUUUCCUGGAAAAUGCAGUAACGAAAGACCAUUUCCUCGGGCUGAUUGAUUGGGUUGAGGCCCACAGGCCGGACCCAGCUAUUUCUAAAAUAUGUGCCACCGGAAGCAAAGAUGGGCCGGCAUUUGUGGUCUCAUCAGGGCAGCGUUUUCCGGUUUCGAAGGUGGAUUUCGGCUGGGGUAAGCCGGUUUUCGGAUCUUAUCAUUUUCCGUGGGGUAGUGAUGCUGGCUAUGUGAUGCCGAUGCCGUCUCCGGCGCACAACAGUGACUGGGUUGUGUACAUGCACCUUUCCGAGAAGCAGUUGGACUUGAUUGAGACUCAGGCAUCCAAUGUCUUUGAGCCUUUGACUUUUAAUUAUCUUGCCGCAUACUGUUAGCUUAGCCAUAUAUUUGUAUGCGUAUAAGUUUAAUCAUUAAUUACGUACGUACUUUAAAUUAUUGUUGCUGUCUCAUCUCAUGUAAUAUGUAUCGUGUUUCAAGCGUCUCUCUGUCUGGAAACAAGACUUUCAAGAUGUUAGAUUCCAGUAAACUCUACAGCUUGUUCCGCUAUUUCUCAAUCCUUAGUUAAAAACUAGGUUUAGAAUAUCAUGAGUCUGUUAUGUGAAUAGAUAAAAUGCCAGCUGAUGUUACAUGUGUAAUUCACAAAAAAAAAAAAAAAAAAUCCCUGUGUAGGUUGUCACAUUUUUAUUAUUGGAUAAAGUUGUCAUAAUAGAGACAUCAAUAUUUAAAUCUUAAUUAAAGUUUGAACGUGAUAUUAAUCAACUGAAUGGUAGAAAUAUUAUUUUAUAAAUAAAGACUUAAGUCCCAAUUUGAGUUUCAACUAAUGUGACAAUUGUUUAUUGAAUGAUUAAUUAUAAUUUUUUUUUAUUUAUAAACUUGAUAGAUGAAUUAAAGAAAAUGAAAUUUUAAUAUGUUAGACUGCAUUGGCUUGAGAGAGAGAGAGAGGUUGUGUGUGAGAAAGGUAGGUAUGGGUGCAUAUAUUUUAGUGAUUUGGACCCUAUCUUUGUUUUUUUUUUUUAAUACCUCUCCUUGCCUUUAUAAUGUAAUUAAAAAAAAGUUGAUCACUUGAUUGUAAGUAAAGUUAAAAUAGAUGACUUGAUUGUCAACAUCAAAUACAAAUUAAACUUAAUGUUAAUCACUUAUUAAAUAAGAAAAAAUAAGGAAAGACAGAGAGGAAAAAAAAAGUACCCAUAAUUCCUUAUCCAUAUUCUAAAUACAUACAUAGGUAGGAGAUUAAUUACCAACUAGGUCUCUUUAGAAAUCAAAGACAGAUAUUUGGGUAAUGAAGUUGGACAUGAAUAGACUUUUGCUGAGUAGCUUCCGUCGUUGCAACAAACACUUUGAACCUUUGAUCAAUCAUUCAGUUUAAAAGAAAAACUCGGAGAUAUGUUCACACCUUUAGUCAAGUGAUUUCAAAUUUUAACCAAAGCCAUGCCACUUGUGAGUCAAUGAUUCUACACUUAUCUAGCCUUUAUCCUCUGUUUUGACUUUUAAGUCAAGUGAUUUCAAAUUCUAACCAAAGGUCCAAAGCCAUGCCACUAGUGAGUCAAUGGUUCUACACUAAUGUAGCUAGUAUGUUCUUUUUACUUCUAUUUUGAAAUAAUCCGGAGAAUAUAAUAUAUUUUUAUCCAUGACCGUACGACGAAAAUAAAUGUUUUGUUUUCUUGAAGCUCACCAAACUUUUUUGUGUGUGCAAUAAUUAGAUCAACCAAACCACAAAGAGCCAACUGUUACCGAUUUGCCAAAAAUUAAAUAUGCAAAAAUUAGCAUUAUCUAUAAAUGUAGUUUAACUACCACAGAAAGCGUUUCAAUUUGUGGCUUAAUUAACGUUCACAUCAUUGAUCGUCCGAUAGAAUAAUUUAAAAAGAUAUCAAUGGUUUAAGAAGUUCAGCUUAAUGAGCUGACCACAAAAUGACAGUUGCAUUACGACAGUUUAUUACGCAAAUAAUUAAUCAAGCAUUAGAAAAACGAAGUACUAAUCAACAAGUUAAAAAUAUCAUUUCUCCCACCAAACCCAUGCUGUGUGUACCAAUUGUUUCCAAAGACAAUUUAUUGAUUGAGGGAGGAAGUAGUACUGGACCGGGGUCAUUUGAAGAGUACGUGUCAGUUUUUAAUUAAUGAGGUUUGAGUGACGACGAUGAUGAUGUGAUUAAUAAUAAUAAUAAGAUUUAGCUAGAAUUUUUUUUACUUAAUUCUUGAAAUUUUAUCAAUUAGAAAAAAAUAAAAUUAAUAAUAUUGAUGUGGUAUGAAGAGAUUGGUUGAUAAAUGUCCUCAGAGACCUGAUCGAAUGGUUCCGGUAGCUUACAACAUUAUAAAUCCAAUCUGUAUUUUAAAAAAUAAAGGUGUUUAUGCUAGAGAAUGACCAUAUAUAGAGAGAGUAUUCAUUUUGUUUGUUGGUGUAUUAAAGUUCGUGUUUUUUUUUAUUAGUAGAAUCCUCAUUUUAUUAAAAUGGUGAUGUCCUUAUUAAAGUAAAAUCAUGUAUAUAAUUAAGUUCUAAUGAUGGAUCUGGUACUUUAGUUCAAAUGUGUGCUCUCAAUUUGAAAUAUUGGGCCACAUUUGGAAGAUCGAAUUGGACUAAAUUAACUCUUAGUAUUAAAUUAGAUUAUACUGGAUUUUAUAGUACUAUGACUAUGUUAAAUUUAAUUUAAUGAAUCUAAAAUAACUAUUUCAAUAGUAUAUUAUUUUUAAAUCAUAUUAUUAUUUCUUAAAUUUAAUGUUUAAUUUUCAAUAUUAUUGUAAUUAAAUAAUUGAAUUUUUUUUAUGUUUAUAUCACUUACAAGUUAAAACAAAUUAUUAAAUUAAAAUUUCGACUUAAUGUUAAGUUUUAAAAAGUCAAAAUAAAUUAUUGAAUAAACUUUUGAUAUUAGUAAUAAAUUUAGAGUAUAAGACAUCUAAUCCUAUCUAAACUCACCUAAAAAUGAGCUUUAAUAAUCCUAUGAAUGUUGGACUAUAAUUUAGAUUAAUUUAUUAGUCCUGACAACCAAAUAGGACUAGAAAUGGCAAAAACCCGACUUGAAUUUUGGCUCGAUUAACCCGGUUAAAAAAAUUUUGGGUUUUGACCCGAGUUUAAAGGUCAAAAUUCGAGCUCGAGCUUAAAAAUAAAAGUAUGAUCAAAUUCGGGUCAGGGUUUGAGCUUUAUAUGGCCCGACCCGACCUGAAUUUAACAAAAAUUAAAAAAAAAAAUAUGCUGCAAUACAAUAGUGACACGCACGCUGCACACACACAUGCGCGUAACACAUGUAACACACACACCCCACAUGAACUGACAAACAUUUCUAUUUCCCAUUCACCGCCGCUGCAGCCCUGCAACACAAACUCUCGAAGCCAUCACAAGCACACCACCAAGCCUCACUGUGAGCAGGACGAAAUCCAUGCCACGAUAAUCGUGAAGUCGCAAACAAACCAGUCACGAGUUGAGUGUCACCGCCACAACAAUCGCCCAUUAUUUUAACAAAGUAAGGAUGUCACUAACAAACAAAAAAUAUAGUCUCCAAUAUACCAAAAUCUAUAUUUUUUGGUAUUUUAGUAUGUAUGAGAAUGUCGUCACUAAAGAAUAGUAAUAUAUAUAUAUAUGUAUACGUAUAUACAAGUGUGUGUGUAUUGCCCUCAUUUUUUUUCUUUUUAAUAUAUACAUUAUUAAGUCAUAUAGUUUAAUAUAGUCAAUAGAGAUAUGCUAUUAAAUUAUAUAGCUUUCUAGUGAAUUGAACAUUAAUUAUAUAUACUUCUUUCUCAAAUAUGGGUACCCUCAUCAUUUAAAGUAUGAAUUUUGGGAUAGAAAAAAAAAAAUUCCGCCUCGAUCCUUGGCUCAAUUGACUCAUCCCAAAAUUUUUGAACUUUAAACUUUAACCCAAAUCUGAGGCUAAGGGUUGAGCAAGGGCCCAAGAAUUAAGGUGAACUUUGAUUUAGUCAAUUUUCAGGGUCGAUUGAAAAUUUUAAGAUAUUUGAGGACAUUUGAUUUUUGAGAUAUUUUGAGCAUUAAAUUUCAUACGCAAAAAUCACAUGGCAAUUGGAAAGUGCUGCGAAUCACAAUCUUAAAAAAAAAAAAAGAAAAAACUGAUUUUCUCAACGACAGAGGGCAACGUGAAAUAAUUAAAGACAAUAGCAAAACAGCAAAGGGCAACAUCAAGGCACAAGGUCAAAAACAUUAAAUCUCUCCUCCACUGUCCUCGUCUUACUGCAAAAUAAUUGCACAAGGUCAAAAACAACAUAUAGAAGCCAACCCUUUAGAGAGAGAACUUAAACACAAGUGGUUAAACGCAGAAGACGAACGCCAUCAUACUCAUGCUGUCAACAGUAAAAUCAAAAGUUGUCUAGUUUGAACAAAGCAAGCUGGAAGUACUUCAACUCACAAUCUACUUUGCAGUUUCUAAGAAAACUUUGAAAAUCUCCAAGUUUUUUUUUUUUUUGAUUACAUGAGAUUAUUGCUUAAAUUACAGUUCAAAUUACAACUCAUAUUACAUGAGAGUAUAAUUGAUAUGUACAAUCAUAUAUUUAUACUGAGCCCUAUUGAUAUGAAUGCUGAUAUGACGCCGCUCAGAUUUUUAACCCUCUCAAAUAUUUAAGGGAUGUCAAACUCCCAUCUUGGGAGAAAGACUGUCUUCACUCGAGCUCAAGAACUCCAAGAAAAAAUAUUUAAAUUAAACCCCUACAAUACGACUGCGGAGUCUUGAACCCCUUCCCUCACAUUUGUGAGGGAGGGACUCCAGCCACUUGGCCAAGUGGUUGAAAAUCUCCAAGCUUGCCUACAAAUAAUGUACAUUUUCUAACAGCAUUUAAUAGGAAAAACAGAGGCUCCUGCCCUGCAGGUAGGAAACAAUUUAAAGUCGUGAAAACGACAGUGAAUAUGAAAACAAAGUGUUAUUAGUCACCUGGAUUCCUCAAUACAUUAAAACCUAUUUCUGAAAUACAAUGGUUUUAAUUAAAACUAUCUUCUUAAGUUUGAAUUUAUGAAAAGAAGGAAAAAAGAAAAUAAAGGAUAAGCUUCAUGAGGGCUAAACUGCUAAAUUUUUUCAUGCAUCUUGAAAUUUUUACAUGAGAUUAAAUUAUUGUCCAUGCUGACACUCAUUCUAAUAGUCAAACUAAGUCAAUGAAUUUAAUUAUAAGAAAAAUUGAAACAAUCUGGACAUAUUUGUCAACAUUUAGAAUCUUCGCCUUCUUUAAUUUUUCAGUAAACAUCAGGAAUGGCAAUGUUAAUAAUCAUGUAAACACAUCGGGCCAUUACGCAGCGCCUUAGUUAGAUUUUAUGGCUAAAUAACUAAAUGACAAAAUAGCGAUACCUAACACCAAAUGCAAAAUAAAUUUCUCUACCUUAUAUUUAAUAUAAGCUACAUCACUCACAAAUUGAGCCGUGGGUUUCACUUGGUCCACAGCUAAUAAAGAGAAUUGUACCUUACAUUAAAUGUAAGUUAGUAGCUCCCACACAAAAUAGCUAAAUUAAUGUAUAUAGUUGGGCCCAUAAUAACUUAUCCAACCAAUCAAUUCACGUCUUCACAAAAAAAAAAAGACCAAUCAAUUUAUGUCAAAUUAAUUUACCACACAUUUUUUUAUAUAUAAAUAAGAUUUAAAUUUAGUAUUGAACGGAUGUUUCUAUUUUUUUUUAAAGACUCACUUAGUAAUUAUUAAAUAAAAAUAUAAAAUUAAUUAAAUCUUAACGGUAUAUUAUUAUAAGUAGACAUACGAGAAAAAUUUUAAAAAAUUAUAUAAAAAUCAACUCAACCUCAAUCCAAACUCACAUAAAUGUGUAAACGCAUUAUAACCCAUAAUUUUGCCAUGAGCAAAGAAUCAAUUCACUGGGUGUACGAUCAACGUGAUGUACUGGUCCAGUUUUCUCAUAAGCAAUAAUAACGAAGGGACAGGCUCGUGGUCCACUGAAUUUUGCUUUUCGGUUUCCGAAUUUACAGCCCCGCGUACGCCACUUAUUACAAGCAAUUAAUUGACAUCAGCACCUUGGCCAACAGGCCCAACAGCAAAUAAAUUAAAUUAAAAAAUAAUCUUAAUUAAUGGAAGGGAAGCAUAUAUAUAAUAAUUAAGAGUUGGAAUAUUGAUCCAUCCUAAUGCUCUUCACAUUUAUUUAUUAAAUAAGAGUAGGAAUAUUUAUCCAUCCUAAUACUCUUUACAUUUAUUUAUUAACUAUACCCCACUAACAGAUUUUAAAAAUUCAAAAUUUAUUCAUCAUACCCACCCAAGUACCAAAAUUAUCUUUAGAACGAAAUUUCUCUCGCUAACCCACACUCUUAUCUCUUAAAAUCUUCAUACUCUUUUCCUCUUUUCUUACCCUAAUCUGCCAAAUCCAUUAAUUUUUCGUCAAAUCAAUUUUAUAAUCUCAUUAUCUUCCUGGUAGCUUUUCCAUUUGAAUCUGGUCAUUGGAAGAUCAGUUAUUAGCUAAAACAAUUUUCAUAAAAACAUCCUUUCGCAUUGCUAGUGUGAGGAUUAGUGGAUCAGUUACAAAAUUUCGUUAAUCUUUGCUACAACAGUACAAGAGUUCUGAAAAGAACUUUUAUUUUUGAAAAUCUAGACGUAAUAAAUAAAAUAGAAAAUAAUGAGUAAAAUAAUAGAUUACUAACACUUCUUUCCUCGUAAUUUAUUUUCUCCUUCGUGAAUCAUUUUUUAAGAAUUGGUUACAUAAAAACUAAUCUUGAUCUUCGAUCAGACAUCAUAAAGAAAUAGAUUGAAUCAUUUUUUUUUUCUAAUUUCAUCUAACCAUUUCUAAAGAGAAAUUGUUGAAUGUUAGUGAUGCCAGGCCAUCGUAAAUUAACCAGUGAUAAAUUGAUAAUAGCUUAAAAUUGAUGGAUAUGAAAAAUAAAAAUAUUUAUAUUAAGUUAUAUUAUCGAUGUCUUUAUUAGUAAAUUACAACAAGGGUAUUUCAAUAAUUAAAAUCACAUUUAAAAGAUAAAUGUGUAAAUACUUCAGUGAGUUCAAAUAACCCAAUCAUAUACCUAAAAGAUUGAACAACUCGAAAGGUUAGACUAACAAAAGAAAAGCAAACAAAGUCUAUAUGUGUUGGGAUACCCAGUGGUGGCUCAAAGGCCCAGACGAAAACUUAAGCUCCAUCCACUGUAAAAUAUAAGGCCCAUUUUUUUGGGUUGGAAAGGCCCUCAAUUUAUAAUUAGAACUGAGUUAUUAUUUAAAAAAUUAAAAAGCUCAUGUGACCGUAUGACACCUAUUUUAAUUCAAAAAUUGAUCCUAAUUUUUUAUUGAAUAAAUCCCAAAAACAUAUGUGCCCCCCUCUCUCUUCAUAAGUUCAUAUUUCUUCUCUCUCUUCAUAAGUACCGAAAUAUUAACUUCUGUUUAUGAAUUAAAGUUGCAAUUCAUGAAUUUAGUUUGAUUGUGUAAAUUUGUAAAGAUAAAUAGAGAAAACAAAUAUAAAAACCCAAAGAAAUUGGUUUCAGAUCCCCCUUAGGGCUUGGAUCAUUGAUUCGAUUUCUCUGUGAAGAGACGCCUAUAUUUUAAUUAUGAAAAAAAUAGAGUUUUAAGUCUAUUUAAUUAAAUAUUGGUUAUAAAAAAUUAGUUUUUUAUUGUUAUAUCUUAAACUAUUAUUUAUUUUAUAUUUAGCAUGUUAAAUGUCUAAGUUAUUUGUAAUAUUAUUAGUUAUAAACGUCAGAUAACAUUUUGGUGGACGGUUAAUAAUACAAAUUAUGAAUUUAAUAAGAAAAUUUGAAAAAGUUUAGAUUUUAUAGUAUGUUUUAUAAUACGGUAAAUUAUAAGUGAAUGGUUGAUAAUUUCUCUUUUAUUUUCUAUUUAGCAUGUUAAAUGUUUAAAUUAUACUUGUGAUGUCAUUACUUAUUAACGGAAACUAACGAUUUGAUGGAUAAAUGAUAUAUAUUAUAAAUUUAGUGUGCAUAAAUUAUAAAAUUUAAAAGUAUUGUAAUAUUCUUUAGGGAUAUUAUCAUUUUAAUACUAAAGUUUUACUGACAUAUCAUGUCAGUACCAAGGUUUGCCGAAAAGUGCAUUUUACUACCAAAGUUUUGCGCCAUUAUCAAUUUACUACCGUUCCGUUAACAACGUUAAAAGUUUGCUGAUGUCAUAAGGGUAUCUAAGACAUUUCCAGCUGUAAGAGUAAAAUUGUUUGUUAAUUUGAUAGAUAAAUUAUCAUUUUACUACCAAGUUUUUAGGGGAAUUAUCAUUUUACUACCAAAUUUUUAGGAGAAUUAUCAUUUUACUACCAAACUCUUAAGGGUAAAAUUGACUUUUAACUCAAUUUCCGUUAAACAUUAACUUUUUCUUAACGGAAUGGUAGUGAAUUGAUAACGGCGCAAAACUUUGGUAGUAAAAUGCACUUUUCGGCAAACCUUGGUACUGACAUGAUAUGUCAGUAAAACUUUGGUAGUAAAAUGAUAAUUUCCCUAUUCUUUAUAUAUAGAAACAUUUAAGAAAAAUAAAUGACUGAUAAUUUUCCUAAAACAAAAGAAAAAACGCCGGUCGGAGGAAGCUCCCUCCCCGACCGGAUGUCCUCUUACCUUGUAAUAGUAAAAGUUAAUUAUUAUUAAAGACACGUAUUUGGAUUUGGGAAAUUUACAAAAAUAACCAUAAAACUUUUUUUAUUUUCAUAAUUAACCCUCUCAACUUUUUUCUAUCAACAUUAGCCAAACACACGCUUUUCUCCCCAAAUUAUCAUUCUUUACAAACCAAAAGCAAUUUUUUUUCUCCCCUUUCGUCAAACCAAAGGCAGUUUCCCACUCUUGAAUCAUCAACCAACGGCAACGGCAACGAUAAAAAGUGAAAUCCGAUCAUAAUUUAUCCGGAUCCAAUAUUAAUCGGCAUUACAUAGUAGUAUGAAUUAUUUUUUGAACUUGUUUGAGAGUUUGACUGAACUGCGAAUGGUUUCGUGGGUGAAUCUGGCGACAGGUUGCCAGUAGAUUUUAGGGUUGUUUCUUUUGGAGUUGUUUGCAAUGAGAUAUUUUAUGUCUAUUCUGAGACUGACAAACUGGCAGGAUAUGACAUAUAAAGAGGCUUCUGGAUUGGAAUCCAAACCUCUCCAUUUCCUCCCCGUGUUAUUGAGUACUACCCAAAACUUGUAUCCUGUAGUGGUUGUCUAUUCAUGCUUUCUGUCUCCUGGUGUGAAGGGGAUGGUCAAAUAGGCUGUAGAAACAAGGUAGUGAGAAAAUUAUAGGAGCUAGAUCUCAUGUACCUCGCCUGGACUGAGGUCUCUGCACAUCCUGAUGCUCCAAUGGACUGGAAUGCUGCAUUUGUUGCGGACAGAAACCAUAUAUUUGGUGUCGAAAUGUUUAAGAUAUUUGGUCAGGUGCUGGACUUCUUGACUGUAUGUGACGUGUCGGAAAAGAGGAUGAACUGGAGCCAUAUCUCAAGAAAUCACAUGGCUUAUGAACUGGAUGCUACUUCAUGCAUGACUAAAUCAUUGGCUGUUUUACAUCUGUAAUCUUGUUGGCGUAUGUGCUGAUUCAUGCUGGAAAUUUUAGGCUUGAACCUGCAAAUUUCAUUUCAAAUUCUUUGGGUACAGUUGAUUUGAACCUUUGCUUCUGCCUCUAGUUUCUGUAUCUUAUCUUGGCUCAUUUAAGAGGCAUGUUUCACACGUAGCCAUUUAUGUACUCUCUUUGCCACUGUUUAUAAAUUAUUCAUGUUUUUCAAUCUUGUUUGUGUUGUCUUGACAAGGUGGAAAAGAGUUUAUUGUUUAUGUUAAAUUGAUAAUGUGAUAUCUGUUCUUCUCGUUGAACUUCCUGGCUCUUGUUUCUUUCGCUUGGAAGACAUACAGAGAAGUUUUAAAACUUCGCAGUCACACUUGAAUGCUUUUGGCUAUUUUAAAAGUUGCCUUGCUGACCUAGAUUAAGCAAUACAUUCGAACUGGUGAUAACCGUGCAAUACUCAUAAUUAAGAUUUAGAAUCACGUACUAUGAACAUUUAAGCUAAUGAAAUGAGAGUGAGGAGAGAUCUCUUAAAAAGUCAUGAAGAUUUAAAGAAAAUCAAAUAGGUAUGAGGCCCCCACAAUUGCAGCAAGGUAAAAAUUUAAAAAGCAGCAACCAUAUUAGCACAGGAGACCCGAUUGUUUUGGAAGAUUGCACAUUGACAAUAUGUUCUUGAGUCAUAUUUUCCAUAAUGCUCGAGAUCUAGAUCUAAUUAUACUUGGUAAAUAUUCUUCAACGUCAACAUUCCCACCUUUUUAUUUCAAACUAAUGAAUGAAUGGAAUAUGAACUAAUUUAAGGAUGAAAAUGAUAAUGUGUGAAAGUAUGGAAACCUUAUGGAGUAGAAUCCAAAUAAAAUUCAUAGAUCACAACACACCGCGCCGUUAUAUAGUUUUGCAUUUGGAGAAAAGCGCAUUCCGACUCAAUAAGCAGUAAGUCGUGACAAGGCAUUUGAAGAUGUGGAAUUGAUGAAAAACAGUAAACUUAAGAACAAAUUAAUGGCAUUGGAAAUUCUCUACAAAUUGAACAUCUUUAUACAACAAUAUCUACCUGCAGUUCGACGAUUCACAAACAAUAUCCAUAAAUGUCAAAACUGCUUACGCAAAGGAAGAAUUACAUACAGGAGCUCAUCCUUGUAAGAUUAAAAAAAAAAAAAAAAAAACAUCUGGAAGAAACUCAUCCCAUGUUUGGGAAGAUUCCUGAAAAGUUCGGUAUCUUAUCAAUAUGCUUCAGGGCACGUUCGGCAAUCUGCCGUGUUCUAUAGUCAGCAUGCUGGAAGGCAUCAACUAGAGCAGUACUGACAUUUGGGUCUCCAGAGACUUCAUAUGCUAUAUCAUCAGUCCGCAGGAUUCUUUCUACCACCCAAACUGCUCUCCUCUGCAGGUUCUCAGUUCGUUUUUCGAGUAAUACAUCUAGAAUGGGCUUGAUUCCCUGUGCCUCGCACAAUACCAUCACCCCUUGUUCAAUAUCAACCCCAUCAUCUAUCACUGUAGAUAGUGCUGCCAACGAUGCCUCAACCACCUUCUCAUUUGUAUGGUCUAAAAGUGCUAUCAACUUCUCCACAGCAUGCCCUUCCAAUAGACAAAAAGUUUCUUUUAAAGAGCAUAAUCCUCUGUGCAGCCGACACAAUCCAGUUAUGACAGGCUGCUUGCUGAAACAUGGAAAGAUUGAGGCACAAAAACCAGAGAAUCACGUACUAUGAACAUUUAAGUUAAUGAAAUGAGAGUGAAGAGAGAUCUCUUAACAAGUCAUGAAGAUUUAAGGAAAAUCAAAUAAGUACGAGGCCCCCACAAUUGCAGCAAGGUAAAAAUGUAAAAAGCAACAAUCAUAUUAGCACAGAAGAGGGAGUGUUGGGGGAGAGACGAGGGAGAGGGGUAUUUUGGUCUCAAAAAUUAUUUUAUGGCUAAUGUUGAUAGAAAUUUAUUUGGAGGGUUAAGAUAGAAAAAAUUAAAACUUUAAUGAUUAUUAAUGUAAAUUUCCCUUUGGAUUUUGGAUCGCAAAGCAGCGCUCUUGCUUCAUGACCACAUUUGAGAAAAUAUAAAACCACGUAAGCCCAAAUGUCGUUGUCAUCCAUCGAUUGAAUUUUUCAAAAAUAACGUCGUUUGCCUUAACAAGAAAAUAACAACCGAACCAGAAAUAAGUACUUUAUUAUUUGCCUACGUGCCUCUGUUUUAAUGUCUUCUCUAAUAAACCGCAAAAUUAUCUUUCCAAAUUCAUCAAAUCACCCGCCACCGCCAAUCCUGCCAUUCGCUGUCCACGUCAUCAUUUCCCCAUUUUUCAUGCCCUCAUUUAAUCUCCCUUGCUCGUCAUUUACUUCAUUUCAUCUCCAUCCAUAACUCUAAAAAAAAAUUUAAAACAAUAAAAAAUUCUCUGACUUUCCUUUCUUAUCUUGUUUGGUUUGAAUGGAGAAAUCUGGUUAUGGCCGUGAUGGUAUCUACCGAUCUCUGAGGCCGCCUUUGGUUCUUCCCAGUGAGCCCAAUCUUUCUAUGGUUCAUUUUCUUUUUAGAAACUCUGCUUCUUAUCCCUCCAAGCCAGCACUCAUUGAUGCUGAUUCUGGUGAAUCUUUGACAUUUUCCCAGCUCAAAUCCACUGUGAUUAAGGCCUCUCAUGGCUUUCGCCAUCUGGGUAUUACAAAAAAUGAUGUUGUUAUGAUUUUUGCCCCAAAUUCAAUUCAGUUUCCUGUUUGCUUUCUUGGUGUUAUUGCUACAGGCGCCAUAGCAACAACUGCUAAUCCUGUUUACUCUGUCUCUGAACUGUCAAAGCAAGUUAUAGAUUCAAAUCCAAAACUCAUCGUCACUGUACCUGAAUUGUGGGACAAAGUUAAAGACUUUAACUUGCCAGCCGUCCUUUUGGGUUCGAAAAGUAAACUUGCUUCAUGUGGUCUUAGCUCAAGUUCAAAGAUUGUUCAUUUUCAUGAUUUAAUUGAAUUAUCUGGGAAUAUAUCAAAUUUUCCAGAUGUUUCUAUUAAGCAGACAGAUACUGCUGCUUUGUUGUACUCUUCAGGUACAACUGGUGUCAGCAAAGGUGUCAUUUUGACACACAAGAACUUUAUUGCAUCAUCUUUGAUGGUAACUAUGGACCAAGAAACGGCUGGUGAAUUAGAUUAUGUGUUUCUUUGUGUGUUGCCUCUGUUUCACGUAUUUGGGCUUGCAGUUAUUACUUGCGGGCAGUUGCAAAAAGGCAAUUGUAUUAUUUUAAUGGCCAAGUUUGAUCUUGAGAUGUUUUUGAGGGCUAUUGAGAAGUUCAGAGUGACACACAUAUGGGUUGUUCCACCUCUUAUUCUUGCAUUGGCUAAGCAUGGUUUGGUCAAGAAAUUUGAUCUUUCUUCAUUGAAACUUGUUGGUUCUGGUGCUGCUCCUUUGGGAAAGGAAUUGAUGGAGGAAUGCGCGAAGAAUGUACCUAGUGCAACAGUCAUUCAGGUAGCUCAGUUCGAGCAUUUCUAUUACGAAUCAUGUAAUGAUUAUAUGCUGAAAAGAUUUGAUGAGUUUUGCAUAUUUUUCACUUGCUUUGUUUAAAUUAUUAUCAAUUUUUGAAAAAGUAGGCAUAAUGAUUUUGAGGUUUGCCAGGCCGUUGGUGAAAUUAAGAUUGCUUCAGAUCUCUCUGUGUCUUUUGAGCACUGAUCCAGAAGUAUGGGAGUGCAUCCUAACAUUUCUUUUAUGCUCGCUAUGUUCAUAUCUAGAAUAUCCUUGACUUGAUCAGAUUAGAAUAUCCUUGGCUUGAUCAUAUUUAUCUUACCGAUUUCUUGACUGAUAGACAAUCCGAUCAGGGAGCAAAGACCUCAUGGUCUGUAGAGAGCAGCCUAUACGUUUAGUCAAUGACUGGUGCAGUAUCUUGGCUGAUAGAGUAGUUGAGCAUUGUUUCUUACUCCUUCUACAGUAGUAAAUUGUCCAUUAAAUUCUUUGUUUCUUAGACUGACUUUAAGAAGAAAGUUUGUGAAAUGCAGCAUAUAGUAUUCAUGUUCUAUUGCUUUUAUCUGACAUGUAUGGUUAAAUUCAGUGACACUUUAAACAGGUAAUAAAUUAGUUACAGAUUUCCAGGUAGGUAAUCAGUUUUAGCUAUUUUUCCUUAUUUGGGAAAAUUUCAAUGGUUUCAGGGUUAUGGUUUGACGGAAACUAGUGGUAUUGCCACAAUGGAGAAUUCAUUUGCAGGAUCUCGAAAUAUUGGUUCAGCUGGAGCACUUGCCCCAGGUGUUGAAGCCCUAAUAGUCAGUGUGGAUACUCAAAAGCCUCUCCCUCCAAAUCAGUUGGGGGAGAUAUGGCUACGAGGACCUAAUAUGAUGCGAGGUAUAAUGUUAAUUGCUUCAAUUAUACUCUCUUCAUGGGGGUUUAGGAAGAUAAUGCAUUCUUUCAUUUAAGAGAGAGAGGAAAAAAAAAAUUGAAAUUUGAUGCAUUCUUGCUCCAGGUUAUUUCAGAAAUCCUUAGGCAGGCUUUUAUCUAUCAUAUGCAAGCCAAUAGGUUCCCGAACAAUAACAUUUGUCAUUGUAGGUCAAGGUCUUGGUAGAUUCAUGAUUUUGAUGUUUUUGUCAGAAAUGUACUAAUAAGUUGUUUAAUUAAAUUGAUAACAUUAUAAGCUUGGUUUUCAUUUCUGAAAAUUUAGUGUAAGCUCUGCAUUGAUUUAAAAUGUUCAGGGAUCUGCUUUUCUUUUAAGUUGGAUUAUAUGAGAAUUUUGGUACUAUCAUUUUCAGGUUAUUACAACAAUGAACAAGCCACCAAGCUGACAAUAGAUAAAAAGGGUUGGGUACAUACAGGUGAUCUUGGAUAUUUUGAUGGGGAUGGUCAGCUAUAUGUUGUUGACCGAAUCAAAGAGCUCAUUAAGUACAAAGGUUUUCAGGUAACUUCUAAUUGGUAAUAUAGGUUUAAUGCAAUGGAAUUUUUUCUGGCACUUACUACACUUGGGCAAUGGCAAUGAAAAUGAUUUUUGUAGCCAACUCCAACUGGUUUAAGGUUAAGGCCUGCUUUUAGUUGAUGUUUCAGGACAGUAUGUUGGUUGAAACCUAGAAAUUUUGGCUGUACAACUUCUACUUUUUUUAAGGGUACAAAAUUUAACAAACAAGUUUCCCACACAAUAUUUGCAGCGUCUGGUUGACACGGCUUCUUUCUUCUUCUUACUUCGUGUGUUUGCUCCCAGAAUUGCUUGCUGCAACUUCAUUUUUCUCUGGAGCCCUGUUGUUGUUUCUUAUAUCAUUUAAAUUUUUUACUUCACUAGGACUGAUUAAGACCUCUUAAUGCUGCCUUUAUCUAUAUGGUUAUUUGGAAAGGGGUGUAGCUGAAAUUUAGCUGCCAGUAACUUGAUAUCUUUGAUCAACAGUCACUAGGCUAUCUUCGACAUAUUGAUUAAGCCGCUUCUUCUGCAUCUUCUCUGUUUUUCUUUAGAUAUGUAACUUUGGAAUUGAGAAUGUAGAUUAACGGUAGUUGACGCUUCAUUGAUUCAUACUAGGUAGCGCCAGCAGAGCUUGAGGGGCUGCUUGUUUCUCACCCUGAGAUAUUAGAUGCUGUUGUUAUUCCGUAAGUUGUACAACCAAUUCUUAAAUUUAUGCUUAUCUUGUAAAUUCACCACUUAUAUCUUGAUACGUUUCCCCCUCAAAAGAUUUCCUGACGCUGAAGCUGGGGAGGUCCCAUUAGCAUAUGUUGUUCGAUCACCCAACAGUUCACUGACCGAAGAAGAUGUUCAGAAGUUUAUUGCUAAACAGGUAAUGUGACACAAUAUAUCAUAACAGUAUAACAUUUCCAGACACACUGAGUAGUGUCUGAUGAUCCAACAUAUGCCAUUUUUUCUUCCUAAAUCAUAUUUCUUGUUUGCUUACCUGAUAGUAUAGGGUACAAAAAUGAUUUACAGCUGGCGGUUGAGUGAUUCUUGUUACAUCUAUAAUCAUAUACUCUUCUUUCUUUACUCUGUUGCAGGUCGCACCUUUUAAAAGAUUAAGAAGGGUGACAUUCAUAAACAGCGUUCCCAAGUCAGCUUCUGGGAAAAUCCUUAGAAGAGAGCUCAUAGCAAAGGUACGAGCCAAAAUGUGAAACAAUAAUGCUACACUUUUCAACUAGUAUCCCAACUAUUAUAAUUCCGAGUGAGGUGACAUUCAUUCAUGGUAUGGUAAGAGUGGAUAAAUAGGAAAUUCUACAACUUAUAGAAUUAAUCAUCCAAUAAAUGGUUCCCAUAUCAGCACUUAGGAUGAUUAUAUUGGGAUAAUGCUCAGAAAGUUCGGUUUUAUUGAAAUGCUAAUUGGAAGCAUUUGAUGAGAGCACUAUUUAUUUUCGCCAACACGCUCCUUUUUUUUUGAAGAAUUAUUUAUUAUUUUCCAUUAAUAAAGAUAGUUAAAAAGAAACUACUGCAAGUUCAAUCUAUUUUACAAUUGCAAGAUAUAUUCUCGCCUAUUUUUAUUGAAAGGAAAUUAGUGUCUGAAGCAGUAACUUCAUGCUUAUAUCAGUUUGAAUAUUCAAAUUUGUGUAAAGAGGCUACAGCUCUGUUAUUUCUCUCUCUCUCUCUCUUUUUAAAUGACAAUAUUGGAGUCAUAAACUCUUUGAUCCAUCUGAUAAGACGAAAUAAUAAUUGGAAAUUGUUUUACGUGCUGGGUAAAUUGAAACCCAUUCCUUCAAUGGGUUUUUGUUGCAGUGUGUUUAAAUUUGAUAUAAUGAUCAAAUAUUGACCUAUAAGCCAUGACAUUAAAUUCAAGUUUUUUCUUUUUUUUCUUUUUAAUUAAAAAGGUAGCAGACAAAGUUAAAUUAAUUUCUCACACUCAAAUCUGUCUCAACAUUUAAACAAGAACGACUAAUUAAAAAAAAUUGAAAAUAAGCUGCUUGCGGUGACAUUGAAUUCAGAAUGAAAUCAAAUGUUUGAAUUUAGAAUAAUUAAUGUGUUGGAAUAAUUAACGAGCUGAUGAAUAUUGAAAGCAAUAUUUGAGUAAGCGGCAGCAUUGGCAAGAGCCAAGGAAUGGGAUGGACCAAAAAAGGGGCUGAUGAAUGGUGAAAUUGAAGUUCUAUUUUAUAGUAGCAUCAUCUUAAUGCAGCAUAAAUUAAGUUAAUUCGAUAUUGUUGUGGGUAAAUCGGCAAGAGAGUUAUUGUGAUAAUAUAAGAUUGUAAGAAGGGUCCCUCACCAGCCGGCUAGUGAAUUGAGGGAAGUCAAAAUCUAUUUAAUCAGUAUUAAUAUGAUUAGCUAAUGCAUGUUUGAUUUCUAAGGUCACAGCUCGUCUAUGCUUCUUAUGAUAUUGACAUUCUCUUUUGAAUCAAACUAUCAUUAGGUCACGUUAUAUUAUAUAAUAUAGGUCGAAUUAAUUAAGCUAGCCUUAUCAUGCAUAAGCAUACUUCGCGGCAAUUGUAAAGAUUGAUUAUCAAUCAUUAUUAUUGAAUUAUAUCAAUUGUAUCAUUUCCUUCUUUUUUUUUUGGUAUUUUAAAUAAUUUAUAAUUUGCGCAUUUAUCCUUAUGAAUUAAUAAGAGUGAAAUUUAUUAAUCACUAUUUCCGAAUUUCUAAAAUGUUUUCAUGGUGUCAGAAUGGGUUCGAGAGUCUUUAAAUUCGCGAGCUUACACUUAGUCACCAUAUUAUUGAUGGGUAAAAGCUCGUUUAGUCCCUAUAUUUUGAAGUUAAUGUCCGUUUAGUCCCUAUAUUUUUAAAAAUACCUCAAACCAUCCCUACCAUAAAAUUAUUGACACUCUUGCCAUUAUCUUUUGUUCCUUUUAACUUAUUUUUACAAUAUUAUCCUAUUAUAAUAAUUUUUUUCGAAAUUAUUAAAAAGAAAAAAAAAUAAAUUACCAGUUUAACACCAAAAAAUAAAAUAAAUAAAAUAUAUAUAUAUAUAUAUAUUAAUUUUUGUGGAACACUCUCUUGAGUUAAAAUAUUAAUUUUUCUAAAAAAUUGAUAAUGUAAUUUUUUACAAUAUUAUUUUUUAGACAUACGUGAGCUUCCACCUGCUGUACCGUACAUCCGCCUUGGCCUUUUUUAGACAUACGUGAACUUCCACAAAAAUUAAUAUAUACAUUUUUUGUUGUUAUUUUAUUUUUGAGUUUAAUUUAAUAAUCUAAUUUUUUAUUAAUAUCCAAAAAAGAAACAUUAUUGUAAGAGUGUUAUAUUAUAAAAGUAAGUUAAAAAGAAUAAAAAAUAAUGGCAUGAGUGUCAAUAUUUAGCAUUAGGGAUGUUUUGAGGUGUUUUUAAAAAUAUAAGGACUAAAUGGACACUAACCUCAUAAUAUAGGGACUAAAAAAGCUUUUACCCUGUUAUUGAUAUUAGGCUUCUCAAGCAUGGUGGUCUAAGGGAGAGAGAUGUGAGUUCCUAUUUAGCUGUUCUUCAAUUUCUUCACCAAAAAAAGAAAAAAAAAAAGUUGUUUGAUCGCACCAUCCAUUACAACUUCCACCAUCACAAAGGAAAUGGCGUUAAAAGAAAAAAAUGAAUGAAAAGGAAUCUUCAAAAUUGAUGUUUAUUUUCUUGACAAGAUUAGUAGAAUGGCUUUUUAAAUGAAAGAAUUCUUGAAUGAAGAAUUCCUUUAAAAAAAUCAAAGGAAUGGCUUUCAUAUUAAAAGAAUUGCUUGAUCAAAGGAACUUAUGAUUUUUUACAACUUUAAAAUUAUACUACUACUCCUAUUAAUAAUAAUAAUAACAACAACAAUAAGUAUACAUGGAAACAAUUAGAAGAUUUCCUGAACAAGCUUCAAAUGAACGCUUCCUGAUUUAUUACAUGACACUUGGAUGAGACUGUAGAUAAAAGUCAAGGAUUUACAAUUUAAAAAAGCUAGGAGUUCAAAAAAAAUUUCUCGCCAACUUGAGAGAGGAGAGGAUGAUAUUGAUGGAAAUAAAACAAUCAAUCAAAAAGUUUUCACUAUAUUUAUAUAUACACACAGACACACACACACACACAUACAUACAUACAUAUAUAGGCCAAUUUCAUGGAUCUUCAAAGCAAGCGGUUUGCCUGAUGAAGCCUGCGAGGAGCUCAUACACAGUAUGCCAUUGUAUGAUAGCAAGCCUUGUAAGUCGCUCAAUGAUCCCAUGCAUGCAAUGGUAUAUAUCUUUCUUUUAUCAUGUUUGUCUUUCAGUAGUCAAUAUAUAAUAUUUCUCCGAUACCCAGACGCUCAUUCAUCACAAGCUAUAUUUAGUAUAAGUAACUUGAUCUUCAUCUUGCUCAUCUCUGUAGAUAUCUGUUCUUGUCCACAAAGCACUACGUGGGGUUGAGAAAAGCAUCAAGCAGAAGCAAGAUCUUUCUUGAUCACUGUCAUUUUCCAAUUCGUCAAAAUGGUUUUAAGUGAAUGAAGAGAUCUAGUCAACUGCUAGCUAUAGUUAGGGUUACUUUGAUCUCUUGAUCAGCUCGUUCCCAUCCUAAACGCUAAUUAAACAACAUAUAUACUAUAAGUAGACCAUUUUAACAGACUUAUUAAGUCACAGAACUGCUCCUUAUAUCGUGUUGAUAAUAAUAUUUCAGAAUACAAUUAUAUAUACUGGUUGUAACCUUGAAUGAAAAUACCUAUGCUCAGGUGCGGAUUCUCUAUUUUACAUCGAUGUAAAGGGCCUUUAAAACACUUAAAAGAGCCGGCACAUCAAAAUAAAGAGUGACUCAAGAUUUUUACUUCGAUAUAAAAGAGUGAAUCCACACUUUAUAAAAUAUGAACGUCGGCACAUAAACAUGAGUCUGUGCCUUCAAAAUAAUGGUAGCCCUAGAUUUGGAAGGACUGCUAAAAAUUAUGUACUGACCGUCUUGAGUUUGAAAAGUUCUUGAAAACUCUUUUGAAUCACACUUACCUUACAAAGCCCUUAAGCACACUGACGUCGCAAGUCCAAAAUCCAAAUAGCUAGCUAAAAUGGCAUUCAUCUGCACUUGCAACUGCACCUUGAUGCAUAUAACCCCAUGCUGCCACCAUAUCUGCCGACGGCUAUUGGCUCUUCUUGUGCUUUGGCUUUUACGAACCAGAACCAGAUAACGCAACAAGAUGCAGGUGCAAAUGCAGAUAAAGGAUACAUCUUAGCAUCCUGUUCCUGUAGCAUGUACUCCUACGUACUCAUGAUAUACGGCCAUUUAUCACUGAACCUGCAGAGCUACUUAGCAUUUUUCUCUCUUUUUUUUUAUUUUAACAAUUACAAGCAAGCUGAGAGAGCUGGUAGCCUGGCAUAUAUAUACCACAUCUCAAUCUGUGGUCUGUAAAGCAGGCUGGUCCGAAGCCACGUGAUGGAAUGCCACUGACCACGUGAGAUUUGAUUAGUUAACAAGUGACAAAGUGCCACGUGUGACAACCACCUGAAAUAAUUAUUUAAUCCGUGGAAGUUAAUUAAAUGCAUGGAUGUUAUAAUUUGGAGCGGGCAAUCUAGGACAAAAGAAUUGUGUGUUCUUUUAUGAUCAGUCGGUGCUCCCUCGUCUCUCUCUAUCAAGUGAACUAUGUGCCCACGAGCUAGGGCCAAGGCUGUCAGUGGAAAUAGGGGAAUGGGACCCUAAUUUCUUAUCACUUCCUAGGAAUGAAAGCAACCAUCGGAACUGCCAUCGUCCCAUCUAGAGAGUUUUUGAUGCAAUUAUACAUAUGUGUACUGUAUUUAUGCAAAGAAAUAUAGAUAAAUAUUAGAGUGUGACAUGUCAUUAGGUCAUAAAAACCAGAACUCCAAGGUACUUAUCUUUCCAUUGGCAGCCUAAAUUAUUUCAUGUAAGUGGGGCGGUUGUGUUGUCAAUCAUUUUCAAGAACAAUUGGCUAAUGCAUUUGUUCGAAGAUUACUUGCUCAGUGGAGAAAUAUUGGGUCCAUGACUUUCGUUUGUAUAAAAUUAUUCUAUUGGAACUUUCCUGUUGUGUAUGCUUUUACCAUUAGGUCGAUCGCUUAUGAUUAGAGGAAAGUGAAAGGAAUUUAUCCAGAUAUAGAUUUCCAACAGUACGUAACUUACCCAUCCUAUCAUAUGCCGGGAAUAUUACCGUUUCUAUAUUAAUACUAGCACAUUAGCAAGCGGGUUUGAUUCAUACUCUCAUAAGUUAGUUCAAGAGUUGAGAGGAUUGCCUCAAGUUUAUAUAGUAUAAACUCUCUCACUCGUUGGUGAGUUUGACUAUUAUACUGUUCAAAAAUUCAUGAGAUUGAUUUAUACACAAAAAUUAACUCAUCAGUUGAACGUCGUCUCAAACUUAUAUUAAUAAUUAUUCUCAACCCAUAUGAGAUAUUUUUUUUCUAUUACCUUGUUUUGUGAGAAUUUGUCUUUUUAAUUAGUCCUUAUCACAUGGAAAGAUAGUAUUGGCACACUCAUACAUAAACUUGGCUUUUUUUAAUACCAUAUAAAAAUACUUAAUUUAUACAAAAACUAACUCAAUAAUUGUGAAUAUUGUCCCAAAUUUAUAUACAUCACCCAUGAUUUUAUUCUCAACUAAUCACGGAUUUUCUCCUGAACAUGUAUUGGCAUGUUAAAUUUAUCCACUUCAUAUUCUUUAGUUGAUGCCACAGAGCUAGGUAUAUGCCUAUAUAUAUAUAUAUAUAUAUAUAUAUAUUCUGAUGCCUUUUGGAUAGAAGAUCCCGCUCAUAUACUGCCGACGCUAUGAACCAUUAAAUUCUGCUUCUUUUCUGAGAUUCUUUUUUUCUUUUUCAUUUUUUUGGUGUGGUAACAAAAGUAAACUAUUACUGCAAGAUCUAAAACCAAGGUUGAUGAAUUAAUAUUGUAGUGCCAUUGCGGAAUGCUACCCCAGGACAAAGGGCUUCCUUGGUUUUGGUGGGUGCUCAAGGAUAUGAGAUCGUCGUAAACACCUCUGCCAUUGUUCUCCGUCGUGCUAAUUGCAUCUGGCUAGUAAACCGCAUAACUAAUGAAGCUUUUCACAAGCGUACUAAACAUAAAGAAACAUGGUGUCAUUUUGUACAUUAACCUUCACUGAACAAUAAUUGUUAAACUUGUCCUGGCAUACUCAAAAAGAAAGUAUGAGUUUUCGCAUUAGAUUGAUCACUCCACUUAAAACUUAAAAGAAUUAGGUAACUAGUCAGGAUCUCCUAGGCUCUUCCCCUCAACACCCCCGAUCGAUUACUUUCCACCAUAUGUUGUAACAGUCAACAAGUUACAUUAAUCUUAACGAUAACGAAACUGUAUCUUAAUUUUGUUGUGAUCUUGACAUUUCUGAGACUUUGAUGUAGCACAAGCUGAUAGGCUUCACGGGGCCUACGGUAGAGAUCGAAAGGACACGAACGACCUCAAAAAGCGGAGGGUCAAAAUUAUUUGUCUUGACCCCGUCGCAUCAAGCGUCAUAUCCGGCUGGCCCUUGUACUUGUUUUGGAUUCACUCGUGCAAAAGUAUUCUCGUUGUUGAUAAGAUUUUAUCCUUAUCAAAUAUCAUUCACUUCAGUAGGCCCACCGGCCAUUAUUGGAUUAGUUGGGCUUAGGCCCAUUUCAGUUUUGGGCAGAACAGACACAGAUAUUACAGUACUAUUAGUAGAGACACAUAAUGGACACUAUUUAUCUUGACCCACGUAGAUGAGUCGAACUGAGGUCACGGUAUUGCGGGAAUUCUUUUCCGAUUUGAAUAAGACCUUCACCUACAGUAGUUGUGGCCGGAUCUGAAAAUUUUUCUGUCGUAUGAUCAUUGAAUUUUGGUGUGUCAAGUCGUCCGCCUCUCUAGUUAAAAUUAAGGGAUCCAUAAUGAAUGGAAUUGGUGUGCAGAACCUUACUAUUGUAUUUAAACCGACGUGGCUUACUAUGUAAUAUUGACCAAUUCUAUCAUUAACACCAGCAAUACAAGAAGAAAAAUAUGUAAAUAAAUAACAUAGUUGUGAUAGUUGACAUGCUUUAAAUAGUAAGCAUGUGCAUUAGAGUUGAGAAAGUAACGUGCAGAGCUAGAUAUAUAGCGUUUCAAUUAAUACUUCUAAUUAGCAGAAAAUGCAAGGAUUUGAUUAUAAAAACUCAAGUUGCAUGUAUGAUUUUAAAUUAUGUAUGGUCAGAUGCAUACGUGCCGCCAUCAUGCACGUUCAGGCACAAGGUCCGUAUGAGAAUCGCACAGGCUGAUCGCCAUUAAUUUUCCAAUUUCACUUCUGAUCGAUCAAGAUCUUCAAUUUCUGAGAUAUUUUUAUUAUGCAGCAGGCGUUGCUUUCGUAGUGCUUAAUUUCAAAGUUACAAAUUAAUCCGCAAAUAAUGUUACAGCUCUCUUGACUUCAUGAUCAUGCACAUAUACAAUUCACACAAAAGCAACAAAAGUUUUCUCGUCAUAAAUUAAUUUGACAACUACCCUAAUAUCGACAAAUUUUAGGUGAAGACCCUUCAACUUCAAGUCCUCAAAAUACUGUACAAUUGUGGAAAAAAAAAUAGAAAAAAAUGAAACGAAAUUUCAAAUGGUUACGUUGAUGCUGAUGACGAUGAGGAUCUAUCAUUAUUAUGUCUCCUUCUCGUUCACUUUUCUGAGUCCAUUUUUCCAAUAAUCGACCAAAGACUUAGAGCAUCCCGACGACUUUCUUUGCCAUGUUGAUAGGCAAUAGGGAAAAUAGAAAGGGAAAAUAAUUAAACUUUGGGAAUUGUCUCAGAAGCAAGCGUGCACACUGCACAUCAAUAAUUUCUUGUAUCGAAUUAUUCAUUUAAACUGUAUGUAUAUGAUGAGGAUUUUAUACAUCGAAUUAUUCAUAUACACCCACAUCCGAGGGAAUAAAAUUUUCCUAUUUCUUUCCACUUCAUCGAAUAAAUAAAAAGAGUGACAUUAUUGACUCACUGUGGGUGUAAUUAAAAAGAUGAAAAUAAUAUGGAUCCUUGCAGACUGAUUGGUACUUGUCAACUAAGUUGGUAUGAUAGAAAUUAACUUAGUUACCAAACGGUUGUGGCUCAGUUGGUGGCGCAGGCUGGAUAAGUGGGAAGAGCUCUCGGAUUCGAUCCCCACUAAACACACUAUUUGGAAGGGGUAAAGAGCAUUAACUGUGACUAAACCCUGAAUCCGAAUUAGUCGGGACCCAAUGCGAUCGCCGAAAAUCGGGUGGUUUAAACCAAAAAAAAAAGAAAUUAACUUAGUUGAUUACUGUAUUUUAAAUUUCUCACAGUAAAUUUUUUUGGAAUAAAGUCGCAAUAGACAUGGGACCAAUAUGAUGAUUUUAAUCAUUUCGUUUCAUUUUUCUUUAGUUGAUUACUGUAUUUUUUUCCCCCCCUUUUUUGUUCUUAAACAACUCAUAAUCAGUUUAUUGACAUUUUAAAAGUUCUUAAUUAUCCAGUUCCAAACCUAAAAUAAAAAAAAAAUUUCCUUCACUUAAUUUUUGUGUAACCAUCAUCCCCAACAAUAAUUGAAGGCUCAUAUCAAAGAUGGCAACGACACCUGAAAUCUUAUACAUGCUUUGAUGCCAUAGCUAAUUAUAUCACUUCUUCUCUUCUAUUUUCUCACUCACUCAUUUAUUUUUUCCUUUUUUCUCUCUCUCUCUCUCUCUUUUGCAUUUGCGUGAGCUAAUGAUUGGUCAACAGAAAAUUUAAAAGAUCACCCGGAUUCGUUCAAUUCAAACGUGGGGGAAUCAGAAUGAUUAACUUCUGCAUUUUUAUACAUCAAGAAGUUUUGUGCCUUCUGCUCCUGAAGCAACCAUUACCAAGAAUAUUAUAAAUAUUAGUAAAUAUUAAUGUGAUUUUUUGAAGAUAUAUUGAUGUGGUUUCAUAUUUCGUAUUCAUAUUCAUUCUUGAUUAAAUUGUGUCAUUAAAAAUAAUAAUAUCAUAACAAAAUUAUAAAUUUAACAGAGCUCCAUCAUGGUUAAACCCUCGACCUAUUUUUCAAGAUUAAAAAUCAUCUUUAUUCACCCAUGAAAAUGACUUUCUUUAAAAAAAAAAAAAAAGAUGUAUUUUUUUUCCUUCUUCAAUCCCCUUUUUUUGACCUACACCCACAUGGCGUAGAGCUUAUGCAAUCAUCACAUCUAAAGGAAAAAGAUUCAAAAGAACCUUUUGAUCACAUGGAUAUGGAAUCAAGUCUAACACGCCCGUAAAAUAAUUCUAAUCAAUUAAAUGAUGUAGGCGACUUGGUGGUGAAGUCCUUCUUUGUGCAAGUAGAUAGAAUAUUCAUCGAAUUCUUAUUUUGAAAAAAAAAAAUUUACAUGCACAUGUCACUUUCUCAUUCGUUGAUAAUCAUACAAUGAAAAUUUAGAAUUACUAAAACUACUAUAAUAAUAAAAAAAAGUUUUAGAUUAAAAAAUUUGUUUUAUUUAGUACCCAAAAAAAGAAAAAAAGAAAAUGCUUUUUAAAAGUAAUUUUGUUAUUUCCUUUUGUUCCCUUUUGGGCAUUUUUCCCACCCUUCAUUGAAGGUUCCGGUACAUUUCGUAAAAGCAGCCGGGGGAUGCAAAGAUGCAAUUUGGAAAGAAUAUUAAUGGGCAUGCAUGUGACAUCAUCAUGAUACGGCAUCAUGGGAACACGAUGCAUGAUACAUUCAUUAUGCACUGCACAGUCACAUCAUGAUAUCACACGUCCUUCGUUCAUUUCUUUUUAAAGGUGAGAACGCACGUGCGGCCUAUAAACGACUCGGCAAUGCACGAUGUCGUUUUGAUUGCAUUUGGUGCCUCUUUUUGCGUUUCGCCAAAAAGGCGAAGCUAACCGGCGUUGUUGAUAUUGAUGAAUGAUCAUUUUCCUUUCCCCCUUUAUCCAUUUAAAAAUUCAAUAAAUGCUGUUUUUUUUUUUGUUUUGUUUCUUAUUUCUUACUAGUAAAUUAGAUUAAUUAUAAAUGCAGUAAAUGAAAAUCAUUAGUCAUUUUGUCAGUUAUGAAUCAGGCGAAGACCAACAUUUCAACUCACGCCUUUAAUUACGCCAACCUUUUUAAAUUUAACAAACUCCGUUAUAUCCUUAUCAUGAACAAUACCGUUACUAACACUUAGGUAUUUUCACUUCACUCCACACUAUUAAUUUUGGUGUUCAAAAUUUCAUUGCCGAAACAUAAGCACAGCCUUCUUAGCCAAAUAAGAAAUUGGGAAAAAAAAAAGAAAAUAAAUUCGGGCUAGAUCUGCCAACUCUGGUCUUCAACAGAAAUGGCUCUCGGUUCCUAGCAGGAGGUCAUCUCGUGCUAUGGUCCAGAAGAGGGCGUCCUCGUGACCGAGCAGAAGAUUACUACUCGUGGAUACCUGCUACUAGACUUUACUCAUCUACUCGCUUAUAAAGAGGCUGACUCCUCGUCUAGGAUAUGAUUGGUCUCGUCGUUAUAUAUCCUCCAAAUAAAUAGUAUCAUAACAAAAUUAUUAAUUUAACAAAGUUCCAACAUAAUUAAACCCUCCACUUAUUUUUCGAGAUUAAAGAGACACAAAAAUUGUUCUGAUUAAGGGCUUGAAUAUUGAAACGAAUAUGAACGAUGGAAAUAAAUGGUACAAGUCUCAAAUAAAUAUCUCAAGUCCUUAAUCAUUCCUUUUGUGCUGUCGUGUAUCUAUUCAAAAUCAAGAAACAACAAAAUUUUUUUAAAAAUAAAAAUCUCAUUUCAUUUCAAUAGUUAACAUUUUAACAAAUAGGCACGGCGCAGGAUAGAAAAAGAGCCAUCGAGCGUGAUUGGCGAACAGAAAAAGGAGAUGUAGACUGGACUCUUUACGGUGGUGUCGUCUAACGGGGAAUUUGAUCGGUUCGGUAGGCUCUCCCCAAGUGAAAGCCAGUCCUGAGCGGGCUUUAUAUUUAAUUAAUUGCGUACGUUCGAGGAAAUGCAGCACCGGUCGUACUGGUGGCGCACUGGCCUCUUGAAAAACGACAAGGAAUAACAACACUAAGCACCAAUAAAAAGGACACCGAUUAAAAUGAGAGUGAGCCUCAGAGGCUCUCAAAUCACACCUAAUAAGGACACGCACGAAAAAGGGAAUUUUAAAGCAGAGAAAUAUAAUAAAAAAAAAAAGAAAAAAAAAAAGCUUUAAAGGCUAAGCCGUGUUUCGCAGGUUUGACACAAGAAGGGUACAGUCCCCCUCUCUCUAGCUACAUUGUCUGUCGAUAAUCGGUAGGUCCCUCUCUGUCAAUGCCGUGCCCUUUCUUUCUUGCCCUUCUUUUUUGCUUUUGUGGGACCUUCACUUCGCGUCCUCCGAUUUCACCAAUUGGGCAUUUGCUAAGGACAAGCAAGUUGCGUGAGCCCGGUGAGUGAGUGUGUGAUGUGAAUGAAGGUACCAGAGAGUGAGGAAGUGGGGUAUGUUCAGCUGAGCCACGUGUCAUGCGUCAACUUUUCAUUAGGAGAGUUGAGUAAUUGAAAUUGAGCUAUCGGUUUCUGUUCUCUUAUACAAGCUUCUAAUGCAACCAUCAAUACGUUUACAAUGUAAUUUAAUUGAGGAUAGUGUUUCGACGUGAUUAAAGCGGUGUGACAGAGAGAGUUUUAAAGAACAAGAGGGCAAAAUAAACAUUUUCUCCAACAAGUGCUUUCUGUAUUCACUUUUAAAAACUUAUGGAAACAUGAAGUUAAAAUAGGCAACUUCAAAAUUUUAAAUUUCCUGUUAAUUAAAAGAAAUUAGAAGCCUCAUUUUCACAACAUCACCACCGCAAUCUAUUUCUAUCUUAUCGAUAGGAAUUUUAUUCCCCAUGUCAUAAGCGUGUCGUUUGACAUGACAAUUAUAUACAACAUGGAAGAUAAUGUUUCGCCAAAAAUAGUAGAGUAUGUACGAGUAAAAUUACCAGGUAACAAACCCGUGAAUGUGACGCUCAUAAUAAUAAAAAAAAAAAAACAGAAAAAGACGUAAAAAUGCAGCAGCAGAUGGAACGAACGAAUUAUGGUAAUGGUCCAAAAAAUAAGAACAGGAGGAUGUGGAAGAGAAUUGUGAUUAGGUGAGCAUCAUCAAAUGCAAUUGAAUAAUGUUUGAAUGAAACACAACAUUGGAACAGGUGGGAGAGAGAUGCUGGUGGGUGCGCUGCCAGAUUUUUGUUAGGGCUUUUAUCAGAAUCUUCCAGUUCAUCAUUAAUUACCCCAUUCAAUUCAAUUAAAGCAUCGUUGCCACCAGCGCGCCCAAUCUUUGCAGCAAUUGGCCAAGUGAACCACAGUUGUGCGGGCAGGGUUUGAGUUUCCAUUUGAACUUAAUCUCUCUCUCUCUCUCUCUCUCUAAAAAUUAUAUGAAAUUAAUUUUAUUUUAUUUUUCUUGUAAAAUACGAGUGGAACAUACAUCCGUCCGUCGCUUGUAAGAAUUAUUUAUCUAAAUAAAUACUUUAUAUAAUUUAAUAUAAUAUUAUAAUUAUAAUUUAUAUAAUUUAAUAUAAUAUUAUAAUUUUAAUUAUGUUUUUAAUUAUAAAUAUUAAUGUCAAGUAGUUACACAAAUGGGGUAAUUAAUUAAAAGAUAUGAAGUCAACUGCAAAAUACCACUAAAUAAAAUAUACUAGUCCAGCAGCAUACAAAAUUAACUAGGAGAUGAUUAUGAUAAAAGAGGAUUAAUCCAAAAUUUUACUCCUCGAACUUUAUUAUUUACAAAUAUUUCCAUGGUUGAAGUUACCCAUUAAACCUAUCUUGUAAAUAACAUUAUAACCUUUGCUUGCUCCCUAACCAUCAUUCACUACAUAACAACACAGGCAUUCGGGUUCUCAUCGCUGAACAUUUGUGGAGCAGCCGGCUGGUGGUAGUAGCCUCCAACAGGGUACCCAUAUUCAUACCCUCCGUGAAUCUGGUACCCAUGUCCAUAACCCGACCCAGGCACACCCAUUGGGAAAUACUCCAUCCUGCUCUCCUCCAUUUUCCCACCACCGCCACCGCCACCGCCAUCUCCAACCUCUUGACCGCCGCCGCCACCACCACCGCCCUUCUUCUUCUUACUGCCGCCAUUGCCACCGCUGUUGUUAUUAUCCCCACCGUUGGAUUCUUUCUCAUCAUUCUUCUCUUUCUCUUUCUCUUUCUUAGGUGGCACAAUCUCGACCGGUCUCUUCAGCCUCUCCUUCAAAACCUCAGCCAACGCCUUAGCAUCCAUUGUCCCCUUGACCGUCACCGUAUCCUUUUGUUUAUCAAUGGACUUAUCCAUCACCCCUGUUAAAAAAAUAAAAAUAUAUAUAAAAAUAAUAAUAAUGAUAACAACGACACCGUUACAGUAACGCUACAGAACUGAACGCGGCAGUAAUGAAGUUCAUGAGAUAAUCGUCUCUCACUCUCACCUUUGGUCUUAGAGACAAUCUUGAGAAUCUUCUCAAUGCAACCCUGGCAGUGAAGCCCCAGCUUCAGAACCGCCGUCAUCACCGGAGGCUGACGUAUAAUAUAAUAAACCCAUUAAUGAAUUAAUUCCAGAAUUAAAAAAAAAAAAGCAAAAGAAAGAAACAAAAGUAUUUAGCAUUUUAAUUAAUAAACAUUGAUUAAUAGUAAUUUAACAAACAUUAAUUAAUAGUAAACCGUUUGAAAGGGGCUUUUGGUUUGUUAUCUUGUUUGGGUUCUUUAUCUUUGUUGUCUUUCUUGGGCUGAGGAGAGAUGAGGUCAAUUUUCUUCUUGGUCUUUUUGUCCAAUUUCUCUCGGAUCUUGGAUGGAUCCACUGCCCCGACUAUGGUGAUUUUGUUAGCGGCUACCUCUGCUUUCACUGCCUCCACUCCUAUAACAACCAAAACAAAUCACGCCCGCAUUAUUAGUAUUAAUAUUAAUAACUUCGAAUUUUUUUUUCUUCUUCUUUUGGUGAACAAAGGCAAAAUGAAAGAUAGAAAUAUGAACAAAGUGAAACCUUCGAAAGAGCGAGCAUAUCUGACGAUUUUAUUGGCGCAGCCCUCGCAAUGCAUGUCAACUUUCAAGAUCACAGUAACGGAACUUUUCUUAUCGUCCUUCUUCUUCUCUGCGACGGCAUCUCCUUCCUCCUCCUCCUCCUUCUUCUCCGCUUCAUUAUUGCCGUUGUUGUUGUUGUUUUCUUUGUUGUGGUUUUCGUUAUUGCUGUUGUUGUUCUUCUUCUUCUGUAAAAAAAAAAAAAAAAAAAAAAUCAAACAGUAAUUUUCUCACAGAGCAAAUAGAAAAGAAAGCAGAAGGAAGAAGUAUAAAAAAGAAAAAUAAAUAAAAACGACUUGGGGUGACCGAGUUGACUCACCUUGCCCAUUGUUGAGAAUUGGCUGGGUUUGGUUACCGAUGAGUCACUGAAUAACAGGGCGAGACAGAGCGAGAGGGCUUUUAACUGGCAAAAGGGAAAUGUUUGUAUUUAUAUAGCAGAGGGGCGAGACUUGGGAGUUGAGAGAGAGAAUGAGUAGCAGUUAUUGCAUUACACGUGGCUGAUGGAUGAAUGGAUGAUGUAUGGGGAAUAUUGCAUGUAUGAUGUGAUGUAUGGAUGUGGGAAGGGAGGGCGUGGGGUUUCCUAAAAGAAUUGGAAUGGUGGUUACCAGGUGAGAAACGUGUGCGCGCGCGUGACGGGCGUGUUUUACGCGGUGAGUGAUGGAGUAAGCAAGGACUAAGGAUAAGCGUCGAACGGUCGAAGGAUACACUUCCUCCGCCUUGUCGGCAGCUGCGAAUAGGCUGUACGCACAGUACCAACGUUGCAACACCUUUUCGUCUCCGUAAGCGUGACGGACAAUUCACUGACUUAUAGAUUUUUAUGAUGUUUUUCAAGUAAUUUUCCCUUCAAAUGCUAUGGAAUUUCAAAUUUGCCCUUGCUAUUCAUUCCAAGUUUGUUGACUUAUUUUGACCUUUUUUUUUGCCCUUAAAUUCAGAUUCUCGAAAACUGUGGAAAAAUACCUAGCAAAUAAAAGUUUGAAUUUGAAGCUCUGACUCCUGAAAAUCUCUUAUUACUAUUCAUACUCGUAUGAGAUUUUAAGUGCUUAUUUUGUAUCAUUUAUCUAAUGUUUAUAAAUAUUUAUUUAAUCGAGUAUCUAAUUGAUUUUUAAAAUUUUACUACAAGUUAAUAUAAGAGAAAAAGAAAUAUCUAAUUUCUAAAUCAAGAAAAAUUCUACCCAUAAAAUCACAUGCACAUGAAUGGUUCUACUUCGGUUUUUUAUUUGAUUGAUCAAAUAAUUCCAUAACCAUAAGACGAUAAGGAUAUCUCUCUCUCACCUUACAUUAUUAAGUAAUUUACCACUAAGGAUAAAAUAUAAUUUUUUCUGAAAUAAUUAAGUUUAACUCAAAUAAUUUUACUUCCUACACCCAUCUUAUUUGAAACCCUAAUUUAUUAUUUAGUAUCAACUUAAUUCAAUUCUAGAUAAAUAGAAUUCAAUCUAGAAUGUAUGGUGAAUAAAAGAUUUUUUUUUUCAAUUAGUGAAAACGUGUGACACAAGUCUUUGUUUUAAUUUGACUUAGUGCCUGUUUGGUAUGGCUUAUUUAAGAGCCAUAAGUGCUUAUUUAAUCGUAUAAGCACUUUUUAAAAUUUUUUAUGGUGUUUGAUUAUUUUUUUAAUAGAGUUUUUUUAGCUUAAAUAAGCUAAUUUACCUCUACUAGUAAAAGCCCAAAAUUUGAGCUUUUGGGAGUAGAGGCUAUAGAGAUUUUCUAAAAAUAUAUAAUAUAAAAAAUAUCACACAGUUUAAUAGUUCAAAAGUGUUUUUUUUAUUGACUACCAAACACUCAAGGACUUUUUGUCCAAAAGUUCUAUUGGUAUAAGCUCUACUGUUAUAAGCUCUAUUUAAUAAGCUGUACCAAACGGAGCCUUAAUAGUUGGGAUAUUAUAUAUGUACGAGUGUGGUUUCUUCUCCAUAUAUGCAACCUUUAAACUCUCAUAUUUGUUUCUUUAUCGAUGGAUUUUUGUGGAACUUUAUUUUUUUUGAAUAAUUUAAUGGAUAAGAUUUUUUUCCAUAAUGACUACAAGUACGAUUAGGAAUCUUUGAGCGAGAGCACUAAACUACUAUCCCCACUUAAUUAUUGCGACUUGACAUCGAUAUUUAUUUGCUAUAGAAUUGAAAGCUUCAUAGAUUAUCAAUCAACAUGGACGAUGGAAAUGAUUUUGGUGGGUAUUCGUGGACAAAUAACAUUAUUUAAAAUCACAAGUUAUAAUGGGUUAAUUUUGGUAUAAUGACAGGUUUUGAAAGUGAAAUUUUAACUUCUAAAUUUAAGCUCGAGUAAUUAGGUGUAAAAGAGUGUUUUGGGUUCUAAAUAGCUCCACUCUUUAUUUGCUUAGUUUAGUGAUACUAAAAGCACUAGAUUUUUUUUUUUCAAAAAAAUAAAAGAGCACCAGAUUAAUAUCCCUAUUAUACCCUUUUCUUAACAAGUUACAAAAACCCUUUAAUCGGAUAAAAUAUGGUGCAGAGGAAGGAUUAGAAUUCAGUGCUGAAACUUUUUUUUUUUGCUGAGCAUUGAAUCAAUUAUCAAGAUUUAUUUUAAGUUUUUAUUUUUUUUCUUAUAUAACAAUUAUUGAUUCGGAACUUAACAAAAACUCAUAUCAGUACUGAAUUUUUAUCAGUAGAGGAAUGGGUCUGGAGACAGUGUUGGGCCACUCUUUUGAGGCCUAGAGGCUGGGCCUUGUUGACCAACAAAGCAAAGGUGAGAUGAUGGAUCAGAUUAGUUUUAAUUUAAGGCAUGUUUGAAUUUUCAUGAUUUGUUAUUUAUUUUCAUGAUCACAUUUAUGGAUGCUUAUCUUGCAUAAAUUACAGCACUGUGACAGAAGAUAAAAUAAUUGCUGCCAAUUUGACUUUAAGCUCAUGAUAUGAUGAUAAUGGUCGUGCUUGCAUAAGAAUUGUCACAAAAAUAUUCAUUUAGUCGUUUCUAAGAAAUCCAACUUAAUAUCUGCCUUUCGUAAUGCACGUAAUAACAACAAAUGAAUUCAGUGCACUCGGGGUUUAGCUGCCCAAAUCAUGAUUGUUUCUAAAACCGAUAUCAAUUGAUGCAUUAAACUGGAUUUGGUUAAUUGGUAGUGCCUCUGCCUUUUUCGGGCGGCCCCAUCUGCGGAGUAAUGGAACUUCAACGUCAACGUAUCUCAACUUUCCUGAACUUGUGUUGCUUUGUAGGGUUCUUGUGUUUUUGAGCUUUCACCAUCCCUACUCCCCAAAGACUCGGUGCUAUCGUCAAAAUUUUUGAAACAUUGAGGGACGAUUGUCUCUAAUUUUCUUUUUCUGAUUAUUACUAUUAUCAGUACUAUAAUUAUCUCUUCUUUCUUUGCACAGCAACAUGAAACUAUUUUCUGUUGACACCCGUCUUGGUAAUAUCCUGGCACCAUCCUUUUUAAACUGUUGUGUUCAAAUAUAUAAAUUUUUUUUUUAAAAAAAGGCCUAAUGAGUGGAUUUAGGCAUAGCAAAAAUGCUAAAGAAACUAAAAGUUGAUAAAAUGUACUAAAACACUGUGUGGUGUUGAGUUAAUUCAUCAUUCUAUUUUUUUUCUCCCUUUAACACCGUAUGGUAUUAUAGUUUAUUUUAUUAGCAUUUUGUUAGAUUUUUCUGUCCAAAUAUCAGCGCUCUAAGUAUAAAGUGCAGUAAACUGAAAGAGUGAAGGUAUUAAAGGCUCUCUUAAAUGAUGUCAGUGCUAUACUCCUACAUAUAAGUGAUUAAUGAAUUAAAAAAAAUAUUAACAAAUUACGUUACGAUUAACGUAACGUAAGGGCUCCCAUAUAUAAAUUAUGAGAUUUAAGUAGUAAAUGCAGAUUUCAUGCAUAUGGUGUAAUCGUAAAUUCAUAUUGUCGCAUCAUAUGAGAGAAUGACUAAUCCACACAACACUCAUUUAUCUCUAAUUUGAUAAUACUUAAUUAUAAGCUCAUCUUGUUCUAAUCGAUAGUGUUAGUUUGAUGUGAUACUUGUCCACUUUAACCAUGUAUUAAAUGUCUAAUAAUUAAUAAUGGCAGGAUCCUGUCAUUUACGUUUCAAUGUUAUGCAUCAUUUAUUUAUUCAUCGGUUGAUGUAUUUAUUUAUUUAUUUAUCAUUCAAUAAAUAAAUAUCACAUUAGUUAACUAUUUGAUAGAAUCUCCAACACUACUCUAUAAUAAAAAUAUUGUUGUCCCCCCUUUGGGCAGUGGCAGGUGAAGAGUUCGUUCUAAACCUAAGUAUAGAAACAAAUGCAUAAUUAUCACUAUAAUCUUUAUCAAUUCAAGCAAAAGUGACACUAAUGAGCUGUAGAGCUGACAAAAUUUAACACGAUUUGAUUAUCCGACACAAAUACGACACGAAUAAAUAAGUAAUAGAUUGUUAAAUUAAACAUAAUUAUUAAAUGGACUACGUACGGGUUGCCAAUAUUUUUUUCGUGUCGGGUUAGGGUUAAAAUAGUUGAUCUAUUUAUCCAAUUAAUGGUUCAAUUAUAUUUUCUAUUUAAAAUUAAUUUAUAGGUUAUUGUCAUUAAAACUCAAAUAUUAAACAUGAUUUUCCUUUUUUUUAUAAGGACAAACAUAUAAAUAAUAUUUCAUUUAUAAAAUUUUAUACAAUUUUAAUAGUAUAAAUGUAUAAAAAAUUAAUAGAUAUGUAUAUUUUAUAAUAUCAACAUACAAUAUUAUUUAAAUAUAUAUAAUUAAAACUUCAAUAGUGUAAAUAUGUAAUAUUUAGUAGAUAUAAAUAUUUUAUAAUAUCAAAAUAUAUUUUUCACUUGUGUUUUUCCCCUUCAUUAAUUGUUUUUUUUUAACCCUCUCAUAAUUAAAAUCAAAAUUACUCUCAAGAUAGUGGGUGUAAAUAGUGAUGACUAAGCCAUGAGCAAACACAAGAAGCAGCAAGGGAUUUAUUCAAUUUAAGAAAAAUAUUUGCUCUUUCUAUGAAAAAUAUCUACUUUUCCUCCCUGUUGAUUUCUUUGUUCAAUAUUAAAGAAAAUCAUUGAAUUUGAAAGGAAUCAACUACUUGCAAUAAACAUGAUAUAAAAUACGGAUUUAAUGAAAUAAUAAUAUCAAAUCGUGAAUGAUUUGAUGAUGGAUAUGUUCUUGGUGUGCAAUAACAUCUUAUAACUAAGAAGACAUUCUUGGUCGUGGAAAUUUUUAUAAUACAAUCAAUGAUCUUAGCCAUGAGAAGAGAAAAAUCAGAAAAAAUGCAGAGAAAAAUUAGGAGAGAGAAAUUAUGUUUUAUAGGAAACGAGAGAGAAUGUGCAUUAAUUACCAUUAUUAUUAAGCGUUUAUCUUAUUAAUCUCCUAAAAUCUUAGCCGUUGAUAUAAUUUAUAUAAAUUAGUGUAAAAAUAUGCAUAAUUUUAGGAGAUUGCUAAUCCGCUCUGUGUGUGUAAAUAUUUAAUAGAAAUUUUGCUAUAUAUAUAAAUAUCAGAUGGGAUAUUCGAUAACUUAUUUAUUUUUCGUAUCAAAUUAAUAUCUUAAUAUUUUAAAUUAAUAUUAUUUAAAUUUAUUUAAAUUUAACACGAUACGAAACUAACACGACACACACACGGACACAGUCAGUCCGAGAAUCUAUUUUGCCAGCUGUAGUGAGCAAGUUGAGUCUCGAAAAUAAGGCCUAAUUGAUGCGCCAAAUCAAAGCAAACAAAAAUAAUAUUAUAAUAAUGGACAAAACUAUUGCACCACUUCUAACCUUAGACUGGCGCUUUUUCCUCCAGAUAUUCAGGGGCUGCUUCUCAAUCGCGCGAAGGAGAAAACACACAGACACACAUAUUUGUCCCACGGACAGCCUAGCUUCAGAAGUUUUAUUGGAGCAAUUCACCAAUCAAAUUUUGAGCUUUUAGACUAGUGUUUGCCCUACGAGAGAAACUUGUAUUUAUUAUUAUUAUUAUUAUAUGCACUGUUCAAACGUGAGAAUUAUUACAAACAACAAUUAUGAGUUAUUCGAGCCGACCCACGCGGGUUCAACAGUAAAUUCAUAUGGCCGUCUGACGUGGUACCAUACGUGGCAGUAUCUGAUUUGUGGGGUCGUCGAAGUCCACGUGCUUGUGGGCGUCUACAUCACGUGGUCUUGAGACCACACAGUGUUUGUGAUUUGUGAAGCAGACUCUGCAAAAGCUGUAAUAAAGAAAGCUUUGUCACAUCCUUAUCUGUUGAUUUUCUCUACACACUUACUGUAAUUGGAUAUUUGGAUCUCUCUCUCUCUCACUCUCUUGCUCUCUAAAAAUGCCCACCGCACCAGCAACUUAGCUAGCAAUAGGAGCAGAGCUGAGAUGUCGCAUUUAUCUGCAUUUGCACCUGCACCUUGCUGUGCUGUUAUCUGGGUUGACGAGGAUCAUCAUGAUGAUCAGCUUCAAAACUCGAAAGCAUGAAGGUGCAGCUGUAUAUGCAGGUGAAUGCCAUUUUAGCCAUUUUAUGUGCUCAUGACGCGCUUGUUUCUGUUCGUUCUCUGCUUGUGUUCCGCUCUGUAUGGGUUUCCAUAGACUUAAUUAUAGCAGUUUCUAUCUAUCUAUCGAGCUAGCUAUCUAGCUAGUUACCUGAACAACUUUGAAAAACCAAAUUAAAGGUCCAUGACGAGCUUCUUAUCAAGGUAACCUUACUUGUCUGUCCCAAGCGCACAAGUUGGAUUUUGGAUCUCAUAGAUGCAUAUAUAUAAUUACACAGAAAUGUAAUUGGUACCGAUCAUCCCACAUAUAAUUAGGGUUCUUGAAAUAAAUAAGUGUGUACAGAAGUAUUAUUUCAGGUUUUGCUUUCUUGUAAGAAACCCUAGAGGGAACCCAGCGAGAUUUUCGGACUCGGCUACAACGAUUUUGGUGUAGGCUCCUCCUUUUUAGCUGAAUUUAUAUAUUUUCUUUCUCCUUCAGAAGGUUGGCGAAUUUAGACUUUGAUUUCCUCUAUUCAAAAUUAUAUAUAAUAAAAAUGUACCAGAUCCAACCCAUCUUAUUGUGAUUUAGAAUAUAAUUGAAUUAGUAGGUUCGAUGCAGUUAGCUAGAAUUAAAAAAAAGACUUUAUUGAAAAAGAAAGAAAAAUAGGAAUUUAGUCAGUCAACCAAAUUUAGUUAAACAUAUCGAUGAAAUUUGAUACUGCAAAAUUAUCAAAUUAAAUCCAGUGAUAAAGGAUGGAAAAACCUUUGGCCAUUUUUUUCCUUUUAAACAUAAACCUUUGGCUUGAAUCUGAUUCAGCUUUGGUAAUCCUUCUUCAUCGUUCUCCUAAUUAGCUUCAGCCUCUAUGGUUCUCUACAAUCAUUGGCUCUGUAUAUAUUGCACUAUAUAUAUGUAUAUAUAUUGCUUUCUGACUUCUGGGUAACCGUGUAUAAUUACUCACUAGACUUCUUGAAUUCUUUUGAAGGUGCUCGCAGCUCCCAUCUUUAGAAAUUGUCAUUUCCAUUGGAGAACUUAUCUAGCAAAUUAACAAGCUUGUGAAUUUUUUACUGAAAAAAGUUCUUGUAAGUUAUAGGGCAAAGGGAUUUAUGUGGUCUCUUACUCAUUUUAGUUUAGGGAUAAACUUAGAUCAAUUGAGUGCCGACAUUAUCACUAUGCUUUUGUAGAAUUUGAAAUGAAAUUUCUCGAAUAAUAAUCUUUAGUUACUUCUCUUGACUUUCCAGGUUAAUUGAAUAGUAAAUUCUAAACGAUGAUUAUUUAUAUACAUAAUACAUUUAUAUUAAGGAAGUGAUGCUUGGCUCGGCAGUUAAAAAGUUUUCCAAUUGGUCAUGUAAAUAGAAUUCUUUUCAGUGUAAUAUUUAUUGUCUUUGACAUCUAUAAUAUGAGAAAUUUUAGAAUACAUUUGAGGUACCAUGUCACCCAUAUAACAAGUAAUGAUGUCAUGACAUGUGUGUAUUUAUUUUGAACUACUAUCAUGCAAGUGGUGCUUGUAUUAAAUUCAAUUACACAUGUCAUGCAUGCAUCAAUUGGUUGUAGUAAAUCUGAGGUAUUCUAGAAUUUCUCCUAUAAUAUAAUUUGUUAUUGUUGUUUAAAUAUGCUUAGCUCUUGUUUGACAUUAAGAUUAAGCAGUUGUGGUACUAAAGUUUUUGGCAAACAUUAAGGGUUCAAUUGGGACAACUGCGUUGCCUUAGCAUAGCUGUCCUGAACGGAACCUAAAUAAACUUGUGUUAUUUUAAGAUUUGAUUUACUUUCCCUUAAAUAGACUUGUAAUCUCAUACAAUUUUCACUUUUCUCUUAUUUGAUAUAUAUAUUUUUUCUCUAUAUGAUAAUCUAUCUUGACACUCAUGUUUUCAAGCUGUAUGAAUUAAAAUGAUAUCUAGUUUUGUGUGUAUAAUAAUAACUAUCUACAUCGAUUAAAUUAUGUCAAAAAACUUAGAUAUGUUACAGCUGUGACUUUACAUUCUACAAUAUAAUGUAUGUUUUGUCUUAUUUCUUUCCCGCUUCCGCUAACACCCACUAUGUGAAUAUCUACAAUGUCCCAGUUGUUGAUAUAUAGGUUUUUAUGUCAUAAAUUUACAAGGAACUCGCAAAAACGGUAACAACCGAGCUUAAGGACUUUGUUUGAUUCUAAGCAAAUGUUGAUGAUAAGGUAGUGAAAAUAUGUUAGUUUGAUGACUUUGUCAAUCUUCAACGCAUCUUUUCUACAUAUACACAACAAAUUAAUAAAAUUAUAGCAUGCGUGUUUUUCUACAGCAUCAGUCUUGAUCACUCAUAUCCGGAAAUUCUUCUACUUACAUUUUAAAUGUUUUAUAGAAAAGAAAAAUUAUAGAUAAGGCUUUUUAUUUUUAAAAAACAUUUUACGAAAAUAAUAUUUUUCACAAACUUUAAGUUGAUAGAAUCAUGAGACUCUCAUCUCAUGGUCUAAUCUUAUUCUGAGCAAUAAUUAAUGAAUAAAAAAUAAAAAAUAUUAAAUCUUAAUUAUAUAGUAGCACUAAAAAAUAGGUGACACUGGCACAAGAUUAUUAGAAGAUGAGGAGAAGACCCUCAUUAAAUUUUUUAACACUCUCACAUCAGGUACGUGAUAUUGUGUACUCAAUUCUUUUUAAGUUGCUAUGGAAUAUUUACUAAUGUUUUCACAACUUCUCAGGGGAAAAAUAAAAAAGUUUUCACAAACUCUAUUAUAUGCAAAUUAUUCUAUGGAAGUGUGACAUGAAAGCAUGGGGAUACUGAAAACUAGAAAGCCAAUUUUAAUGGAAGAAUCAGAAACGCUGACUCAGCAUGAUCUUUAACGUGCAACAAUAGUUGUGGCGCCGUAUUUAACAAACGUUUAACAUGUUUUCAAAAUAUUCACCUUUUUAACGGGUUAUGGGUAUUGGGCUAAACCCAACAUUUAAUUGGGCUAGAGUUUAGUCUACGAGCUCAAACUGAAGUGCUCAUCAACAACUCUCUAAAGCCCAACUAUUACCCAAUCCAAGAGCAAGAAGAACCCAGCAGAAAAGGCGAAGUUGAAGACCAAGACCGACCUUAACUUUUUACUGUUGUCUGUCCAAACAUUCGCAAUUUCAUUCCAAUACGUAACUGUUAGUCGGACCACAAACCACGUGCCAUAAUAACCUAUCGCACACGUGUCACUCCCACGGUCCAUCUCUCUAUAAAUACUCAAUCACCCCCGGCUGUGUCGAACUCUCUUCGAAAAACGAAACCCUCAUAGCGGGUUUUCAACUUUUUGUUUUUUGGCAGUCGUUGGUCCUCACCUCGCUUCUCAGGUAGCACCAAGGUUUCCAUACCUCUAAACCCUAGAUCUCGGAUCUCGAUUAUCGAUUCUUAACCAAGGUAAUUCCUCAUUCGAUUCACCAAAUUUAUCGUUGCAUUUGUGUUUUUAAUCAGCUAUUAGCAUGAAAUUAGGUCUUUAUUUAUUUAUUUAUUUGUUUUUAUUUUGAUUUAUUGAUUGGUGGCCUGUUGGUUCAGAUGGUGUCGGACGCAAGCAAGAAGAAGGCUUUGCAGAAGAAGGCUGCCGCGGCGGCCAAGAGAGGAGGCAAGGCGGCUGCGGCGGCGGCGUCUUCUAAGGCUGCUGCGUUACAGAAUGGAAGUGCUGCUGAUAAAGCUGCUAGUGAAAUGGCAGCCAUGCAGAUUUCGGAUCGAACUUGUACGGGAGUGCUUUGCUCGCAUCCUCUGUCAAGAGAUAUUCGCGUAAGUUUUGGGAACAUGAUGAUUUUGAUUUUUAAUUUUUUAGGGAAUUGUGGAUUUUGGAAUAUAUAAUUGUUUUAGGUCGUGUGUGCUUUAUAUUGAUCUAUUAUAUUUUUCUUGUGUAUAUGUAAUUGAGUUCAUUAAAAAUAGUUGUAUGUUAAAAAAAAACACACACACACACACACAAAAAGUGAAAGGAAAAGGUUUGCGAGAGAAAGAGGAGCAGGGUCGUAAUUCUUACUUUCUGGAUUACUAGAAAGUAUCUUGAGCACCAAAACAGGAUGAAUUUCAUUGAUUCUCUCAGUGAAAACUGUGACGAUUUGAUUUUGAUUUUUGAUUUUGUGGGGAUUGUAGAAUUUGUUAUUUAUUUAUUUAUUUUAAUAUUUUGAGGUUAAUUUGUUAUGUCUAUCUAUUUAUAUUAUUUGAUAUGUUUUAUUGUAUUUAUGCAAUUCAAAAGGAAGAAAUAGAAUUGAAACUUUUACUCUUUCCAUGACUAGAAAGUAUCUUUAGGGUCAAAACAGGAUGAAUUGCACAGUUUCUUUUCGAUGCAUUUGAGUGGUUUUUCAGUUUGGUAAUGCUGUGGUGGUUCUGUGUUAGAAAAAGUCUAUGUUCAUAUUGCAUGUUAUUUCUUUGAGUUUUUCACUGAAUUAAGAUGGAAAAAUACUGUGAUUAAUGGUCUUUGCUUGAUGCUGCAGAUAGAGUCAUUAUCUGUUACUUUUCAUGGACAUGAUCUCAUAGUGGAUUCUGAACUGGAGCUUAACUAUGGCAGGUUGGUUAUUAUUCCUUCUAUAGUCACGUGUUGUGCUUAAAUGUAAAAAGCAGUUGGUUCAUAAUAUAGGUAACCUUUCAAUAUGGAGUGUAUCUGUAAAUUUUAAACAUUACUUAUGCUUACAGGCGUUAUGGCUUGCUUGGCUUAAAUGGGUGUGGGAAAUCUACGCUCUUGACUGCAAUAGGGUGCCGGGAGCUUCCUAUUCCAGAUCACAUGGAUAUACAUCACCUUACUAGGGAGAUUGAAGCUUCUGACAUGUCUUCAUUGGAAGCGGUCAUAAGUUGUGAUGAGGAGAGGUUAAAAUUGGAGAAAGAAGCUGAAUUCUUGGGAGCACAGGUACGUCUAACUGAAAGUUCUUGUUAUCUUUGACUGUAGUUCCCCCCCCCCCCCCCCCUUUUGUUGUCUAAUCUGCAAUAGGAAGAUGGAGGUGGAGAACAACUUGAACGUGUUUAUGAGCGUUUGGAAGCCUUGGAUGCAUCAACUGCAGAAAAACGUGCUGCUGAAAUCUUAUACGGUCUUGGUUUUAACAAGACUAUGCAAGCUAAGAAAACGCGUGAUUUCUCUGGUGGCUGGAGAAUGAGGAUUGCAUUGGCGCGUGCACUCUUUAUUAACCCAACCAUUCUGUUGCUCGAUGAGCCCACAAAUCAUCUAGGUUAGUUUUGUUGGUGAUAUUGAUUUUAUUGAAACUAGGUAGUUGGAAAAUACAAACAAGAUCUAAUUAUAUUUGAAACAAAAACCUUCAUCUGCAUGCUUGGUUUGAUUUCUGGUGAUGUGUUUGAUUAAUGUUUGUUGCAUGUGAUUGGGGUACGUGUGGUAUGAGGCAGCAAAGCAGAUGCCUUAGUUUGACUUUUUGAAGCCUAUUUUUCGAUUAUCUGGUUAAUCUCAUGCUGCGGGUAUUCGUAGAGACGUAAUACUAAAUGUUAUCUAAGAUUGAAAUGCUUUUGAUACUGAGAUCUAUUCACAUAAUUUGGUAAUUUCAGUUCCAGUAGUGGGGUUUUGAUUGAUGGUUAUUCUGCAGUAAGAUUCAUGGGUUAGCCUAUAUGAACCCUUGCCAAUUAGUUUACAGCUUCCUGAUCUAGUUCUUGACUCACUAUGAAAGAAACAUAGAAAUUGGUCUGAAUACUGUUUCCGUGAAUUGUAGAGAUUGCAAGUUUUUCCUGUUUAGAUAUAUUUAUUAAGAUCCGAUUACUUUUGAUGCUGAAAUGCAAUGAUAUAUUGUCAUUGAAUUCCUAUAUAAGAGAGAAUGGAAGUGAAUUAUUCCCCCCACCCUCUUUCCACGCAGAUCUAGAAGCUUGUGUCUGGCUGGAAGAGACCUUGAAGAAAUUUGACCGCAUCUUGGUGGUGAUUUCACACUCCCAGGAUUUUCUGAAUGGAGUUUGCACAAACAUCAUUCACAUGCAAAACAAGCAAUUGAAGUUCUAUACCGGUAAUUUUGACCAGUAUGUUCAGACUCGUUCUGAAUUGGAAGAGAACCAGAUGAAACAGUACAAGUGGGAGCAGGAGCAGAUUGCUUCAAUGAAAGAGUAUAUAGCCCGAUUUGGUCAUGGGUCAGCGAAGCUAGCUCGCCAAGCACAGAGUAAAGAGAAAACACUGGCUAAGAUGGAGCGAGGUGGGCUUACAGAAAAGGUUGUGAAAGACAAGGUUCUUGUCUUUCGUUUUGUUGAUGUAGGAAAGCUACCCCCACCGGUACUGCAGUUUGUGGAAGUGACAUUUGGCUACACACCCGACAACCUCAUCUACAAGAACCUUGAUUUUGGGGUGGACUUGGACUCGAGAGUAGCUUUGGUUGGACCCAACGGUGCUGGGAAGAGUACGCUUCUGAAGCUGAUGACGGGGGAUUUGGUUCCUCUUGAUGGCAUGGUUCGGCGACAUAAUCACCUUAGAAUUGCACAGUUCCAUCAGCACUUGGCUGAGAAACUUGACAUGGAUAUGUCUGCCCUCCAAUAUAUGAUAAAAGAGUACCCCGGCAAUGAGGAGGAGAAGAUGAGGGCAGCAAUUGGGAGAUUUGGGUUGACUGGUAAAGCCCAGGUGAUGCCAAUGAAGAAUUUAUCUGAUGGGCAAAGGAGUCGGGUGGUUUUUGCAUGGUUAGCAUAUAGGCAACCCCACAUGCUUCUCUUGGAUGAGCCAACUAAUCAUCUGGAUAUUGAGACAAUCGACUCGCUUGCUGAGGCAUUGAAUGAGUGGGAUGGGGGUUUGGUUCUCGUCAGCCACGAUUUCAGGCUCAUAAACCAGGUAGCCCAUGAAAUAUGGGUGUGUGAAAAUCAAGCUGUUACCCGGUGGGAGGGUGACAUUAUGGACUUCAAGCUGCACCUGAAGGCGAAGGCUGGUCUAUCUGAUUGAAAGAAGAUCACUGUAGGAUGAAUUUGAAGACAAUGUAAUAGUGCUGCUAUUUUUAUUACACAUUUGGCUUAAGACUGUAGUAGGCCAAGUGUUCGCCACCACUGGUCGGUGUUUUUCCCAAGGUGGAUUAUGACGAAAGUUUUAUGUAGCAGCAGGAGGGACGACGGCUUAUUUAUUGUAUGCCGCUGGUUCGUUCCAUAAUUAUCUGCGAAGUUGUUAGGUGAUAUUUUUGUUCUUGGUUACAUUUGCCCUUCCUUAUCAUAUUCCUUGGUUCCUUGGCCAAGAAGAUGGCAUAUGGCUAAACAUAUAUUUAGGCUUAGACGCGAAUGUUUAUGUGCUAUUGGACUUUUAUUAUAUGUUGUACUCGAGAGAGAUUAUAAUAUUUUAUGAAAAGCGGAAUAUGCAAUGUUUCUUUGGCCACCCAACUUUUUCGUCAGUAUUACUAUCAGAACUCUGGGUGUCGUUACAUUGAAUGGCUUUUAAAGAUGCUUGGGACGGGGAAGAAGCUCAGGAAGUUCACAAAAGAUAAAAGCCAUACAGCAAGACUACCGCAACCUCUGGGACUUGCUGACAGAUCUCAUGCCUAUCCAGAAGGAAAUAUUGAAGAUGUGUUGGUGAAGAUGGAUAAAUUUAUUUUUUCGGUGGAUUUCAUUGUACUAGAUUUUGAGGCAGACAAAGAAGUGCCAAUUAUUCUAGGAAGACCUUUCUUAACCAUGGGAAAGAUUCUAAUUGAUGUUAAAAAAGGAGAAUUAAGCCAUGAGGGUGAAUAACCAACAAGUUACAUUUAAUGUGCUGUAUGCCAUAAAGAGUCCCGAUGAGAUUUGAAUAUUGUAAUUUUAUCAGUAUUGUGGACUUUAUUGUAGCAGAGAGAUUACGUAGUUGCUGCAGUAAGGAAGAAAUCAAUGCCGUAACAAUUGAAGAACUUGAUUAUGAAGAUCAUGGAGCAGCUAACAUAGCAUGGUCAUGGGAGAAGCAACCAUUCAGAAUUGAUGAGCAAAUCCAGUAAAGGGAACUCAAUCUAGACCAACAAAAAUUCAAGGUUAAUGGGCCAAGAGUGAAGCACUACAAGACCCAUUAAAGGGAAAAAAAGAAAAGAAAUAGUAACUGAAUUUGUAUACUUCUUGAAAUCCAUCUUCUUAAUUCAUCCUCAUCAGCCUUUAAAGUCUAAAUAGUGUUCGUUUCUUCAUUUGUUUCCCUAAUGGGAAGUUGGAUAUCUUAAAUUUUUAAUAAAAAUGGUUAUGGUUAUUUGGUGUUUUGAAUUUUUUUUCUUUUUUAUUAAAAUCUAUAAUUGAAAACCUUUCUCAAUCUUUAUUUAUGUAAUCCACGUUGGCAAUUCAUUCGGUUCAAGUGCACUUCUUGCUAAAGCUUGAGAAGUUAUAUUAUAACAUGUGACUUUGCGAGGGAUCAGUUAAUUUGUUUGGGUUCUUCAACAGUGGUCGGUGGGGCGCCAAUUAUCACUUGCCGGUUAGCACACGUGUCAUGUAGCUACGCGAUAAAACGUUUUUAUCUUUUUUUUUGGGUUAAGGAUAAAAUUAUUAAUUUUUCACUUAUUGUGUAGAUUAAUGCACUCAUUAUUUCUAAAUUAUUUUAAUACUCCCCAAAUAUAUUUUAUGUUAAAUUAAUUCGCAAUAUGUUAAUUUAUAUCUUGUAAAUAUUUUUCAGGAAUAAAGAUAGAAUUGGAGUUGAAAGCAGGAACAAAGAAGGACGGUUGGAGCAAUUUUGAAUUCAUCAAUCAAGGAGAUGUUAUUAAAAAUAAAAAAAUAAAAAAAGAUUGGCAAGCAUGUUGGUGAUGGUCAGGAGGCGUGAUGGCCUCUUGACCAUCACACAAUUCAGUAUGUAUAUAUAAUAUAAAAAUAAAAUAAAAUAUUAAUAUUAAUAAAAGAAAAGAAAAGAAGAUGAUUCCCUUGCCUAUAAAAGGCAAGCUGCUGUACCGUACAUCCGCCUUGGCCGUACAGCAGCAAUUGAAAAUUUUAAAAUCUACGAAGCAUUGAAAAUUUCUCUUCAAUCUUUGCGACUUUAAUUUUUUGUCCCAUACCGUUUGCUCUUUUUUGCAAAUUAAAUACAAUUGGCAAUCGUGGGAAAAUUCGUAAUCUGUGGCAUGUACACAUACAUUAUGGCUACGGAUGCCCCAGGCUGCGUAGCGAGUAGCUUUUGUGCUGUCAGGAGGGACACGAGUAAUCAAAAAGUGAAUAUCUAUUUCAAUAAAAAGAGAAAAAUUGUUACACAUAUAUAUAAGAGAAUGGUAACGUAUUUAAAACGCAUAAAUAAGACUUUCGAACAGAUUUGUUGAAAUUGUACAUAGAUUUAGGGCCAAUUUGAUAAUAUUGUAGUUUUUAAAAUAAUUGAUGUCGUGAUGUAUAAAUAGUCAAUUGUGAAGAAAUUUAAUUAAACGCUUAGAAAAUUUAUUUUUAAAAUUAUGAAUUUCAAAAAGUAGUCAGUCGUAUGUGUUUUGACAAAUCUUAUUGUUAAACUAUUAUAAGAAUGCAAAUGAUUAAAAUGAACAUAAUAUUGAAUAAAACUUAAGUAUUUAUAAACAUAUAAUAUUUUUUAUUGUGUAUAUAUAAUAAUUGAUAACUAAAAUAACUUUAUCAUUUUAUUAUCUCAAAAUAAUUGAUAUUAGUAAUAAUCUCUUUAUAUUUAAUAAUUUUAUUUUCUAAUUAAAUAAGGGUAAUUUAAUUUUUUACCAUAUAUGUGAGGACAUAUAAGACGUGUGAAAUUUUCACUCAUAUGACUAGUAAACAAGGAAUUUUUAGUCUAAAUUUUAAAAUCAAAUUUUUUAAAAGUUACACCUUCCAUACUUUUCAAAAUAUAUGUAAGAUGGGGUAAUUCUGUAUAAAGUAAUUUAAAAAAAAAAAUUCAGACAAUUAAAUUAACUUUUUAACUUUUCAAAAUUACUUCUAAACUUAUGAAAACAAUCCCAAUUGGCCCUUAGAUUCUUAGUAAUCCAUUAUUUUAUUGUCACUAGAUCGUAAUAUACAACUAACAACAAAGAGACUACUUUGACUCCACCGUAAUUGAGGUGAGGUUGAUUGAUGGGGCGAAUAUCAUUUCUCGAUACAUUAAAUUUAGCAUAAGCAAAAGAUUUGUCACGGCUGCGAGUGUUUUCAAGCCGGUUAAAAUUUUUUUAUCUGCAAAGACUAUUUGGGUCGAAUUUAAUGCAUGCAUUGGAAAUGGCAUUAAACAAGUUAACUACUACUUGUAAUCCAGAAACAUCCAAAAUAAAAGAAGGAAAAUCUGACGCCACGUAACAACUAAAACUUGCAGAAGCUACUAGCACUCUGUAAUUGUUCUCUUUAUCAUUUUUCUAUAAAGUUGUGAUAGUAGCUAGUGUUUGUAAUUUGGUAGGAAGCACAAGUUGAGAAAUAUCAGCAGAAAACUAGUUGCAUCUGGUCUUACUGUAGCCAGCAUGCUGUUGCUGCAUAAGCUAUAUAUGAUAUAUGCAUGACAGAAUAUGUUUGCUUAAAGAUUUCUCUUUGUGUAAUUGAUGUGCUGAUAUUCAAGUUCUUCUGUCAUAAUAGAGAUGCAUGCAUGUAUGAAUGCAUGGUGGCCAAUAUGGGAUAAGAAAUGAAUGAAUAUAAUACAAAUAUGAUACUUAGCUGUUGUGAGUGCUAGCAAGAUUAAUAGGCACAAAAUUCUUUGAAGUUGUAAAUGAGGUUUGAACUUUGAGUCUCACUCACAUGAUUGGGAGAUAGGCAUGUAAUUAUCAGUCAAGUUAGGCUUAAAACUCCCUUGUAUAAUAUCUUGCUUUAAAAUGCUGAAUUUUUUCCUACAGGCAGCUUAAUUUGUCUUGAAAAGGUUGGAUUUAGUCUAUCUCAAAGGUGACCACUGUUUAGGCUUUCAACUUUAGUCCGUACAAAAUUAAGGAGUUGUAUUAUAAAGUGGGGUUAUAUGAAUAUAAUACUUGAGGUUGGGCUCUGCUCUUGAAUAUGCGAACCAUAUUGCAUUCCUCUAUGCUUCAAAUCUACGAGCACCAGACUACUUAGGUUGAAGUAUGUACAACCGAAACUCUCUUGAAUGUUCUAGUUAAAUGUGAUAAUCAUUGCAAAAGAGAUAAGCAUCAUUGGUGAUAUAUGAAAAUAAUUAGAAACAAAUUCACAUCGCUACUUAAUUACUGCGUUGAGCUACCCAUGCCUGACUUAAAAGCAUAAGUUGGAAGUGUAAGAGCUCAAAAAACAGUAUUUACGUUUAAUUUCUAACACUUACAUGUGUGAAAUCAAGCUUAUUAAGGAUAUGUCUAUGCUUUGCGAAUUGCGAGUUUUGUAUGUGAAUUUAUUUCUUGAUUGUUACUUUGUGAAUUAAUUAAUUAGCAAAAAUGCUCAAAGGGAAACAAUGAGAGGUUGGAUAGGAAUAGUGAGACACGUCAAAAGAACUGAGCAGCGCAUGACAAUAAUUUAAAGGCAGACAUGACUAACCAAAAGUGACAUUUCAUGGUAAGACGAAGCUCUAGGCAGCACUCACUCACAUGCACUGGUCUCCCAGUUAACUCUAAUGUCAGGCCUUCCAUGUCCUCUAGCUGCAUGUGUCAAUGUAACCACUACAGACCAUGCGCCCAUUCUUAUCUCUGACCCUCUCACUUUACGUACACUCUAUAUAUACACCGAGCUAUCUUGCUAAUUAAAAGCGUGCAAGUCACAUUAAAGAAAAAUUAACUACAAUUAAUUAAUCAUGGCGCCUAAGCUCAGAACAAGUGGCAAAAUAAUCAAGAAGAGCGGCAUUGUGAAGCUCAAGAUCGCUGUAGAAAAGAUACACAAGAGUCUCUUAAUGGGUAGGAAAUCAAAUUCCUACUGCGAUGAUUAUGUGCCUCAAGAUGUUAAGGAAGGGCAUUUUGCUGUGAUAGCUGUAGAUGGUCACCAACAAAAGAGAUUUGUUAUCUCAUUGAGUUAUUUGACUCACCCUAUGUUCUUAAGGCUCUUGGAGCAAGCAGCUGAAGAGUAUGGAUUUGAUCAUGAGGGUGCGUUAACAAUUCCUUGCCGUCCCUCCGAGCUUGAGAGAAUAUUAGCCGAGAGAUGGCGGGAAGGAGAGCCAGCCGGAGCUGGAGGUAUGAAUUGGGGUUCCUGUGAAACAAUGGUUCAAAGUUGUUAGUUUUUCCUUUAGAGAUCCAUUAUUACUUAAUGAGACUAUCUAUUUAUAUAUCUUCACGACAAAAAAAUUCCUAUUUGCUGGGCAUUUUACAGGGAAAAAAAUGCCUGUUUUCCUGUUUAGUUGGGGAUAAAGAAAUUGAUUACAACUACCAUUCAAAAUUUCUCCUACAUAUAGAAAUAACCUAAUUAAUAUAUAAACUUUGCCGAAUGACACUCUUGCGAUCUAAAAGACCACAGAAAUGGUCAAUAUUGAGAGCCGUUGGGUACUAGGAAAUCCACAGAUUUGAAUAAACUGAUUCAAGCGAGUCCCUAAAAAAUUUCACGCGUGAUUUUAUAAUUGUUCUUCUAUUAUCUAAUAAUUUCCAUCUUGCAAUGAUAAGAGGAACAUUUAAGGAGCGUUGUGAUAUCAAGAAGAUAUAUAUCUGAUCAGGAUCNNNNNNNNNNNNNNNNNNNNNNNNNNNNNNNNNNNNNNNNNNNNNNNNNNNNNNNNNNNNNNNNNNNNNNNNNNNNNNNNNNNNNNNNNNNNNNNNNNNNNNNNNNNNNNNNNNNNNNNNNNNNNNNNNNNNNNNNNNNNNNNNNNNNNNNNNNNNNNNNNNNNNNNNNNNNNNNNNNNNNNNNNNNNNNNNNNNNNNNNNNNNNNNNNNNNNNNNNNNNNNNNNNNNNNNNNNNNNNNNNNNNNNNNNNNNNNNNNNNNNNNNNNNNNNNNNNNNNNNNNNNNNNNNNNNNNNNNNNNNNNNNNNNNNNNNNNNNNNNNNNNNNNNNNNNNNNNNNNNNNNNNNNNNNNNNNNNNNNNNNNNNNNNNNNNNNNNNNNNNNNNNNNNNNNNNNNNNNNNNNNNNNNNNNNNNNNNNNNNNNNNNNNNNNNNNNNNNNNNNNNNNNNNNNNNNNNNNNNNNNNNNNNNNNNNNNNNNNNNNNNNNNNNNNNNNNNNNNNNNNNNNNNNNNNNNNNNNNNNNNNNNNNNNNNNNNNNNNNNNNNNNNNNNNNNNNNNNNNNNNNNNNNNNNNNNNNNNNNNNNNNNNNNNNNNNNNNNNNNNNNNNNNNNNNNNNNNNNNNNNNNNNNNNNNNNNNNNNNNNNNNNNNNNNNNNNNNNNNNNNNNNNNNNNNNNNNNNNNNNNNNNNNNNNNNNNNNNNNNNNNNNNNNNNNNNNNNNNNNNNNNNNNNNNNNNNNNNNNNNNNNNNNNNNNNNNNNNNNNNNNNNNNNNNNNNNNNNNNNNNNNNNNNNNNNNNNNNNNNNNNNNNNNNNNNNNNNNNNNNNNNNNNNNNNNNNNNNNNNNNNNNNNNNNNNNNNNNNNNNNNNNNNNNNNNNNNNNNNNNNNNNNNNNNNNNNNNNNNNNNNNNNNNNNNNNNNNNNNNNNNNNNNNNNNNNNNNNNNNNNNNNNNNNNNNNNNNNNNNNNNNNNNNNNNNNNNNNNNNNNNNNNNNNNNNNNNNNNNNNNNNNNNNNNNNNNNNNNNNNNNNNNNNNNNNNNNNNNNNNNNNNNNGGGGGGGGGGGGGGGGGGGGGAAGCAAUAAAAAGCUAAAAGAUCGUGAUCAAAACAUCCGAUGUCGAUUUUUUUUUUUUUCUUUUUCUUUUUGGUGGGUCAAUUCUAAGCUGUCAUCAGAUAUUUUUCUUGGCCACAUGCCCACAUUGUUCGCAAGAAGAUUCUUCUCAUUUAAGUGCCCAAAAAAACCCCAUAUGUAGGACAUCAAGUUGGAUAGGUAGCAAACUAAAUGGCUACCCAAGGGAGAUCAAAUUAAGCUUGACGACAGAGGAGAACAAGGAAAGAAGAGAUAAGGUAGUAGGGUCAUGGAUUUGGAGCCAAGGCUUUUUGUAAACCCUAGCUAACAAUUGCAAUUACAAUCGUGUAUGAAUUUGUUUUUCUAUGUUGUAAAACUUACUUACGCCCUCAAUUUAGGCUAAUUAUUUUGUUGGCAUUUUUUUUAAUGUGAAUAUGUCUGAAUUUGGUUGAAAUUUGAUUGCGUCUAAAUAUAAAUGUUUAAAUGAUAUAUUUGUUUUUUUAUUUUUAAUAUUUAAAUAUAAGUAGUAUCUUAUUUAUUUUUAUAAAUAAAAAAUAACUUAAACAUGAUUAUCUAACAUUUAUCUUCUUAUAAGUCAAUACAAAUAAAGGGAUUAUGUUUUAGAGGUUAGGAAAAAAUAUAUUUAAUAGAAAUAUUUUUGAGAUAUAAGAUUUACUUCCCAUUAAGAUAAAGUCACAAAAAUUUACUUUUUCUAUUCAAAUGUAAAUGUCCAAAAAUCAAACAUAAAUUACAAAAAAAAAAUAAAAAGAUUGAAAUUAAUAAGAAUUUCAGACUUCAAAUACUUAAAAAACAGGCUCUUAACCAUGUAUUUCAAAAAAAUUACUCAAAAUUAACUUUUCAAACAAUGUUUCAAUAGUUGUUCGAUCAGAAAUUUCUAAGAGAAAAUAAUAUAUUUGUCUGAUAUAACCUAGAAUUUAGAUAAAUAUGAUAUGGAACAAGGAAAAAACAGAAAAUAAUUGAAUAGAUUUUAACAGAAAUGUUUACACACCAAUAAUAUUUUAGAUAAUUGUUGAAAAUACAAAUACUUAACUGGGAAAUCUCAAAACCUAGGAUUAAUAAAAGAGCAUUUAUCUCAUAAAAUAUGCUCCAAUUGUUAGUGUGACUAUGAAAAGAGUGCUAUUCCAUAAAUGAUCAUGCAUUUACCCUGGAGUUACAACUAAUUAAUUAAACAGACACACGAUAUCUGUUUAUCUCUUUGUUAAUUGUCAUCGUAUUCCGGAUGAACAACAAGAGACCGACAACAACAUGUAUUACUACGUUUGCCUGAAUCGAAAAUGCUGUCGAAAACAAAUGUAAAUAACCUAGCUUCAUUUUUCUUGCUUAAAUUACGUGAAAUAAUUAGCAACAUAGCAUGCAAUGUUAAUAUCAGAAUGCAUGCACUUAAAAUUAGUUGCAGCCACGUGGUACGUUUUUCCAACACACAGAGGCGAAACCAGGUUCAUGCGUAAGGCUGUCUUGCCCUCAACUUUGUGAAAGUUUGUAAAAUGUAAGGUAAAAUUAAAAAAAAAAUUCAUAGAAAUCCCUAACUUGUGGUAUAUUUAGGCAAAACCCAAAACUAAAAUUCUAGUUGCGCCAUGACCACGAAAGAUGAGAUGAUCAGUACAGGGUACAGUACUUUGGUCGUAAUUUAAUUAAACAAUGGUCGUUUGCCUUGUCGCGUCGACAUGGGACGAGGGACCAUGGGCCUAGUUGCUAGUUGCGAAAUUAUGACACCCUUAUAAUGUAGGAGCCGGCUAAGUUACGCUAAAUGUAACUUACGCUAGGCAAGCAACAGUGACAAGUCUCAUCACUAGCACUGUUGCUGUGUCUGACGUAAGAUACGUUUAACGUAUCUUAGCCAAAGCCUAUAAUGUACUAUCAAUGUGCUGGCAUCUCAAGUCAAAGUCAAAAAUUUUUGUAUUUAUAUACGCAUCGUUUUAUAUAUUUAUUUUUUGGUAAAUACAUGAGGCAUUAAAAAAAAAAUUGAAACCGAGAUGGAAAAUUGGAAAUAAUUUGUAACGAAAAUGAAGUGAUGAAACAAAACAACAGUUAUGGCACUUUUUCGUUUUUGGAAAAUAAAAAUUAUGGCCCCCUUUUAUAAGGAGAUCCUGGAAAUCAUCUAUUAUCAACAAAAUCACUGAAGACAAAUUUUGCUGAGUGCAUUAUCUAAAGAACUACUGCCAAAUUGCUAUAACAUUUUUCACUUUAUUUAUAAUUACACUGGUUUUUUCAUUAGAUUAUGAAGGUGAGGAGGAGGAGGAGGGGAGAGAGAGAGAGAGAGAGGUUUUUACCUCAAUCCUAAACUGACUCCUUUAAUAUUAAUUAGCACCUUAAAUUUUUAGAUCAGUGGUUUCUUAAUAUGGUAAGCAACUUGACCUAAAGUUUUUGAGACAGAAAAAGUAAAAUAGAUCUAUUAUAAUGGAUCCACAUGACAAAUUCAAAUGAGCAUUGCAUAUUAUUUAAGAAUUGAACUAUUUGCAGUCCUCGAAAAAUCAUUUCAUAACUGCCUUUUAAUUAUAUUCUAUUUAAUGUCAAAAAUAUCUUAUAUAUAUAUAUAUAUAAACCCAUUUUUCAAUCCUUCUCUCUCUAAAAAACUCAAAACACUAAUUUUUUAAAAAAUAAAAAUAACCAAUACGAAAAAGCAAGAGAAAGAAGAAUAAUUAAUGUUUUAAAAUUUUGCAAAUCAAUUGUAUAGAUGAGAUAAAAGAGAAGAGAGAGAGAAGCGAAUGCUAUUCAAUUGGUUUUGGGUCACAAGAAAGUAGAAUUGAAUUUUAUUAUUUGAUUCUUGAGUUGCAACAAAUUAUUCAACUUGAUCAUAAACUUUAAGUUCUUUAAUUAUAUGAGGGUUUGGUCACCUGGUAGUUCCUUAAUUAUACGUACGAAGGUUAAAUCAUUUGAUGAAAGAAAUUCUAAGCAUUACAAUAUACAGAAUUCAUCAGCUUCCUUGUUGUAUCUUUGAGCUUUGGUAAUACAUGCAGAUUAAAUAUUGAAGAGAGUGAAAAAAAAAUGAAUGGAGUUAAAUUUAUUUGUAUCUGUCCUUAAAUAAAAUUGUAUCACAAUAGCUGUUCUAGGAGGACUUUGGAGGGAUAAGUUACAUUUCUUUAUUUACCAUGCUUUCUGUCAAGUCCCACUUCAAAGUAAAUCUAUAUCUCCAUCAUUAUGAUUAGGAUUAUUUUGUAUUCUCAUAUUAAGUGCACUGCAAAAACAGAAUUCUACCAUUCCAUUUUGUUAUACAAUAUUUAUUAUUUAAUUUAUAGCAUGCAUUAUUGCAUUUGAAUACAAAUAUUGAAAAAGUAACAUAUGGCCCCAGCCAAUCAUAAUAAACUGAUGCAAUUAAUAAACAGCAUGGUCGUCAAACAGGACGCGAUCAUGCGUGGUCCCACAAAAAAACAAGAGGUGAUUGCUUACACGGAACUUGUGCAUGACCUACUUAACUUCUCUUGUGUUUUGGACCUGUAAUAAAAUUUAAGGGAAGCAAGCGGAAGAAGAAGAAAGAAGAAAGAAGAAAGAAGAAUAUAUUAAUUAAACAAGAAUUAAGAGAAAUAUUAAUCUUGAAUAAUUCAACAGCUCUGCAUAAUGGGGUUGCAAGAACGCCAUUUAACAUUAACACUAGAGCCAUCAUCAUCUCCUUGCUCUGCCAAUAUUUUCUCAAGCUCACUCGGCUGGCACGGGACUGUUAGGGCACCUCCACGAUCAAACCCAUACUCUUCAGCCGCUUGUUC